RNAcentral lists this long non-coding RNA (97819 nucleotides) under Prunus persica (peach). RNAcentral describes it as "long non-coding RNA (PPER_LNC008365)". The record is from RNAcentral. Lineage: Eukaryota; Viridiplantae; Streptophyta; Magnoliopsida; Rosales; Rosaceae.
UCUUAUUACCUUAAUAUGUGAUCACUUUGAAUUAUACAUUAUUUGGUACUGUUUUUAUUAACGUAUGCGAGUAUGUUGGAAUUUUUAUGAGAUACUACAAUUAUGAUAAUGGGUUAUAUGAAAAAAAAUCUUGGCAAAAACAAUUGAAAAACAAAUAUUGUCAUAUGAAUCUUACCAAAAAAAAUUUGUGUCAUUUGAAUCUCAAUUUCCAUUAAAAUUAUCAAAUUUUUUUUUAUAUUUUUAUAUUUAUAAAUAGUCUGAUAUGAUGUUAUCUGAAACAUCAUCAAACACAGUAUAACUUAGUCAAAUUAUUUAUCUGGAACAGCACCAAACGCCUUAUAAUAUUAUAGAUAAAUAGUCAGUACUCUCCGGAAUAGAUUAAUACUAUCCGACGGAAAUUAGUCAGUACAGUCCGACUUACCAAACGAGCCCAUAAUGUAUUGAACAAUUGGGAGAUUCACCCUAAUAUAGGGGAUUAAAUUAUAAAAAAAUUCUAUACAAAAUGGACUUUAGAAACACACCCAAAGCUCAUGUACAACAUAACAAAGAGACUUUUAAUUUCUUAUAAAUUACAAAAUUGCCAUUAAUUUCAUAAACAAGACCAAUCCAAAAAAUUCAUUUAAAAAAACCCAAAACACUUGAUAGGACAUGAAAAUAAUUUAAUCAUCAAAAUUAAAUUCAACAAGGUCAGCUGUCAUUAUUUAGAUUUUUUUUGAGUUUGUUUAUAGAAAUGAAAUGAUGUAGGGUUUAUCUAUAUCAUUUAUUUUUCAGUACAUUAAGUCAUCAUCAAAGCACUUGAUCUCUAACAUCUGUAAAACCUUUAUCAUUUAAAUGAAAAGGUCAAACAAGCUUUUCUGUUCACAACAAAGUCAAACUAAUUAAUUGGCCACACGAUUAGAUAAUUGAAAGUUACUUUUUCUUUUCUCCGUAACUAGAAGUCACUUUAUAAAGAGACACCACUUUCACUCAUAUGAGGUGAGGAUGAACAAAUGUGUAUUCUAAGCAAAAACAAAGUCGGCCAAAACAAAAAAUGCAAAAACUUAAAGAAAAAAAAAGUGAGGCUAGGGAAAAAAGGGAAUUGACUUAUAGAUUAGAGAUCUCAAGUUUGAAUUUUUAUGGCAUUAUAAUUGUGGAGUCAUUUUACAGUGAGAGUUUUAUAUAUGACCUUUAGGUGAUGUUCUAUAUCUUAAUUGUUGUAUCAUACUAAUCAAUUUGAUCAAAUGACUAACUAAAUUGAUCUAAUGAUUAAGAGAUAUGACCUCACCUAAAGAUCAUAUAUAAGACCCUAACUAUAGAAUUCUUGCAUAAUUACGUGUGUGUGAGAAAUCUUCAUAACUAACGUUGUUACUUAAAAAAAAAAAUCAUGAAGCCCAUUCACAAAUGGGUGCAUGUAUGCGCUUUAAAUAAACCAAACUCUUUUUUUUUUUUUUUAUUUUUAAAUUUUGCUUUUAAUUUUAAUAAAUCAAACUUUUAAAAAAUUAUUCUUAAUAUCUCACUCCAAUAAUAAAAAGCAUUUUCCGGUUGGGAAACAGCACCAACUACUUGGGAAAUCGUCAAACUAUAAUGUCGUUCCUUCCUUAAUUAAUGGGUGUGGAAGAUUUCGUCCCAAAAAAAAAAAGGGGUGUUGAAGAUCACUCAAACGACGCCGUCACAGCAAAAUAUUCUAACAAGUCGGGAGAAUACGGAAAAUCUCUGCGAAAAUUCGAAAGGGAAAAAACACACACACACACACACAAAAAGCAAGAGGGGAGAAAGCGUGCAACGGGGCUUAGAGAGGCAUCUAAAUCCUACUGUUCUUCUUCACGAGAAAAAGCUCAAAACCCAUCAAAUUUAUAUUAAACUAUCUCUACUUCUCUCUCUUGCUUUUCCAUUUUUUCAUUUGUUUUUGGGUUUUCGAAAUUAAUGGCUAUUAUGAGGCAUAAGGCUUGACAAUGCUAAAAGCACAAGGAAGAAGAGGAAGAGGAGGAGGAAUAUUUUGUUGAGUUGCCCAAUGCUUUCUUUUUGAGCUUCCAUACAAUGGCUGAUGAUCUCUGUUCUUUCAAGGUUUGCUGUUUCGUGCUUUUCCUUUUAGCUGUUCACUCACCAUUUUUUUUUCCCAUUUAAGACUGUUUUCUGUCUUUUCCUCUUUCUAGUUUUGGUAUUUCUAAAAUUAUAUUUGGGUAUCAGAUUCUGACCCUUUUUUUAAUUUGUGGAUUAUUUUUAUGGGUUGCAUGUGAAAUGCCCGAUCUGGGUGUUGAAAUAUUUUACAUUUUGAUUCCCUGAAUUCUCGGAUGCUUUUUGUCUAUGUAUUCAAGCUGAAGCAAACCCAGAUUUCCUUUUCAUUAGGUUUUGAUAGAGAGGGGUCUUAAUCGUACAGUUGUCAUAUUACUUAAUAACUAGAUGUGUUAAUAGCUUAAUCAAAUGAAUAUAUGAACCCUGGUCGUUUGUUUGGAUAAUUGCAAUGAAACCCACGUCAUUUAUUCUUCAAUUCGACUUGAAAGUUUAUGAACUUUUGGAUAGCUGAUCAGUUUGUCUUAUAAAGUUUGGACCUUUGUUAGGACUAAUUACCACUCUUAUUCACCCUUCAUUUUGCAUUGCCUAAUUCAUGGUUUACAGGAUAUAUUUCUUAUAAAGGCGCCCAAGAAAUCUCCGUUGGUGCUGAGGAUGAUUGUCUUGUUGUUUGCAAUGGUCUGUGGUGUCUAUAUUUGCUCAAUUUGUUUAAAGCAAGUCAGCAACCGCACCAACGUUGCCGGGUUUUUAAAUGUCCAGGUGAUUCAAAAGCCAUGCCCACGACCUGAUGUUGAGCCCGAGGAAGUUCCUUAUGUGCACUACCCAAAGCCCGUAACUUAUAGCCGGUAUGCUACUAAUUUACUUGUAGUUUCAAGUUUGGUUUUGUUUGAAAAAUGAAAUGAUAUAUUUUUCUUUGCAUCAAUAGGGCUGAAUGUGCAUGCAAUCCUGUGCGAUAUUUUGCAAUUUUGUCGAUGCAGAGGUCUGGAAGUGGGUGGUUUGAGACGCUAUUGAAUAAUCAUACUAACAUAAGCUCAAAUGGGGAGAUUUUCUCUGUUAAAGUUAGGAGAAGUAAUGCCUCAACAAUCGUUGAGACUUUGGACAGACUUUAUAAUCUAGAUUGGUUCAGUAGUGCCUCAAAGAAUGAGUGCACAGCUGCAGUUGGCUUAAAGUGGAUGCUUAAUCAGGUGAGUGCUUUUUCAUGCAUUUUUCGUUUUUUUUAAAUUUCUGUUAUUUAGCUAUCCGCUGGUUUUAUUGUGCGAGAGACAAUGACAUUGCAUUUCAGUACAUCUUAUUUUUCAGCAGAUUGUCAUAUCAUAUUAAGACAUGAAUCUUCUUCUUAGCUUGUUUCUUUUAGAUAGCCAGUUAUUAUUGGUAACAAUUACAUCAUUGGCUCAUUUUUCGUGUCAUCUACUGAUUUAUGAAUUACUGAGAUUAUAUUAUACUGUAUAGUUUCAAGUCCUGUCAAAAAGCUUGUCUUAUAGUUUCUGAGAUAAAUGCUUACCCUUGGAGAGUGAUGGAGGAUCUGUAGGAUUGGAUCGCGUAAUUCCUUUAUGAUCUUGUAGGGUGGUGGGACUGGUUCAGAGAUGUCUGGAAAUAGGCAGUGUAAUACAAUUGUUCUGGGGAAAGGCUAGGCCUGAAGUUUAUAUGUUAAACUGUAUACCCCAUCUGAGUUCAGAUGCUUCCAUAAAAAUUUAAACCUUGAAAAAAGAAUUAGUAAUAAUAAUAAUAUUCAAUGUUUUGUUUAGCAUUACAUAUAGAUGUAUGGCUGCUUCAUUUUGGGCAGCUAGUUAUUAUCAUGAUUUGCUUGUCCUCGAGGAAACAGAAUAACCUGUUCUGUCUUGGAAGCCUUCAAGUAAAGUAAUUUGGGGAUCCAAGAGCUAAAACAACUUAAUUUAGCAAAAAUCAUAUAGAUUCCAUCACAACUGAUGGAAUCUGUUCAUCAAAUUGUUCUGUGUGAAUGAGAGUUGCACGCUCUGUAAGUUAUGACAACGUUAUGCUUUGAAGUAUAGGACCAUCUCACUGCAACUAAUGAGUUAUUAACAAAGGGGUCGAGUUGACUGAACUUUCAAACUCACUUGGUGUGACCCUUACCUGGAUGUCUUGGUCAGAAAGGAAUUCAUUGUAAACUCGAAUUUGGGUUAAAUUAGAAUGUCCAUCCAGUACCUUAAUUUGGGUCCGUCCAUCUAAAUUUUCACCCAGAUUUAUUUCUCAAGACAGUUGGUCUUAGAUUCAUUUGCUAUCUUUGCUUUCCUGUUGGAUUCCUUGUUCUUGGUGGCAUUUGGCCAGGUAGGCAAUAGUUUGAUAACCUUAUGAGGAUUUUCUGUAGUGCAUUUUGGCAUUUGGUCUUAAAUUCUUAAAAUGUUAUUCUGGUGUGCUUUUUUUUUGUUUCAUGCAUGGAACAGCCACUGAACCAUUUUUUGCAAUAAUUUGUGCAGGGCUUGAUGCAGCAGCAUGAAGAAAUAGUGGAGUACUUCAAAACUCGAGGUGUUGCUGCUAUCUUUCUCUUUCGAAGAAAUCUGUUGCGCAGGAUGAUCUCUGUGCUUGCAAAUUCUUAUGAUCGAGAUGCUAAGCCGCUGAACGGGACCCAUAAGUCUCAUGUGCAUUCUCCUCAUGAGGUCUCUCCCUCUCUCAUAUGCAAGAUAUUUACAUGGAAGUCGAUUGGUUGUUUACCUUAAAACACUAAAAACUAGUAAUUGUUUGAUUUGCAAACUUAUUAAAUGUCAUGGUUGCAGGCAGAGAUACUUGCAAAAUACAAGCCUACAAUCAAUGCAACUUUACUGAUACCUAACCUGAAGCAAGUAGAGGAUACAACUACAAAAGCGUUGGAGUAUUUCAAGAGCACCCGGCAUAUUAUCCUAUACUAUGAGGAUAUUGUUAAAAACCGAACUGUAAGAGAAACUAUAUGAGCACUGAACUGAUCAGUAUAUUUGUUUUGAAAAAUAAAAAAAAGCACCAACCUCUGAAAUUUUCAAUUUUGUGUGUUUGCAGAAAUUGCUAGAUGUUCAAGAUUUUCUUAAGGUUCCACAAAGGGAUUUAAAGAGUCGUCAGGUGAAGAUACACAAAGGCACCUUGUCUAAUCAGAUUGAGAAUUGGGGUGAUGUUGAAAAGACACUUACAGGAACACAGUAUGAAAACUUCCUCCAUGCAGAUUAUCGACGAAGGUAAAAAGCACCGGGGCGAUGUACAUACCAUGCUUUGUUCUUUAACAUUUUUUUUUUCUUCUCUUUUCCUUAACCUCAGAAGCCAACAGGAGGUUACAGGUCACCUCCCUGUUGAAAUUUUGGCGGCAGCUUCUGAAUUUCAAUUAGCUUCCUUGUUAUUACUCAAAUUUUGUUUCUUGGCCACUCUCAAUUAAUAUUCAAUUGAUUCUUUCAUCUCUCUUGCUCUACAAGAAACUUUUGUUGUGGUAUUUAAACUAAAUUAAUAGAUAAAGUUGAUGUUUCACCAUGCAAUUCUUUAAUCUUUGAACAAAUUUCAAAUGCAACUUGUUAUUAGCCAUCAAUUAGAUUCUAAUCUCUUACUAAUUUAAGGGUUAAAUUGAGUAGGUUUUUUUUCUUCUUUGAUACGAGUGUGAACAUUUAAAGAGAGAGGAAAUUGCGGUUUACUUGUUUUGUCUGGUGAGCUCUCUAGUCUAGAACAUACGGGAUCUUUGACCCGCAUGUACAGGCUGGUCAAAGAUUUACAAUCCACAGCGGAACGCGUACGGCGUGCUUCCAUCAAUCUACAUCGGCUGCGCUAUUAAGGACCGUUGGAUAGAACUCACGUAUUUUAUGGGACCCACGAUGGGUAUUUUCCUACUUUAGCUAAAAUAGGAAUAAAACUCUCUUGUAAUUGCUAUUCCGAUCAAUAACACAAUGAUACAUGAGAUUUGAUAAAUAAGGGUUUCCUAAAAUAGAGACACAGUUCAGAAUCCCUCUACAUUCUCCAAAAUCUCACUUUUUAACUCCGCAAAACUUGAAUCUCUGCAUCUCAUGUUAUAUAAGGAAAACGGUCCACCCCAUUCUGUUUUGGGAAAGUACAAGAUCCAACCUUCCUUUUAAGUGAUGACAAUGAAUUUUUAUAAUUAUUAUGGGCAGAUAUUUGUUUUUCUGUAUUUAUUUAACCAAAAAAGAAAAAAAAAGAUAAUUCCUUUCGGUUGCCAAAAGUAGAAUUUGGAUUAUCAUAAAUAACCUAAAAUUAAUUAAAUUCGGUAAAAACAUUGAAUUUAAAAAAAAAAAUCACAAGUCCAGGUCAAUUAAUUAGCAUCAAGCCAACCCAUUGACUUACUGGAGUUACCUUAAUUAGCUUUGGUUAAUAAUAAUAAAAAAAAGACAAUAAUUGCAACAAGAAAAAAAGAAAAAAGAAAAGAAAAAGAAAGCAGCAAUACAAUAAUUUAGAAAAAAAAAUUUGUUAACAUGCAAUCCAGCUCACGGAAGCACCAGUCAGUCUGCAUCCAGUCCAUGUACAUCGGACGAGGCUUAGACCAAAACACUGCCGUGGGUCCUACACGUCACGGACGGCAAACGUGAGUUAACGGACGUAGCAAACGAGGUCUCAUCUCAUCUCAUUUAUAAAAAAAAAUUAAAAAUUAAAAAUAAAAAAUUAAAGAAAAAUCUAUCGCAACACCGCCUCCUUUAAAACCCCAUUUCGUCACUUCAAACCCUCCCUCUUUGCUCUGCGCAGCCCCCGUUGCUCUCUCUUUCUCUCUCUCUCUCUAAGCUUCAGACCACUCUCUCUGCUCUCUCUCUCUUGAAAUCCCAGAGGAGAAGUACAAAGAAGACGAAGUAGAGAGAGGUGCAGAGAGAAGAAGAGAGUAAAAAGCUCAGACCCCACCACAAGUCCAAUAUGGCCCAGCAAUCCAACGGCGGCGAUCUGGGCACACAGCAGCAGCAGCAGCAGCAACAACAGCAGCAGCAGCAACAGCAGCAGUGGAUGCAUCAGCAUCAGCAUCAGCAGCAAUGGAUGGCCAUGCAGUACCCAGCAGCCGCGAUGGCGAUGAUGCAGCAGCAGAUGAUGGUGUACCCGCAGCAUUACAUGCCUUACGCUGCUGCAGCUGCCCAUCCUCAUCAUCCUCAUCACAAUCCCUACCAGCAGCAGCCUCAGGGCGUGCCUUAUCAGCAGCAGCAGCAGCCGCCGAAGCAGCUGCAGCAGUCUCCCUCUCAGAAACAGGGGCCCACCGAUGAGAUCAGGACCAUCUGGGUGGGCGACCUUCACCACUGGAUGGACGAGACUUACCUUCAUGGAUGCUUUGCUCACACUGGGCAGGUCAGCUCUUUAAUGAACACGGAGUUGUAUUUGAACCCGUUUCGGUUUCGAUUUCGGUUUGUUUAGAGUUUUGAAAUUUUUAUGAAUAUGGAUUUAAAAUGUUAGUUGAUAUUGUGGGUUUUAGAGUUUAUUUGACGUGAUAACAGCUCUAUGAUUGAUUUAAGGUUAACAGUAUGGGAUUUACUCUAUAGUUGUAUGUUGGGUGAAGUCAUAGGCAUUCUAGCUUACCUUGGCAGUUUUUUCCUUUAUUCAGAAGUAAAGUACUGAUUGAAAGAGUAAGGUAAAUGCCAACUACCUACUUCUAAAAUUGUUCUUGGUAUAUCAAGAUGCCUUACCUGGAUAAGGGAAAUGAUUCAGGUUUUGGUUAGUUGAUUGAACUUGUUCAGUGAACAAAUUUGCCUCUUUAGUGGCUAAGUUGGGUCAACUCUGUUGAUUGUAGAUUGGCGGCUGGUUUCCAACCUCUAGCUAGGAACUAAUUUUUUCCCUACAGCAGCGUGUCUUCUAUGCAUAAUGUUGACAAUUUGUGAUUUUCAGCAAGUUUCUUGCUGCAUAUCACCUUUAACUUAGAAAAUUAAAUGCAUCCUCAUGUGGAUGGCCACCAUCUUGUUGAGGGUUUGAGUUAUUACUGUGUUUUUCCUAUAGAGAGUAAUAGCAGUUGAUCAACUUCCCAAUCUGUAGUAGUGUCAUCGCAAUGGCCAUUCAAUGCAAACCAUUCAUGUGAUGUUAAAAUCCUCUUCCAUGUUUUGAAAAUUUGUCUUUACUUUAGAUGGUUUAUAGGUGAGGUCAAUUAUUGCAUGGCCUAACCCCUUUGUUGAUAACUAUUUUGGACAUACAAUUAUCUGGUAGUUGUAAUUGAUUUACAGAAGAGUGAAUUGUCUUUUGCCAGCCUGUUAUCCUUUCCUGCUAAAGUGCAUCAAGUAAAUGAUACUGAAUAUUUGGCACUAGUAUGUUACCAAGUUGUGUAGUUAAAAGUAGUUAUCUCUUGUUCAAUUUGCAGAUCCUCUUGUUUAGUGUUGCCAAUAUGUGAUGAAAUGCUAUUGCAAUAUAUUGUCCUCACUUUUAUUUUUCUAGUUAGGUUAUUUUUUGGGUUGUUUGACGAUAUGGAGCCUAAUGAUUUCCAUGUCUUAAAAAUAAUAAGAGCAUCAAUAGUGAUUUAGAAAGGCAGUAGUUGAGGAACUAUUUGCAUGGGCCUGUUCUUCCGUAUUUGCUUUUAGCAACUAUGAGGAGGGUCAACAAAAGUUAUAAAGUGCAACUUAACACUGGACACCAAUGUACCCCUUAUGUGCAUACCCACACAUCUCAACCAAACUGGGCCUUGCAUGUGUAGAACCAAAAAGGCGAUACCACAACUUGAACUGGGUUCACAGUCCACAUAAACAUGUUACCAUAUUUAUUUCGCCAAUGUGAUGGACUCAACAAUGUACAUCAAACACAAUUUAAGACGACCCCCUAUCUUAAUAAAAAAAUUCUCUCUUGUAUGUAUUUUAUUGGAUAUAAACUUUAAAUUGCGCCUAACUAUGUGCUUUUGGUGUCACAAACAUUGCAGGUUUCCACAGUAAAGGUUAUACGCAAUAAGCAAACUGCUCAGUCUGAAGGAUAUGGAUUUGUCGAGUUCUUUUCACGUGAAGCAGCUGAAGAAGUUCUGCAGAGCUAUAAUGGUGCUGCAAUGCCGAAUACAGAGCAGCCUUUUCGUUUGAACUGGGCAACCUUCAGUGCUGGGGAUAGACGAGCAGACACUAGUUCUGAUCUAUCUAUCUUUGUAGGAGAUUUGGCUACAGAUGUGACUGAUACUAUGUUGCAGGAGACCUUUGGUAGUAGAUAUUCAUCUGUCAAGGGAGCGAAAGUUGUUCUAGAUGCAAAUACUGGUCGUUCAAAAGGUUAUGGUUUUGUUAGGUUUGGUGAUGAAAAUGAGAGGUCAAGGGCCAUCACUGAAAUGAAUGGUGCGUAUUGUUCGAGCAGGCCCAUGCGCAUAGGUGUUGCAACACCCAAAAAAUCACCUGCUUAUCAGCAACAGUAUUCUUCACAAGGUAUGAUAUCAUGCUCCUGAUUUUUUGUAUAAUUACUCACGUCCAUCAUAAGUCCACUCAUUUUUGUUCAACAAGCAAAUUUGCCUAUGCACAUUUGAUAAUUAAAGGUUAUUUUCUUAUGUAAUGUACUUGUCAUUUACACAAUUGUGAUUUCUCCGUUCCUUUCUUAAAAAUAUGAGCAUACAACAAACCAAGUCUUACUUUUUGGUCAACUCAAUUGUAUCUUCGACUACUGUGCCUGCUCCUCAUUUCCUUUAUUUAUUUUAUUUUAUUUUUUCAGUUUGUAUUUUUCUCUAUAAUUCAUUUAGUUAUAUAUCUACCUCCUCCUCCAGUUACAUGUUUUCCUUUUCUUACAUUGUAUUUUUAUUUUACAUCAAGAAAAAUUUAGGCUAGUUAGUAAUGCUUGCUUCUUGUCUUGCGAUGUAAGGUGUGAGUAUUAGGUGGUUUUUGAUGUUGUUUUCUAUUAUUUUUCCCCUGGAAACUUUCAUUUUCAAACAGCACAGGAAUCUCAUCAGCUUAUGGUCGUCCAUUAAUAUUUAUCCCUCUUCAACAUUACUCUUAACUGCUUUGGUGCAAGCAAUAUAUUAUGCAAUUGCUGAGCCAGUAAUGUGUAUAUUAAGAAUGGAGCAACUUCCCCAUUGCGAUCUUGAAAAGUUUUUAUGUUGGUUUUAUAUAUUUGGUAGUUUUUCAAAUAUUGGGAAAUUAUCUUCACUAAGUUGUGGUAUAGAAAUUUCUAAAAUUUUAAAAUUUAAAAUUAGUUGUCAGCUUAUAAAAUUGAGUGGUUCAAUUCAAAGUGAGAAGUAAAGCUAAUGCCAUCUCACGUGAGUUAGUUUUUCCUUUUUGUUUGAAAGAGUAAGUCUUCACCUAGCUAGUUGAAUUUUGACUCAAGUUGUCAUUUGGAUUCUAACUUCAGUUGUAAUUGAUGAUCAUGGAAUGGAUUUCGGUUCUUGGACACGUUUGGCCAUGCAGGUGGCUUUCAUGUAGUAAGCAUAUUACUAAGUGAGAGAAACCUGUUGAGAAAUCAGGAGCUAGAAUAAGAUUUAAAUUAAGAAACAGAGACAUAAAGUUCUAAAAUCUUUACUGCUAUAGGACACUUUUAGCCAAACAAAUACACGGUUAAAUUUAUCCCUAUCUGAAAGGAAAAGAAAAAAUCUGCCCUUAAAACCUGUCAUAAUAACUAACUACUAACAUUACUGUUGAAAAUGCAGUUGUCUAUUUUGACAUAUUCAUAAUUUUGAAGGCGAUUUUUUAGUAAAUGUAUUACUUUAUUCCCUUUAAUUAGCAUUGGUAUUAGCUGGUGGUGGACAUGCAUCAAAUGGCGCUGUUGCUCAAGGUUCCCAGUUUGAUAGUGAGACCAAUAACACAACUGUAAGUUCAACUCUUUUUUCUUUUUCCUGUUUCCAGUAUCUUUAACCCUAGAUAGCUCUUUAAUCUGUGACUUAUUGCAGAUAUUUGUUGGAGGGCUUGAUUCGGAUGUCAAUGAUGAAGACCUCAGGCAGCCUUUUUCUCAAUUUGGUGAAGUUGUCUCGGUGAAAAUACCAGUCGGAAAAGCAUGCGGUUUUGUUCAGUUUGCUAAUAGGUACUCUUGUUGUUUAACAUAUAUGGGUCUUGUCCUGUCAUGUAGAAAUAAAGCUGCAAUCAGGAAUGUUCCUGUCAUUACAGCUUAGGAGUAAUGGUACUCUCAGUAUCAAUGUUAAAAUCAUUCAUUAGAUAUUAAACUGUAUAUAAGAAGUAUAAUGAAAAAUUGUUGAAGACUGAAGGAGGUAGAUGGUACCACUAUAAUCUUAUUCUGUGGUGCCACGUAAUGGACUCCUACACAUUGUUUCGGUUUGUAGGAAGGAUGCUGAGAAUGCAAUGCAGAUGCUGAAUGGAACUGUUAUUGGAAAGCAAACAGUUCGUCUUUCUUGGGGCCGCAGUCAGGGGAACAAGCAGGUAAUACUUUGACAACUAUGUCAUGUUAAUUGUAUGCGGGUGUUGCAACAUUUAGAUAUCUAUCCCUGAAUUAUACCUGUAUUUUUCUUGUCAUUUGUUUGGUUUGAUUUCUUUUAUGCUGUACAACAUUAAAGUGCCACAAAUAUCCCCCUUCCCCCUUUUCUCGUGGAGUUGAAUGAAUUGUCCCUAGGGUAAAUUAUCUGCCACUUGAGCAUGUAGAAUCCCUGAACCUUGCUCGCCCUGCCCCAAACCCCCUCUGUUCGUCUGUCUGUCUCUCAGUUGGGUUUUUCUCAUCAUUAAUUACAUGUGAUUUUGCAGUGGAGAUCCGAUUCAAGUAACCAGUGGAAUGGGGCACAUUAUGGAGGACAGGGUUAUGGUGGUUACGGACAUGCUGCGCCACAGAGUCAGGACCUGAGCAUGCAUGCUGCAGCCGCCGUUCAUGGGGCUUCUUAACAGGGCUAUCAGAGUUGCCAACAGCAUGUAAACUGAACUUACAAGAGUGGCUUUUUAGAUAUAGUUUUCAGUGCCUUUAAUUUAAGUAGGAUUGAUUUAGCUGGUUAUUUAGCUGAAUCUGUAAUGUGCCGAAUUUUGUUACCGGAUUGAAUUGAUAUCUUGAAAACAAUGUGUGAGUAAUAUUUGAAAACUUGGUUUCUUUUUUUCUUUUUUAAAUUUUAUUGAAAACUUGUUUUCCAACAAGCUAUUUAUCAAAGUAAAGCUCUGCCUCAAAUAAUGGACUAUAUAGUUGUGUUAUUUUCUUCAGACUUCAAAAUAAUUUCUGGGUAUGAUUAAUUUUGUCUACAUAAAUGUGGGAAACAGGAUCGAAGACCUAGGAAAAUUUACACAGCAAAUUGGUCAAUUCCAUUUGAGCACGAAACAGUAGAUCUCUCUCUCUCUCUCUCUCUCUCUCUGUCUCUCUCUUUGGCAACCGAUAACAGAAUCUGUACACAAUUGAUAAACUUUAAAAUCAUAAACAAACUCAGAUUUCAGUACACACCCAAGAUUCAACCCAAAAUGAAGAAGAAAGGAAAUACAAGGGAAAUGAACCUUGUUUGAGCAAUAAUCAACCAAGAGGAAAGGAAGAUAGAGCUUCUUCAGAACUUAGAUCCAGUAAUUCAGAAAGGGGGAGUUGUGGUUGCUAGAGAGAGUGAUAAUUGCGGAAGAGAGGUGUACACUGUUCCUCAUGUUUUCCUUUCCAACUUUAAAGAGAGACUUUGUUUUCGUUUUCACGAAAUCGUUUACCGUUUUUGUUAUACGGCGUACCAAACACAAAUUGUUUCUUAGUGUAGCUUUGACGCAUUUCUGGUUCUGAAGUAAAAAAAUUGAGUUAUACCAAAAAAUAACCAAGGAGCUGGUAUUUAGUUUUCUCAUCACCAAGGGGGUUUAGCCACCUCUUGGAUCAUAAGCUCAAGUCAAGCUUCUCUGAACUCGUAUUUAGACUCUCAAUCUCAGAUUCAAGCCUACGGUCUCAGAAAUUACUCCAGCUACCAGUUUGCAGUUCAGACCCUCAACAAGAUGUUCAUGAAGAAAUGAGUUUUGGCUGCAACAAAGCUCAUAAUACUUGUAACAUCUCUUCAAAGUCCAAUGAUGGUAUCGUAAAAUGUACCACUCCUGGUCCAUUAAUUAUCAUGGCUUGUGCAUAUACUAUCAUCUGUAGUUGUCAAAGCAAAUGUUGUUGCAAUUUCUUUGAGAACACUGAUAUUAAUAAGAGGCACAUUUUAGCAUUUUCUCUCGACUCUUAUACCUAACCAAUGAAACUACAACAAGAAGUUGAGGCAUAACCCGAGCUAAAAUGCUCAUGUUCAGUCAUUUUGUUCAGCGAUCUCGUGCGUUUGAAAUGAAUACAACUCAAUCCUGAAGCACCCAAACAUAUAAGGAAGACGGCAGGCAAAAGGGAGGCUUUGAGAGGAUUUUGAUGAUGCCGAAUGAAGUAAACAUACUGAACUGUCGAGCAAAGACACCGAGAGAUGGCACCAAGUAAUCCAAAAAUGUCAAGAACAUCACCAAAUAGCCUUUGCUGGGGUCUUUGUCUCCCAGAUGCAAGUCAGCCAACAUCACACCAAAUACAUAUAUUAAUACUAAGUACCUCAAUACAAUGAUCUUUCCCUUAUUUUUCUAAUCUUUACAACAUCUCGAAAUACCCAAAGAUAAAAGAAACAUGAAAGGCAAAAUGGAUAGUUUGAUAGGAUUAUUAGCAUGUCGAUGGAGGUAAUCAUACUGAACCCCAGAGCAAAUGCUUUGAGCGAUGGCAAGAACUAGCCCACAAAUGUCAGGAAAAUUACCAAAAAGCCUGUUUGGUGGAUAUGGAUGGUAAUACCACCAUAUCCUUCCCCACCUCUUGAAUUCAACUCUUUCUCUGUAACCCUUGUGAAUGAGCUCACAGAUGCAAAUGAGUACGGCCGCAAUAGCCAACAACAUACCAUAUAGUGCAUAGUGGGGCUUACUUGGGGACGAAAGCUGAUCAAAAGAAGCUGAAAUAGUCUCUAGCCCAAGGCUAAUGAGGAAAAAGAUCCACUUCUCUGAAUAAGUAAACUGCAAAAGAAAUGAAGCGGCCAUUUAUUAUUCAAAGAUAUCUUAUCUAGCAAGAAAUAUAGCAAAUCAAAACAAUAAGAAUGAGUUUUAGAGCAAAACUUCUCCUCGUGCGACCGAUAACGCGAGGAGGUGGCGUGAGGAGAGAUAGAGAGAGGAGAAUAUGCAACCGAUGUAGGUAAAGUUUUUCUUUGAGUUUUGAUAUCACUACUUUUGUCCUGUGCUUUGGCUUGUUAUGGUCGUCUUCUUGUUUUUGUUUUGGAUUGUCAUAGUCAUCUACUUGUUUUUGUAAGCUAGACAUGAUGUCCUUGUUAACAUCCUUUGGCACCUACAAUAUGUGAAAAUUGGGAUAGAAAAUAUAAUUGUUCAAAUAUUGGGUCAUGUAAUUCUCACAUGCAUGCACCCAAAUAAGUAAGUGUUAGCUCAAAACCUCUGCUUUUUGUUUUUUAUUUUGCCAAUAGCUCAAAACCUUUGUUGAGGAAUGCGCAAUUUCUUUGAGAAGCAAGAAUAAAAAAAGAUCACGGGGGCAAUUUCAAAAAGAAAAAGAUUGAAAAAUCAAAGUUCAAUCUCAUAACCUAAGGGUCCGUUUAAUAACUAUUUUAAUUUUAGUUUUUUUUUUGGUGCUAAAAUAUAGAGGAAAAUGAGAGGGAGAAUGGAAGUGAGGAUGAGCUUGAGAGAGAGGAUGAGAGUGAGAAGUAACAAAAGUGAAAACAACAACUUGAAAGUGAAAGCAAAUUUCAAAUAGAUUUCAGUUUUUAAAUUUUAUUUUCACUUUUGUUACUCCUCCCUCCCAUCUUCUCCUCUCAUUUUCCCUCUCAAUCUCAUUUCCACUUUCAUUCUCACUUCCAUUCUCCCUCUUUUUUCUCUAUAUUCUAGCAUAAAAAAUAAAAAAUAAAAAAUAAAAUAAAAAUGAUUAUCAUACGGACCCUAAAUUUAUUGAAAGUCACAAUAAGAGAGACUUUAAAUAGAAAAAUUCUAAACUAACAAAUAAUCCAUUAGAAUCAUGCUACACUCUCAUAUAUAGACUCUAAUCAUGACCGUUAAGAAUUCAUUAAAGGCAAACCAAGACUGUUCAAACCGUCGAUAGACUAAACAUUAAAACACAAUAGUUUAGUUUAAUCCUUAUAAUUCAAACGUUUGAGUGCGAAAGAAACCAUAAAUUAAGAAAUGCAAAACAAAAAGCUGGUGACAAAUAUGCAUGGUUGACUUUGAGUAGUUUUGACCAGUACUAGGUAUACCUCUGGUGGCCUUAGCUUGUAGUAGGCAUUGUAGUCCACAGAAGGAGAUGGGCUAAGAAAUCGGGUGUGUGUGGGCAGCUCCUCAUCAUGGAUGCUAACCACAUGCGAUCCGCUGGAGCCCGAUCCACUGGAACCGGGUUGACCUUGAAGCUCAAGCUCCAUUGUUUGUGAAAUUUUCUUUUACAAAUACACAGAUACAAAUCAAACACAAAAAGAAAAGGCUAUAGGAAAGAAGAUUUGGGAUACUGAAGAAGGGAGAAGAAGUAGAUGAGUUACAGAGAGAUCCAGAAAUGCAGAACCGAAAUUCUGAUUGUGUGGUGAUUAAACCUUUUUAAUUAAUAUUUAUAUAGAGAAAGAGGACGCGUCCUUACUUCUCGUAUAUUAUUUCUUUUCAUAAUGGGAAAAAAAAAAUUGAUGGACGCGUCCUACCAGUUGAUGUGCAUGCAGUCAGCAACUUCACUGCGGUUUCUUUUGAACUUCCAUUCUUCCGAUAAAAUUGGAAUUAUAUCAAUAUCUUAAGUUUCCCUUACUGCUAAAUUUGAAGGUGACAAAUAAUUUUAAUGUUCCCAUUACUGCCGUAGUAUUGUAUAAUCACUCCCCAUAAUGACGUAGUAGUUGUCACUAUCAUAUACUAACUAGUUACUAGGUUAAUAUCGUGUGAAUAACUCAUUUGGACUAACUUCUCAAUGUAUUUCAUAAUUCGAAUAGUCAGUGUCGUAUUAACUUACUAAUCAGUUAGCACUCCGGCUCUCAUUAAAAACCUUGUAAUACCUCGUUAACAUGCACACGUGAUGUAUCAGUUACUCACAAAAAUAAACAAAGGUUAUUUUAUUACAAAAAUCCCGAAAUAUAUUAAUAAAACCUAAAAAACAAAAACAAAGACACCUCACACACAAACUAUUAAAACUUCUCCACAUAAUCAUCCACCUCAAUUCUCUCAUGCAACACCGUUCACCUUUUAACUCCUCAGAAACAUGGUGUGUAUUUGAACAAAUGGGAAAACUGCCACACGACUUGGGUAACCAAAUGGUUUGUGGGUUGGGUCCCGACUGACUCAAUCGAAUAUUUGAAGCUUCUUGUAGUAAAAAAUAUAUAAAAUAGAAAAUAACAAGAAACUGCAGGUUAGGGUUUUGAGACAUAUGAGACUUUGUCAAGAUGUGUUUUAAAAUUGAAAUGGAAAAAGGUCUCUUCUAUUCUUAGUUGACUCUUAGUUGUACUCUGUUUGUAGUUUGUCCGUGUACUGUGCGUGUGGAGCUGUGUGGUUUAUAAAACGAUGUGUUGAUAAAACAACCAAAAUUUCUAGAAGUUUAAGCUUUUAGAGUGGCUCCAGCGAAGGAGCCCAGCCCGAGGCAAGGGCAGAAAAAAAAAAAAUUUUCGCUCCAGCGUGCAGCCCAGGCCCGGGUUUGGUGUGGGACCCACCAACUCGGGCCAGCCCGAAGGCCAAACCAGCCCCAGGUCCAAAACGCGCGCGCUGACAUCAGCGCUGACGCCAGCGCCAACGGUACGCUGCCACGUGUCGCGCUCAGCGCCUUCCGAUCUGCUUCUCCUUUCUAAUCCAACGGCUGAGGCUUUUUUGGGUGAAAAAAAUAUGAAAAAAAAUUCUAAAAAAUUCUAAAAAAUUCUGAUAUUUUUUUCUAUAAAUACCUAUCAAUACCCUUCACUUUCAACACCAAUACUCUUACAUUUCAUUAUACUUCUACUAAUAUUCACUCUUUUUACACAACAUUUUCCUCUUUUUCAUCUAGCAUUUUGAUUUCAUAUUUUUAUGGCUUCUUCUAUCGAAACCGGAGGGGCUUGGAGCACAAUGGAAGAUGUUUCUUUGUGUGAGGCUUGGCUCCAAAUUUGUCAUUGUCCCGUGUCCGGCAAUGAAAUGAAAUUUUUUCAUAUGUGGAAAAAAAUUCAUGCCGAAUUUUGUGAAAAAAUUCCGGGGUCUACUCGUACGGAGAUGGCAUUAUCCAGUAGGUGGAAAAUUCUCGAUAAAGAGUUGGGAAAAUGGAGAAAUGCCCUAGCAAAAGCGAUGGACAACUAUAGAAGUGGGCAAAAUCGUACUAACGAGGUAAGUAUUUUAUAAUUUUUGUGUUAUUAAGUUUAAUCUCCUAAUAUAUAUAUUUUGUUAAUAUUGCUUGCAUUUUCAAUAUGUUGUAUAUAUUUUGUUAAUAUUGCUUGCAUUUUCAAUAUUUUGUUAAUAUUGCUUGCAUUUUAAAUAUGUUGUAUAUAUUUUGUUAAUAUUGCUUGCAUUUUCAAUAUUUUGUUAAUAUUGCUUGCAUUUUGAAUAUGUUGUUAAUAUUUCUUGUAUUUUCAAUAUUUUGUUAAUAUUGCUUGUAUUUUUAAUAUGUUGUUAAUAUUUCUUGCAUAUCCAAUAUAUUUUAAAUAUUUAUUGCAUUUCCAUUUUUUUGUUCAAUAGAUGAUUCAAGCACAAAUGUGGUUCGGUGCAACCGGGGGUGGCAACAAAAGUUUCACCCAUCAUGAAUGUUGGGAGGUGGUGAAAUUUUGCAAACGCUUCGUAAUUAUUCCAACGGGUCCGGAGGUUGUGUUAAACGAGACGCCACUUCGUGAUUCAAUGACAUCGGAUUCACCUCUUGAUUCUCCUAUGAGUCAAGACUCACCCAUCGAAAAGGAGCCGAGGCCCAUUGGCCGAAAGCCCGUGAAGGCAAAGAAGAAGGGUAAUUCAAGCAAUCAAAAUUCACAAUUUUUGGAGGAAAUUGCAAGGCAAAACGGCAUAAGAAUAGAAAUGGAGCAAAAACGCCAAGAGCACGAGUUGGCCCUUGAUGCUGAGUUUGCACGUGAAAGGGAGUAUUUGCGCAAAAAAGAUAUGGACAAGACAGAUCGGGAAACCAUGGCGAUGGAUACAAGUCAUAUGUCCCCUGAAACAAAACAAUUUUGGAAGCUAGAACGAAGGGAUGUUAUGAGAAGAAGACUUUUCCGGGAUGAUGGGCCUAGCAACACGGAUUGGUUAAAUGAUGGAAACCAUUAAAUUAGUUAGCAUAUCUUUUAUGUAUUUGUAUUUUAGUUGUUUUCUAUUAAAGUUGUUAUAAUUCAUGUAUUUUAUUUUAUUAGUAAUUCAUAAUGACUUGUAUUACAUUUCAUUAUUUAAUAAACAAAGCAUUCAAUAAAUUACCUUUUUAUUCAACAUAUUCCAUACUUCAAACAAAACAUAAUAAAAAUAAAAUUAAAAGUACAAACAAGGCACAAUAAUAAAAAUAAAAGUACAAACAAGGCACAAUAAAAAUAAAAACACAACCAAACCAUACUAAAUAAAACAUAAGCAAAGCAUCUAUUCUCCAUCAUUAAUCUUCAUUGCCUUUCACCGCCCAUAGAUGCUCCAUCAAGUGAAAUUGACGCAUUUCAUGAAUAUACGAAGAUUGCAUCUCCGUAUAUCGAUCUAUCAUUCGGGUCAUCAAAUGACCAUCCCUCACCAACGGUUCCGGCUCAAACGGUUCUCCAUUUGGCCCCAUGGGCCUUUCAUAAAUCCGUGUCAAAGCCGUGUUCAUUGGAUCCGGUUCGUAGACCUCUAAAGCAUCAUAAUCGUACUCAUCCUCCACAAUCAUAUUAUGGAGGAUGAUGCAAGUCAUCAUAAUGCUUCUGAGGAUCUCCUCAUCAAACAUGCGGGCCGCACCUCGAAUAAUCAACCACCUGGCUUGAAGGAUGCCAAAACACCUUUCGACAUCUUUCCUGUAUCCCUCUUGAUAUGUAGCAAAUAAUUUUUGCUUCUGGGAUCGGGGAUUUGGAAUGGUUUUGACAAAAGUCGUCCACCUCGGGUAGAUUCCAUCAGCUAGGUAGUAUCCUGUCUGGUAUACUGUAUUGUUGACUUCAUAGGUGACAUUGGGGCCCUGACCUCUCAAUACAUCGUUGAAGACGGGGGAUUGACCCAGCACGUUGAGGUCAUUUUGUGAUCCUGCAACUCCGAAGAAGGCAUGCCAAACCCAUGUGUCGAAACCAGCAACCGCUUCAAGGAUGAUACUUUUUUGGCCUUUUCGAUUUCCAUAAUCACCUUGCCAAGCAGUUGGGCAAUUCUUCCAUUGCCAAUGCAUGCAGUCGAUGCUACCAAUCAUUCCAGGGAAUCCUCGAGCUUCGGCUUUUUGCAGAAGCCGUUGGAGGUCCCUGGGAGUAGGUCUACGCAGGUAGUCCCUAGUGUACAGAGUUUCAACAGCUUGACAAAAUCUUACCAAAGCCUCCAACGUAGUGGACUUCCCCAUCGGGGCAAUCUCAUCCACCUGAUCAGCAGAUGCUCCAUACGCCAACAUUCGUAUAACAGCUGUAAGCUUUUGCUCCGGAAGAAGCCCCAAAACCCCAGCAGCAUCACACUUUUGAACAAAGUAUGCAUCAUAAUUGCAAAUAUCAUGCAUGACUUUAUUGAACAAAUGAGGUUGCAUUCUAAAUCGCCUUCGAAAAUCAACAUCAGAGUACAAAGAAGUUGGGAUAAAAUAAUCUUCCAAAAGAUUCUUACCCCUAGAAUGCCUAUGUCUUUCCACAUUCCGGCGGCGGCCGGCUUGUGAACUAUGGCGGCGACCUUGGUUCUCUUCUUCUUCCAAAGCCACUGUUAUGAGAACUUGCUCAUCGACUUGUCUCUGCAACUCAUUGACUUCAUCUGCUCUACGGUUUCUCUCUCUUCUUUCUCUCUCUUGUCUCUCCAAGCAUCUCCUAAAUUCUUCCAUUCAGAAUGAAUGAAGUAUGAAUUAUAAACUCUCAGAAAUGAAAAUAUAGAAAGAUGUGGUGUGAGAGGUAUGAGCUGAGACUCUGGUUUUAUAGAAAAAUUUGGCAAGAUAGACAUGCCACGUGGCUUGAUUUUAUUGGAUGAAAAUCAUAUCUGAAAUUUGAAAUUCAUCCGAAAUUUGAACCCUAAUUUGUAUGAAAUUCAAAAUUUGAAAUUCAUCCGAAAUUUGAACCCAAAUUUAUCUGAAAUUUGAACCCAAAUUUAUCUGAAAUUUGAAUUUUGAAAUUCAUCCGAAAUUUGAACCCAAAUUUAUCUGAAAUUUGAAUUUUGAAAUUCAUUCGAAAUUUGAAUCCAAAAAUUUAUCUGAAAUUUGAACUUUGAAAUUAAUCCGAAAUUUGAAUCCAAAUAUCUUAUCCGAAAAUUUUAUCUGAUUAUGAAUAGUCUUGACACGUAGGAAUCCGAAAAUCUUAUCUGAAAAUAUUACCCAAAUUAAUUAUUUUUAUUAAAAAAUAGGAGGAAAAAACAAAAAAGUAAAUAGUAAUUGCUAUGGCUAAGGGCAACGGGUGGAGAAACGAUUUACUAUUUGCAAGGGCAACCACUAUUCACGUAAAUAGUGCUUGCCCUAGCUCCACCCUUGCCAUGGCUAAGAGCAUCUCCACCCACAAGGGCUAAGUUUAAGGCAAGGGCAAGUAAGGGCUGCCACUAUUCACGUGAAUAGUGUCAACCUUUGCAUUUGUGGUUCCACCCAUGAGGGCAAAGUCUAAGGCAAUUACUAUUCAUUGUACUUUAUUUCCUAUUUUUUUAUACUUUAAACCAUUAAUUUUGAUAAGCUUUUUAGAUUAUAUUUUCGGUUGUCAUGUGUCACUAUUUAUUAUAAAAUUUUCACUUAAAAUUUAAGAUAACAUUUUUCGGAUAAAAUUUUCAAAUAAAAUUUUCGGAUAAAAUUUUCGGUUGCCACGUGUCCAUAUUUGUUAUAAAAUUCACAUCCCACUCAUCAUACAAUUGAAAUAUCUACUCACUCAUCAUACAAUUAUUUUUAAUUAUUAGGUAUUUAUAGGGAAAAUAUCCAGAAUUUUUUGGUAUUUUUUUAAAAAAAAUUUGAAUUUUUUUCGAUUUUUUUUGCAAUUUUUUAAGCCAAAAAAAGCAAGGCCGUCAGAUUUCUGGAAAAAAUUGCAUCGGAGGGUCCGGGACGCGCCACGUGGCAUAUUCCUGUUGGAGCCUGUCGGAAGUGACGUCACGCUGACGUCACCAAACUCGGGCUUCAGCCCAGGCAAGACUUGCCCUUGGGCUUGAUCGGGCUCGUGGGACCCACCACGAAACAGAGCUGCGGGCCUUGCGCUGGAGCCAUCUCGGGCUCGCCCAGGGGGCCUUUCCCCCGGUUUCCUAUGCGCGCUGGACGUGCUCUAAGGGCAAAUGGGUGGAGUUGCUCUUAAUAAUAAUAAAAAAACCGACCAACAAUGUUAUAUUAAAUUUCACAAAAUUAAUUAUUAAAAAAUGAAUUAACAGUGUAUAUAAAUCUUACGAUUCUAAAAGACUUUUGGUUAGUCACCAUUCUAGUUUCAGAUAAAUUUUCUAAAACUGUUUUGGCUAUUAAAAUAUGAGCCAGAAGAAGAUAUGGAAUCCAAACCCUCCUCAAGACCACAUCUCCUGCAUGCAGGUGUUGGGCAAUUUUUAUACAUGAUUUAUUAUGUCAUUCACUCAAUAUUUUGUAGUUUUUUUUCUUCAUUUUUGUAUUUCUAUUUUUCUAUUCAAACAACAAUAAUGGUGUAUUUACUAAUCGGAAAUUGGAAUUCUCAUCAGAAAUUGAAUUUCACUUAUGGAGGAUUUCUGCGUUCACUUCACAUCAAAGAAUUGAAAAGUAAGUGGGGCCCACACAAAAUUAGGAAUUGAAUUCCUGAUUUUGGAGGAAUUCAAUUCUUGGGUGGGAGGUGAUAUUCUAAUUUUUGGAAAAGUAACCCAGGAAUUCAUAUUUUUUACUCAUUAUAUCCUCACACAAUUUUUAAAAUUUCAAAUAUGCCAUCUACUUUAACCCAACAACAAGGACAUUUUAGUAAUUAGCACAACUUCUACCCUAAUUCCAUAUGAUUUAGUAAACAACUUCAAUACGAAUCCGGAAUCUAACUAUCCUCAAUCCAUAUGGUUUAGCAAACAACUUCAUUAAGAAUCUGGAAUCUAAUUCUCCUCAAUUCAAUUCCUCCUAAUCCAAUUACGAAUUAAUAAACAUGCCAUAAAGUUAACUAUGAUUUUCCACCUCUUCAAAGUCUCCAUUCAAAGAUGGUAUCGUAAUGUCUCGUAUUUUAAUUCUCAAAAUAAAUGGCCCAGAUCAAAAGUCCAUUAAUUAUCAUGGUGGAGCCGCUUGUGCAUAUUAUCAUCUGUAGUUCUCAUUCUCAAAGCAAAUGUUAUUGCAAUUCCUUUCAAAACACUGAUAUUAAUAAGAGGCACAUUUUAGAAUUUUGUCAGCAAACUCAGCAUGAGUUGCGUGGGGAAAUAGCUCUCUCAUCCAAUAAAAGAUUCAGAUUAUGCUCAAAGGGUUUACUAAAACCUAACCAAUGAAACUACAACAAGAAGUUGAGACAUAAUCUAGCUAAAUCCCUAUGGUCAUGCAUUUUGUUCAUCAGUCUUGUCCGUUUGAAUACAACUCAAUCUUGAAGCACCCAAACAUAUAAGGAAUAUGGCAGGCAAAAGGGAGGCUUUGAGAGGAUUUUGAUGAUGCCGAAUGAAGUAAACGUACUGAACUGUCGAGCAAAUACACUGAGAGAUGGCACCAAGUAAUCCAAAAAUGUCAAGAACAUCACCAAAUAGCCUUCGCUGGGGUCUUGGAUAAUAAAACCACCACAACGUCCUCCACCUCCUCAAUUCAACUCUUUCCUUUUUACCCUUGUAAAUGAGCUCCCAGAUGCAAGUCAGUACAGCAGAAAUAGCCAACAUUACACCAAAUACUGCAUACUGGGGAUUCCUUGGGGAGGAAACCUGAUCAAAAGCAAGUGACAAAAUCUCUAGGCACAGGGCAAUGAGUAAAAAGAUCCACUUUGCUGAAGUAGCCUACAAAUAAAUCAGUAAUACAAUGAACUAAAACUUAACAAGCAAGAACAAUGCAAAAGAAAAUGUAGGUUAACUAUGAUUAUGAGUUAUGACUAUUCGACAACCAUUAGGCUUGAAAAAUGAUGUAGAACAGAUGGGGAAAGCAAUUGAAGAGGAGUUGCAAAGACGCAUGCGCAAGGGUAAAUCAGGCAAAACACAUCACUUUGCUAUGAUGUAUCGGCUUUUUCGGGCAUCUGAGAUUGUUUAGCAGCUUGAAACCUGGCGUUAAACUUUUUACACUUUUUGGAAAUUUUGUUAUUUUUCUAUUUUAAUUCAUUGUUUAUUCCUAGAAUUUCUAGGAAUAUUUAAGUAGAUUUUACCUGUGACUAGGGUCUUUUUUUUAAAAUUCCAAUUUGUCAAAUAAACCUUAAGGUUUCCUCAUAUCUUCUUGGUGGAUUUCAGAGUUACAUGUUCUAGGCUAAAGUUUUAGCCAAUCUAUUGUCCUCGUCAUGCUAUGUCAAAAAACUUAAACUGUCACGAAAUAAGUCAACAAUAUAUAUCAAACUGACACCUCCCUCACGUGCAGCCCCAAUCCUACACAAUUAGACCCUUCGAACUAGAGCUUUAAUGUUAAUACCAUGUUAGAAAACGUAUAGGCUCCAAAAGCUAAGGAAGGACCAAAUGAUAAGAUUUUAAAAAAAAUUUACAACAUAAUUCCAAAAUAUAAACACUUGAAAAUAACCACGAGUGAAUGUACUUUCAAAAACUUGGAAACUCGAUGACAAAGAUUGCGGCUAAUAUAGGGAGGCGGUUUCAAAAAUAAAAUAAAAGAAAAAAAAUGUGUCGUAUAGUAAGUGGAAGACAUUUUACCUUAGCGCUCAAUGUCUUAUCCGGUACACGCAAAGUUACCAUAAUGUCCUCAGUUCUAUUUAUUCCCUAGUAUGAAAAAAAAAAUUGCAUUAAUAGAGCAAGUUAUUUGUCAAAUAAUAGUGAAAGUAUUUCAAAUUAUUCUAGAACUAUUUUCCUUUAAAAUUUCAAUAAGAAAAUUAUAUUCUACAUAUGGCAUACAUAUAUUUACUUACCGUAUUUUCCGAUAGAACAUGGUUAACAUUCUUGUAAAACCACGACCUGCUAUGUCGCCGACUUCUGAGCCUAGUUAAAGAAUCUUGGCAGGAAAAUAUUUCUCUACCCAUUUUUUGUAUCAAGUCAUUCAUCCAAAUAUGGUCUUCUUUAAUAAUUACCAAGGCCUUUUCUAUGAGUACUUGAAUACCGUACUCAGGGUUCUGGUGACAACUUUCUAGCAUUUUUAUCACAUAGUUCUUAUUUUUACCUUUUAAGAAACAUGCAAUGUCAAGGAAAACUUCUUUAACCAGAUCUUCUAGUGCAUCGUAACUUAUUUGGACAAUGUCUUGAAUCUCUAAGUCAACAACUCUUUUGUAAUCAUCCAAUGCAGCUUUCCAUUGAUCUAUGCUUCUACCACAUAGGAGUGAACCUAUAAUUGUGAGAGCUAAUGGAAGCCCCUUAGCAUAGUGCACUAUUGCAGUAGCGACUUUCGCAUAAUCAUCAGGAAGUUUAUUUCUUCGGAAGGCAUUCCAACUGAAGAGCUCAAAAGCUUCAUCAAAAUAUAAUUCCUUCACCUUGUAUAUUAGGUUAACUUGAUGAGCGGUUAACAAAUGUUUGUCUCUUGUUGUUAUGAUGAUUCUACUGCCCAAACCAAACCAAUCAGACCCUCCAACCAAUUUGUUUAAUUGGUCCAAUUGAUUCACGUUAUCAAGAAUUAAGAGGACUUUCUUGUGGCUCAAUAUUUUCUUUAUCACAUUGAUUCCUUUAUCAACAUGGGUCCAGUCCAAUUGUUUCUCUCCUAGGAUCUCAGAAAGAACAAUCUUUUGUAGUUUGACUAGGCCUCCAGGUGCCACUGAAUUUUCUCCUACACUUGCCAAAAAACAGCUACAUUCGAACUCAUGGGCAAUCGAAUUAUAAACAGCUUUAGCAAUUGUUGUCUUACCUAUUCCAUUCGGCCCCCAUAUUCCUAACAUGCGAACAUCAUUUACCCCAAUUCCUAAAAGCUCACUUAUAUCUUGUACGCGAGACUCUAUUCCAACUGGAUACUUUGCCACAUUGAAAUAAGUUCGGUUUAAUACUUGUGCUGAAAUUUCUUCAACAAUGUUAUGAACAAAUUUAGAAUUGUGCCUGCCAGUUAAAAGCAUAUGAAACAUUUAAUGAAAUGGAAUUUUGCUAGCUAGCUAUAUAUUUCGAUCUUAUAAUUCUGUCUAAAAAGGAAAAGGGAAUAUAAACUCUCUCAAUAAUUUCUCAAGAGGAAGAUGCUAUAUAUGUUUAACCAAACAAGCGACUUUAGUUUUAUUUUAUUCAUAUUACUUUCCUUAAGAAAAGUAAUAAUCCUAGCACACUAAGUUCACAAAUUUGAGAUCAAUGUGGCAGUAUUUCGUUUAUUUAUAUAUGAACUUAUUACAAUUUCCAUUUGUUUAUUAUAAGUAUGAUAUUCUCAUAUCAAAUGUUCUAUUAUUUGGCGACCAAAUUUAAUAUAAUUUUUUUUCUUGUGAUGCUAGUACGUGUGUUGGUGCCCAGGUAUGACAUGUAGGAUAGAUUAGGAGAAAAACUUAGUUGUUGCAAGGAUAAUAUUGUUUUCCUAUUUUCGACUAAUAAUGCUAUGCCAAGUGGAAGUGUUGUCACGCAUGUCAUAACGUUAUUGACCAGAAAUAACAAAAUACUAUCCUCGUUUCAUGGAAGUAUUUCUCCUUAGACUAGAUGAUUGUCAACCUAUGCUAGGGUACAACAACACCGAAGAAAUCUUGUUUAACUGCCGAAGAAAUCUUGUUUAACUGCUGAAAUUCCAAUUUUAUAAUCUCAUAUAUAUUCUCGUUCCCAUUUCGAUUCUUUUUACUUAUGAUUCAUUUUUAUCUUGAUUUCUUGUUAUGUAAUAAUGUGUGAGCAAAUUUGUUAAGUACUAAAAUGGAUGAAUUUUUUUAACAAAAUAAAGAAAUUAGAAACAAAUAAAUAAAUCGAAACGCUAGUAAGUGGUUCUUAGAAAUAUACCCGUCCAAGAAAUACCACCCCGGCAAAUUUGUUGCUUCUCUAAGAGCUGCCCUCCAUCUCAGCACCUUCUCCAUGUUAUCUCUGAAUUUGUUUUCAUGGUUAGCAAAUGCCUCACCAAAACUGCCUUGUUGGUUGCGCACAUCUAUGAGAUCCACCUUGUAAUAAACUGGCCAAACAAUUUUCUGCUUUGCUGCUCUACAUUGAAGGAUCUCAACCAGUUCAUCCAAGCACCAGACUGAAGAUGCAAAAUUCUCGGAGAAUACGAUGAUAGAAAUCCUUGACUCUCCAAUCGCUUUAAAAAGCGUUGGCAUUAAUAGUAGUUCUUCUUCUCUUCUGAUAAGCUCAUCGGCAAGGAAGGUUUUAAUUCCCCUUUGAAGCAAAUUUCUGUACAAAUUGUCUGUGAAAUUGUUGUGGGUAUCCGCGUCUCUAUAACAGAGAAAGACAUCAUAUGCCCAUGAAUGGUUGAAAGAAGAAACGGAAGAGGCUCCUAAUAAUUGAGUGGUCACUGAAUCCAUUUUGUUUGAGAAUGAUAUGUCAAAGACUUGAAAUAAUUUAUAUAGGGUUUAGGGUGUAUGCCACUUGCUGUAUAUUAAUUAUUUGCAAAGUUGUUUCCUGUUACCUUCACUUGCUGUGGAAGUCAACUUGAAUGAGAUCGCUUGUUAUUUCCUGCGGAUUUCGGUGCAACUUUGAAGGUGUUUACUAAUCCAGUCGUGUAUAUACUUGAUGAUGAAGAUGGAUAACCAACCGAAACAAGAUUUGACCUAUCAUCUGUCAAUUAAAGGUGCCUCGUAUUUCUUAACUCAUGAUACCAUGAAGAAAAUUGAGGUCUCACCUACCCCAAAAUUAACUGGCAAUGAAGGAAGUAGUUCAACACCUUAUAAGUCCUUAAUAAGUUUCUCAACUUUCUAAUAUGGGACAAUUUUUCACAUUCUCACAAAAGAAGCCACACAACCAAAUGCUCAAGCCAUUAAGUUUAACUUUUAGUUUCAGAGUGUGGGUUCGGUUGAGUGGCGGAUAUAGCCAUGUCUGCCUACCCGAAAAAUUUCAGAAAAAUAAAAUAUAUAUGCAGCUUCCUAAACCCAAGACCCUAGAGGCAUAUGCAUGAGAGAGAGAGAGAGAGUGAAGCCGACAUGCAACCGCUAAGGCUCAGGCUUUAUCACCCAGUUUUCAAGGUUAAUAUUCUUUUCUUCAUAGUUCUAGUAUGAUACUGGAUUGUUGUCAAAACAUCUACGGAAGAAAUUUUUUUUUCACUCAAAUGGUAAAGUUUAGUAUGUAAAUUUUACUUACUCGACUUUUGAAUUUUUUAGUAUGUAAAUUUUUCCUACUCAACUUUUGAAUCCUGAAACUGCCACUAUUCGUUUCGAUCAUAACUCAAUCGAAUAAUAUUUUAAACUUCUUAUUAAAAAAGGAAAAAAACGAAAAAGAACGUGCAAGUUAGGGUCCUGAGACUUUGUCUAAUUUGUUAUUUUAAAUUGAUUUGGAAAAAAGUCUCCUAUUCUUAGUUGACCCUUAGUUUAUACUCUGUAGUUUGUCCCAUGUACUGCGCGUGUGAAGUUGUGUGGUUGAAGCAGUCUGACCAUGAAACUUAAAGCAGUCUUAUCAUGAUACUUAAAGCAGUCUGACCAUAAAACAUUGUUUUGAAUGCAAGUGAUAGUUUAAAUCACAAAUGGAGGGAGUUUCUCACACACAAUACUACAGUGUUGUGGGAAUUUGAACCUGAUAUACCACUAGUUUGAGAGAAAUUCAAUUGCUUUUUCACCUCAGCCACACUUCCAUAAACACAAAUAUGCCCCCAGCACAAGCUCCUAGGAACGUUCACCACCUUUCCUGUAAUCGAAUGUAUAUUAAAGAUCAAUACACAACAAAGACUCAGUCAUUCCUCCAAGACCUCCUAUGUUUUAAUUCCUCUUCACGCCUAUUUUCCUAUACAAGUUACGCAGCACAAAUGUUGUGACGCGUUGGUUGGUGGUGUGCCCUAUUUUUCUUUUUGUUGCAGACUUUUAUGAAUAGAAUAUGUUGGGCCGUCAAAUUUAGAAAGAAGAACUUGGACCACGUCAGGAGUCUUUCGGUAAAAGAGGCCUUUCUUCGUAUGGAGGCCCAAAUCAGGAUCCUUUUUUGGCUUUUGCUUCGUCUGGAGUCGUUCCGUUAUUGGGGACUUCAACUAUGGAGGUCAUCUCAAUCCUGUUUUCUGUCUUGCACUUUUUAUUAUUGGCAAUUAGUUUGCGCGCACCCAAACACCCAAGAUAGAUGACGGGCAGAAUGUUUACUUUGAAAGGAUUCUCCAUGCCCUUAAGCAUGCACACAAACCGAGCUAUGGUGGAUAGCCACUGAGAGAUUACACAAAUUAUUAAUCCAAAAAUGUCAGGAAACAUUUCUAAACGCGCGCUUGAGCUUUCUCCAUUUUUACACUUGAGAAUGAGUUCGCAGAUGUUAAAGAAUAGAGCCACAGAAGCCAACCACAUACCAGUGAGUGCAAACUGUGGAUUUCCUGGGGAGAAAAACUGAUCACAAAUAGCUGCAAGGAUCUCCAGGAAGAAGCUAAUGAUUAAAAAUAUCCACUCUACUGUGUCGGCCUGCAAAAAAGAUAAUUAGCCACACAAUCAACAAAAUCUUCUCUGCUAAAGGAAAAAUAAGACAGUUGAAGAUUUUUUACCUCUAAUAAGAAGCUUUUAAUAGUAGUACUCCAACUUGUAUUUUCUACCACGCCUGCUUUCGGUUUGGGUUGCUAGUAUGAAAAGGCAAGUGCAUUAACAAAUUAUAUAUAUAAAAAGGUUUUGUUUGUAAAUUUGAAUACAUAUGUGUAUUAAAAGAUUAUAUAUAAUACUUACUGUAACAUCGUCAAUUUGGUUACGUAGCUUUUCCAAUAUUUUAGUAUCGGAGCUCGUUUCAUCUCGUCCAGGAAACCCUUCAGUGCCUUCAGUUGCAUUUACUCCCUAGAGUAACCGAAAUAAAAGCAAUUGCAUGCAUAAAUAAAUAAAUAAAUAAAAGGAAUUUUCUUGACAAAUUGAAUAAGAUAAUACAUAUGUGUACAUAUAUUAUACUCACUGUGACAGCCUCAGUGUUAGGAAUUCUUCCUUGAAGUGUUUGUAAUGCUAGAGUACUGGAGAAUGUCUGAUCUCCUUCAACCAACUUUUCAGUGUUUUCAACUUUGUUUAGUGCCUAUUUUUUCAAAAAAAUAAUUAUAUCAACAAAGUAAUAUAUAAAAAAAGUAAAAUGGUUUCCCUACUUCCUUCAAGGACAAACUAACAAACAAAAAAUAAAAAGGUUUAGGGUUUAGGGUAAAACAAUACAUAUGUGCAUAUAAAUAUUUAUAUACAUGUAUUCUACUUACAUCGUCAGUUCCCGGAGCUUUUCCUAGCAAGUCUUCUUCUUGAAUACUGGAGAAUGUCUUAUCUCCUUCAACCAAGUUUACAUUGUUUUCAUUAGGGGUGGGCACUCAAACCGGCGAACCGGAAAUCCAAGCCGAACCGCACCGAACCAAAUCGGAAAAAAACCGAGUUGACUAAAAAGUCAAAAACCGGUCAAAAACCGAACCGAACCGGUUUGGACCGGUUCCAGAUCCGGUUCCAUGUCUUCAAAACCGAACCGGGCCGAACCGAACCGGUGAAACUAAAAAUAUAUAUAAUUUCAAUAUAUAUUUAUAUUUAAUGCUAUAUUUUAAUUUCACUAAAAAAACCUAAUAUUUAUCCAAGUUCAUCUCAAAAUAUCUCUCUUUUCUCACUUUAGAUGUAUUUUUAUACGAGAUUGAAUAUUUUGUUAAUUUUCAAGUAGAAAGUAAUAUUUCAGUUGAGAAUUGUAUUAAAAAUAUUUGAAGAAUAAUUGUUUAUAAUCCGGUUCAAGCCGAACGGAACCGGAACCGGACGAAACCGGAGCGAAACCGGUUCAAACCGAACCGGACAGUUUUUGAAAUUUUUUUAAUUAAAACCGAACCGAACCAAACCGGAUGAAUAGUACCGGAUCGGUUCUAAUUUGAGGCAAAAACCGGUCCAAACCGAACCGUGCCCACCCCUAGUUUUCAUCUUCAUUUUGUUCCUAUUCAUGAAAAAACCAUUGAUUUAACAAAUUAUUAUAUAUAGAGCUUCAAUUUAGGGAUUCUUCAAAUAAGCAUAUUUGAGGGACACCCUUAUAGGUCUCACAACACAUUGUUUUUCAAUAAUUAAGCCGUCUAAUUUUUAGAUAUUCCCCCAAAGAUCAUCUCUGCAAAGAAUCACUUGAAUCCGAAACCAUUUGACUCCUCAAAUAACCUUUUAGGGUCCCUUACGAAUUUUUUUUCAACGAUCCAAACUAUCUAUUUUUUUAAGUCUAUAUUCAUAGAUCAUUCUUGCAAAAAAUUAGACAAAUCGAAAAUCGUUUCGACAUCCAAUUGUAUCCUACAAAAUCAAUGAACACAGUGCUUCAAGAAAGUACUAAAAUUUCAGUAACUCAAUUGAGUGGUCAAAUGAUAUUGGAUUCAAAUGAUUUUUUGUAGAGAUGAUCUUUGAAUGAUUAUCUAAAAAAUAGACGGUUUGGAUUAGUGAAAUAUAAUGCGGAGUGAGAUCGCUCAAUAGAAGCUCACUAUAAUUCCAGUAUGUAUUUGACUUACUGUAACAUCGUCAGUUCUAUUAAUAUGUCCUUGAAUCCUUUCUUCUUCUUGAGUAUUGGAGAAUGUCUCAACUCCAAGCAACUUUGCAGUAUUUUCAACUUCAUUUAGUCCCUAUUGUAUGAAAAAACAAUUGCAUUAACAAACUAAUACUUGAAAAGGAAAAAGCUUUUGCCAGUCAAAUUGAAUAAGACUAUAUGUGUGUGUGUGUGUUGUGUGUUCCACUCACUGUAACUUCGUUAUAAGUUUCAGAAAUUUUUCCUUGAAGUCUUUCUAUUUCUGGAGUACCGGAGAUUGUGUCAUUUUGUUCAAGCAUCAGUUCAUUUCUUUGAGCUUCAUUUAGUCCCUAUAGUAUGAUAAACAAUUGCAUUAAUAAGUUUAUACAGUCCCCUUCUAUUGAGGGAUCCCUCAAAUAAUUUUAUUUGAGGGACGCCCUUUAGGGUACCCUACAAUUCUUUUCCCAAUAAUCCAAACCAUCUAUUUUUUAGGUAUUCAUUCAUAGAUCAUCCUUACAAAAAAUUAGACAAAUCGAAAACCGUUUCGACAUCCAAUUGUGUCUUACAAAAUCAAUGAACACGGUGCUUUAAGAAAAGUACUAAAAUUUUAAUAACUCAAUUGAGUGGUCACAUGAUAUCGGAUUCAAGUGAUUUUUUUGUAGAGAUGAUCUUUGAAUGAGUAUCUACAAAAUAGACGGUUUGGAUUAGUGAAAUACAAUCCGGAGUGGGGCCUACAAGGGGUGUCCCUCAAAUAAGCUUAUUUGAGGGAUCCCUCAAUGGAAACUCUCUGUAAGUUUUUAUAUAUAUAUAUGAAUGUACGUUUAUAUAAAUUUGAAUAGAUAUAUAUAUAUAUAUAUAUAUAGUGCGUACCGUGCUUGCAAGUCAUGCACCCCAUGUUCUUCUUCAACAUUGGUGAGGACAUCUUCUUCGGGUCUUUUCACUUGAUGUUCUAGUUCCUUUUUUGUAAUUUUGAGGAUUUCAUGAAUAUUUGAGGCAGGAACUCUUUUGUAACUUUCUAAUAUGGAUUGCCAUUCAUCUAUAUUUUUCCCAUACAAAAGUGAACCCAUAGCUGUGAGGGCUAAUGGAUUCCCUUGAGCAUAGCCUACGAAACUAUUUGCGAGUUCUUGAUAAUCAUCCGGAAGUCCACUUGUUGGGAAGGCAUUAGAACUGAAGAGCUCCAAAGCUUCAUCAGAUUCUAACUCCUUCACUUGGUAGCGCAAAUGCUCAACCCUUGCUGAUAUUCCUGGACGUACCGACUGCCGCGAACAAGAGGAUCUUCUGCUUGACAUUGUUAAUUAACUGGAGCUUGAGGUGUGUCAGAAGAAGGAACUUGAAUUGACUGAGAAUACUAGAAUAGAAUGAGGGGAAAGAAAAAGACCCUGAAAGACAAAUGAGAGCUAGAUAGUAUGUCAGAGAAGUAAAGAGAGAAACUGAUGGGUUAUGAGAAUGAGAUAUAAUGAGAUAGAGAGAGAGGCAGUAACUCUACUUAUAUAAAAAAGGAGCAAAGUGUUUCUUGAGACAAGUUAUGGAGAGGGAUCAGAUAAGGGGAGGGAGGGCAGAAGGUAGAGAGGAAUGAGGAGGAGGGAGGGAGACAAGUGCAUGGGAGAAAGAAGUCGGCUAAAGGGUUGAUAUUAAUAAGGUUUGAGAGAGAGAGAGAGAGAGAGAGAGAGAGAGAGAGAGGAAAACGUGAUUGUUUAUCAACCGUCUUUUUCUUAAGAGUUCUAGUCGGAGAGAGAGAGAGAGAGGAAAAUGUGCUUGUUUAUCACCCUACUACGCGGGCCUCUGGUCGGUAAGGGAAAUGUGCUUGUUUAUCACCCUACUACGCGGGCCUCUUGUGUCAGUCCCAGCACGCAAGCCAAUGUUGUCCUUAUUACUUACUUGUUUGUCAUUUGAAAAUAAUACUAGCUAACAUUAAUCACUUAUUUCGUUUAUUAGGAGGAAUUUGAAUACUGAACUGCAUAAAUAAUUACUCUUAAUCACUUGAGUUAUAAUUUCGUUGCUAAGUAAAAUUAGAUUCAAUACAAGACACAUUUAAAUUAAGAAUAAUACUAGUCAUACAACAAUUUCAUAUCACAUGAUGUGGCAGUUAAUGUGUACAUAUCACAUAAUGUAAAAUACUAGUUUAUGUUUUUAUAAUUUUAUUUAUUAAAAUACACUUUAUUCAUUUAAUUGAUGUAGCAUAUGAUAUGAAUAUACCACAUCAUAUAAUAUAAAAAUAUAUGAUAUGAUAUAGAAAUAUAAGAUAAAAAUAUGAUAAGUGUAGCAUUACUCUGGAAUGUGUGGCGACUAUACGGAGAGUGGUGAGGAGAGAAAGUGAGAGGCUCCUUUAUCCUGGUUGUUUGAAAGAUCCAAGAUGGGUAUGUUUGAAAGCUCCUCUAUCUUUGUUGUUUGAAAGCUCCAAGUGUGACAUUGUUGAAUGUUGACCAGUUCCAUGUUUCGGUUUUCGACACGGCACAUGUGGUCUCGUCUCCAGUGGCGGAGCUAGGAUUCUUAGUAUGCAGGGGCCAAAAUUUCAAAAUCACUUCUACUAGAUUUUUCAUCUUCAACUGGGAGGGCCAUCACUAAUCUAAUUGCAGUAAUUGUAUUACUAUAUCAUAUAUUUUAUAAUAUAUUACAAAAGAUUAAUAAUUAAGUGGGGGGGCCAGGGCCAUGGCAGGCCUGGCUGUAGCUCCGCCCCUGCUCGUCUCUGUCAAAUUGAACCGGAUUCCUAGGCUACAAUUUAUCUAAUUAACUACACUACUCAUUCUAAUUCAUUCUUUAAUUAUUACACUUUAGCAUGCUUCUUAUCAAUUUGAACCCCCAUUAUUAAAAAAAAACAAAAAAAAACAAACGAACGAACAGAAAGUGAAAGGUUAAGUAUGCUUUUUACACACGUUUAAAAAUCUUUAUGUAAUUAGCAAAUAUUCAGAAUAUUAUUUAUUUUAAUUAGUUAUUAACCAUACUAGUAAUCAACAAUCAUGUAUAAAUACGUAAUUGUCGACAAUAUAAUAUUCAGUCUCUAUAGCAGAGAAAGACAUCAUAUGCCCAGGAAUGGUUGAAAGAAGUAAAGGAAGAGGAGGCUUCUAAUAAUUGAGUGGUCACUGAAUCCAUUUUGUUUGAUACUGUCAAAGACUUGAAAUAAUUUAUAUAGGGUUUAGGGUGUAUGCCACUUUCAUAUGCUGGUUCCUGCUACCUUCAACGUACUGUGAAAGUCAACGUGAAUGAGAUCGUGCUUGGUAUUUCCUGCGGAUUUCGGUGCAAUUUUGAAGGUGUUUACUAAUCCAGUCGUGUAUAUAGUUGAUGAUGAAGAUGACAAAGAUUCUACCAGUCAUCUGUUAAAGGAUCGUGGUAUAUAAGUCGUAAUACCAUAAAAAAAGUUGAGAUUACAUUCCAAAAUUAAUUGACAAUGAAGGAAGUAUAAGUCCUUACUAAAAUUUUCAACUUUCCAAUAUGAAACAUUUUUUCACAUUCUACCGAAAGAAGCCACACAACCAAAUGCUCAAGCCAUUUAUUUUAAAUUUUAGCUUAACGUGUGGUUGUCCUAACUCAAUCGAAUAAUAUUUAAACUUCUUAUUAAAAAAAUUAAAAAAGGAAGUGCAGGUUAGAGUCUUGAGACUUUGUCUAAAUUUGUUACUUUAAAUUGAAAUGGAAAAAGGUCUCCUGUUCUUAGUUGACCCUUAGUUUAUAUACUCUGUUUGUAGUUUGUCCCUGUACUAUGCGUGUGGAAUUGUGUGGUUGAAGCAGUAUAUCAUUAAAUUUCAAAGCAGUACUGAAUCCUACCAUGACUAGUCUAAUAAAAUUGAAUGACUCCAUGUUUAUGAUUCUUAUUGAACCCUACCAUGAAACCUUUAAACCAAUAAAAAAGUGACAAGUGGUUUUUUCGGAAAUUCUAUCUCUUGGUAUGAAGAGGCCCUUGAUUUUCUGUAACACCCCGACCCCAAAUUUAACCCUUAUUUACUUAUUUAAUUAUUUAAGGGUAUUUUGGUCAUAUUUUUAACCGGAAAGAGUUUGGAGCAGUGACUAGUAUUUUUGGAUAGGUCGUACUGAGAUGAGUUCAUAGACACGUAGUGGGCUCGAAUCGGAGUUGUAACGAGAGAGAUAUGGUCAAAAGAAACCCAGUGGCAAAAUCGUAAAUAUUUUGAAAUGGGAUUUUUUAUAAAAAUCAGAUUUUCUCUCUCUCUCUCUCUCUCCCUGCGCAGAAACAGCCCCCCCUGUUACUGUUCACCGCGGUGGUUUUUGGGCCACCACAGUCGCAUCCGGCCAUCGCUGGGGGUGGCACCGGUCCCAAAAGAACCGUGCCAUCUUCCUCUUCCCAUCCCGGCCAAUCUCAGCCACUGGAACCACCUGUGCUCGCCGGAAAAUGCAAAAAUCCGACCGUUUUUAACCCAAAAUUCAAGGAGCUCGUUCUCCCUCAUUUCUUCUCCAAAUUUGACGAGUAAGGUAUGGAUUUCUACCUAUUUUCCAUGCUCUAGCUGAUGGUUGGGUAGGAUUUCCUUAAUUUUGAGCCUAGGAUAGUCGAUCUUCGAUUUGAAAUUCUGCCGAUUUUGGGAGUUUGUUUUCGGCCACUUCCGGUCCGUUUUUGGGGUAGGUCCAAGAACAAAAGUGGCUCCAAAUAGGGUGUUAUACCUAGGGUAGGAAUUGGGAGCCGUGGUUUUGAGAUUUUCCGGCGAAGCGUUAUCGCUUUGGGCACCCACGCGCUGCCGGCUCGUGCGGCGGCGCGUGGGCACUGUGGAAAAAGUGACACUGUGUCUCGAUGAGAUCCUUAGGUUGUCACGAGUGCGUAGGAUUUCACGGAUCUCAAUUCGGACGUCGUUUGACUAUCGAACUGACGAUCGCAUAUUGUGCGUUAUCCGGGUUCGAUAGGUUGGGACCGUUGGAUGGACCCAAAUUUAAUAUAUGUUAAUCUAGAUAAUUCUAGGAUCGUGUAGGAAUUCACGGAUCGUGAAUCGGAGCCCCGAAUGUUCCGAAUAAUAAUUUUAAAGUUUAUAUUUUAUAUUAACCGUCAGAUCGUGCGAUCGUGAGCGUUCCGACCGUCCGAUCUGAACCAAACUUGCAGGACAAGUGUCCUGUACCUGGUAGAACCCGUAGGGACUUUCGGAUCGGAAAUUGGAGGUCGUGGGUUCCGCACGUCCGUUUGACCAAGGUUAGAGUAGUUUGACCCUUGGUUGACCGUGAGUCUCCCGGAGUAAUCUCACCUUUCCAAGGGAGAUUAUCGGGUGCUAGACUAUUGAGGAGGGUUACACAAUAUUAGAAUUAAUAUAUAUAAUUAUAAUUAUAAUAUGUUUGUACAAGAGUACAAAAGAGUCUAGACUGUCAGUUUGGAGUGCUAUACGCACUACCUUAGGUACCUUCCCGGCUUUUGAAUUCACUACAAGUACCACCAAGUGAAAGUUAGGUCCCACGUGGCGUAGGUUAUCCGGCGUGUGGACAGGCCCCAUACGUGGCGUUGGUUGUACCGGCGUAUGGGGAGAUUUGUAAUAUGAUGUUCAGGUCUCACGUGACGUAGGUUAUCCGGCGUUGAGACAGGCCCCAUACGUGGCGUUGGUUGUACCGGCGUAUGGGGAGAUUAUGUGAUAUUGUGUUGAGGUCGCACGUGGCGUAGGUUAUCCGGCGUGUCGACAGACCCCAUACGUGGCGUUGGUUGUACCGGAGUAUGGGGAGAUUUGUGAUAUGAUGUUGAGGUCCCGCAUGGCGUAGGUUAUCCGGCGUUGGGACAGGCCCCAUACGUGGCGUUGGGACAGGCCCCAUACGUGGCGUUGGUUGUACCGGCGUAUGGGGAGAUAUGUGAUAUGAUGUGCAGGUCUCGCGUGGCGUAGGUUAUCCGGCGUUGAGACAGACCCCAUACGUGGCGUUGGUUGUACCGGCGUAUGGGGAGAUAUUAUGAUAGUAUGGCAUGGUCGCACGUGGCGUAGGUUAUCCGGCGUGUUGACAGGCCCCAUACGUGGCGUUGGUUGUACCGGCGUAUGGGGAAAUUAUAUGAAAUACAAAGAAAUGAAAUCAGGUAUCGCCCAAGUGUGGAAUUGGGUUUUAUGGAAGAACUACGUGUGGCUUGAUCCCUCAAAGAGGGUACGUAGGCAGCCUAAGGUUAUUAGGUGCAGCCGCAGACUAAAUGUUAGUCUUAUAGAGAUUGGUUCGGACCUUGUUGUUGGUCCUGAAAUUGAGGUGAAAUUGUGAUUGUGUUAGGAGGCUAAAACCUUGCAUGUUGAAAUUUAACAGUCCUAGUUUAUAUUUUGAAUUUAUUGUUUACCUUGCUUAAGGCGUGAAUUGAUUGGCUAGCAUGUUUGGUAGUUGGUUGAGAUUUAUUGGAAGGCCGAAUGCCAUUUAUGAGAAUUUGCAUGAAAUUAUAUUGUGCAUGCUGCCAGUUGGGAAUAUUAAAUGCGUUUUAUGCAGGUUGAAAUUUUGGGAAAUGUCCAAUUUAUGGGGGAGACUCUGCCGAAAUUUCGGCAGGAAGUCUCGGUCUUUAGUAAGUGGGCCUGGCAUCGGGAUGAUGUCGGGAAUUCCAAAGGGUUUGCCUCGGGUUUUGAAAAAUUCGGGGCGGGUCCUUUCAUUUUCUUAUUGAUGUUUGAGGAUUGUAACAAGUAGUUUUUUUUCUGGUAUGAUUCUAGGGGGACGGGGUACUCUAAACGCUAAACAUGUAUAGUCCCCUUUUUUGUACUUGUCUCACUUCCUCUAAUGAAUAAAAUCAUAUCGCUUAUCUCUAAAAAAACCAAUAAAAAAGUGAUAAACGAGGAUCUAAUUUAGCACCUUUUAUAAAGAAUUUUUCUCAUCUAAUGUGAAAAAAAAAAAAAAAUCAUUAUUUUUGAAAAUUUAAACUGCUAAAGACAAUAUUAGCGAAUGUGACAAUAAUGUAUAUCAACCAUCCAAGUCUAAAGUUAUUUUGUUAGAUGCUAUUCUAAUUUCAGAUAAAUGUUUUAACAGUUUAAAAAAUAAAUUUGUUAUUCAACUGCUUAAGACAUGAGCCAAAAGCAAAUAUGUAAAAUCCAAGCUACCCCCAAUUAUCACACAUUCAUAUGUUCCAGUGCAAGUUCCUUCAUAUUUCAAUCCAAAUCCCAAACCUCCUCUCAAAAUCCUAUCUGUGCACUCUCUCAGAAUAAUUAAGAAUGCCCAUAGCUAUCCGUGUAUAUAUAUAUAAUUAUAUUCUAUGCGGACAUCCGGACGUUAUUAUCGUGCGGACGUCAUGUAUUUUGUACUACUCCUCUCUGCUUUCAUGCAUAUUUACAAUAGUAUCUGCACGAUAAUAACGUGCAGACAUCCGGAUAAGAGAAUAACUAUAUAUAGAUUAAUAAUGUGUGUCAUAUGUCAAAAAAAUAUUCGCUCAUCGUGACCCUAUAUAUAUACUUAUAUAUCUCAAAGUGACAGAUGCCAUACAAGUCUCACAGCACAAAUGCUGUCAAGCAUUAGUAGUUCGUGGCGGGCUGUGAAAGAGGUCUUUCUUCAAAUGGAUGUCGAAAUCAAGGCCUUGAUGGCCUUUUGCUUUUCUGGAGUUGAUCCUUUACAGGGGAUAAGAACUAAGGAGAUGAGCUGCUGAAUGCUGGUUUUGUUGGUGCAGUUAGUUUGACAGCACCCCAACACCCAAGAAAGAGGACCGGCAAAAUGUUUACUUUGAAAGGAUUCUGCUUAUUCAUAACUAUGCACACAAAGCGAGCUAUGGAGGACAGCCACUGAGAGAAUGCACAAAUUAAUCCAAAAACGUGAGGGAAAAUAUCGCCUGAACUUUCUCCGGGACUCUCAGAUUCGACGAUUUUUUCUAUUUUAAACUUGAGAAUGAGUUCGCAGACGCAAGUGACUAGAGCCACAGAAGCCAACGACAUACCAAUUAGUGCAUACUGGGGCUUUCUUCGGGAGGACAACUGAUCACAAAUAGCUGAAGAUAUCUCCAGGACGAAGCUAAUGAUUAAAAAUAUCCACUGUACUGAAACGGCCUACAAAAAUGAUAUAUAAUUAGCAACACGAUCAACAACAUCUACUGUGCUGAAAAAAAAAAUAAAAAAUCUCCAAGGCAUAUGCAAAGAAGGACGAAAUGAGAAAGCUUUACAUUCUAUAAAAGAAAGUAGAAGAUUUACCAAAAGAAGGCAAAUAUGUUGAAUAUAUAUCUUCUUACCUUUGAUAAGAAGUUUUUAGCAGUUUUGACAAACAAAAAUAAGCUUUUAGUAGUAGUACCCCACCAUGUCUCCGCUGAUAAUAAGGGCACCAUGCCCUAGUAUGAAGAAACAAUUGCAUUAACAUAUAGUAACAUAACAUAAUUAAGAUUUUUCUUGUCAAUUCAAUAAGAUAAUACAUAUGUGCAUAUAAUUUCAUCCUUGCAAACCAUCUAUCUUUUAAGUGUUCAUUCAAAGAUCAUUUCUACAAAAAUUUAGACAAGUUGAAAAUCAUAAGACAUCUAAGUGUGAUUAACAAAAUCACCAACACCGUAUUUAAAGAAAACACUAAAAUGACAACUAUUUAAUUGAAUGGUUAAAUAAUUUCAUAUAUGAGUGCUUGUUUGAACUGAUGAUCUUUGAGCGAAUACCUAACACAAAUGGGUGAGAUCAUUAAAAUACAAUGCGAAGUGUGCCCUACAAAAAUGUUUCUUAUUUGAGAGAUCCAUCAACUGAAACUCUCUGCAUAUAUAUAUAUAUUAUACUCACAUCGUUGACAUCCCCAAUUUGUAGAGCGAUCCUUUCUUUCUUAAUGUCGGAGUCAUAAUUUAGUCCCUAUAAUAUGAAGAAAAAAAAAUUGCAUUAACAAAUUACUAUAAGAAAUAGAAAAGUUAUUCUUACCCAAUUGAAUAAAAUAAUACCUUGAGUGUCUAUAUAUAUAUAUACUAACCGUAGCAUCUUCCAUUAUGGGAUUUGUUCUUUGACCACUUGAUAGAGAAUCGAAUAAUGUAUCAUGUUGUGCAAAAGAGUUUUCUGAGCUUCUACUUUCAUCCAAUCCCUAUAUAGCACGAAAAAAAAUUGCAUUAACAAAUUAAUAUAGAAAAAAAAGGAAUUAUUCUAGUCAAAAUGAACAAGACAAUGUAUAUUACUCACUAUAUCAUUCUCACUGUUUGAAAUUAUCCUCUGAGGACUCCUUUCUACUUCUUGAACACUCGAUAAUGUUUCAUGUCGUCCAAACGAGCUUUCCGUGCUUCCACCUCCAUUCAAUACCUAUUGAUGAAAGUAAAUUGCAUUAACAAAUUAAUAUAAAAUAUGAGAAAGUUUUGCUUCUCAAAUUGACAAAGACAAUACCUAUCUUUAUAUAUAUAUAUAUAUAUAUAUAUAUAUAUAUAUUAUAAUCUCGUUCACCUAAGAACUUAAAAAUAAAGUCUAGUGAGCACCUAUUUAAUAAAUGCUCUUGGAUUAAUCCAAUGACACAUAUAAUUAGUAGUAAACCCUCAUUCAUUCUCCAUAUUUUACCCAAAUAAACCCUAAUCAUUCUAAUAUUAAAAAAACAAAAGGAGAAAAAGAAAAUUAGGGAAUGUGUUGGGGAAGAGAAAGGGGAGAGAGAAAAAAUGUUUUGGUGAUAGAAAUUUACCUUUUCUAGAAAAUAGAGAGAAGAGAGAGUAAAGCAUUUUUAAUUUAAUUUUCAUGUAAGAUUUAAUCUCAUUCAUUAAAAGUAGAGCAAUCUAAUGACUUAAAAAUUGUGUCAAAAUUUGCGUAUAAAAAUAUGAUGUCACGGAUCUGCCCAUAUAUAUAGUGCUGCUAUUUUUCCACUCACCUGUUCUAUUUUCCCAUUCACAAUUAUUCCUAAAACACCCUUAAAUUAUUAAAAUAAACUAAUAAUAAAAUAACAUUUAAAAAAAUAAAAACCCUCUCUCCUCCCUUCCUAACGCACCCCCUCAGCAACACUAGCUGUGCCACACCCACCCCCCUCCCAAACCUCUUCACCCUCGUCCACCAUAUAAGAUGAGUGGGGAAAUAAGAUACGUGUGUGGAAAUAGCAGCACUAUAUAUAUAUAUAUUAUAGUAUGCUUUUAUUGAGACAUUCUUAAAUUUUUUUUGAGGGACACCAUUAGGGUCUUCUACAAUUUUUUUUUUUUCAACGAUCCAAAUCUUCUAUUUUCCAAGUCUUCAUUCAUAGAUCAUCCUUGCAAAAAAUCAAGAAAAUAAUUUUUAUUUUUAUUUUAGGGACACCCUUUAGGGUCUCUUAAGAUUUUUUUUAACGAUCCAAACUGUUUAUUUUUCAAGUCUUCAUUCAUAGAUCAUCCUUGUAAAAAAUUAAGAAAAUUAAAAAUCAUUAAGGCAUCUAAUUGAAACCAACAAAAUAGAACAUGAUGCUUUAAGAAAAGAAGUAUAAUAAUAACCAUCUAAUUGAGUGGUCAAAUGAUUUCGGAUUCAAGUGAUUUUUUUGUAGAGAUGAUCUUUGAGGGCAUAUCUAAAAACUAGACGGUUCAGAUCAUUGAAAUACAAUUUGUGGUGAGCCAUACAAGGGAUCAAAUAAACUUAUUUGAGGAAUCCCUCAACUGAAUAUAGAACAUUGUACUUACUGUAUCAUCCUCUGUUUUUGAAAUUAUCCUUUGAUCCUUUUCUUCUUCUUGAGUAGUGGAUACUGCUUCAUGUUGUCCGGUUGCGUUUUCAUUGCUUCCCGCUUCAUUCAAUACCUAUAGAGGAGAAAAAUAACUGCAUUGGCUAUGAAAAAGUUUUGCUUGUCAAAUUGAACAAGACAAUACAUAUUCUACAGUCUACUCACUGUGUCAUAAGUUUUCGAAAUUAUCCUUGGAUCCCUUUCCACUUCUUGAGUACUGGAUAAUGUCUCAUUUCUUCUGGUCGAGUUUUCUGUGCGUUCAGCUUCAUUCAAUACCUAUAGAUGAAAAAAUAAAUUGCAUUAACAAAUUAACAUAAAAAACGAAAGUAAUUUCCUUGUAAAAUUGAACAGAUAGUACAUAUGUGCAUAUAUAUUAUAUACAUAUUCUACCCACUGUAUCAUAUGUUUUUGAAAUUAUUCUUCGAUCACUUUCUAUUUCUUGAGUACUGGAUGAUGUCUCAUGUCGUCCAAUCGAGUUUUCCAUGCUUUCAAGUUCAUUCAAUAUCUGUUGAUGAAAAAGAAAUUGCAUUAAUUACAAAAUAAAAAAGAAGUUUUCUUGUCUAAUUGAGAAAUACAAUAUAUAUAUAUAUAUAUAUAUAUACACACACACGCAUAUUGUACUCACUGCAACAUUGUCAGUUUCUAGAAUUUUUCUUUGAUGCCUUCCUACUUCCGGAGUAGCAAGCAAACUUUCAGUGCUUUCCGUUUCAUUGUGUCCCUGUAGUAUGGAAAACACUAAUUGAUGAAUAAAUAAGAAUAAGAAAUUAAAAAGAUUUCCCUGUAAAUGUGUGCGUGUGUAUAUAUAUAUAUAUGUAUGUAUGUGUCAUUGCUUACUGUGGUUUCUGUGAGAAAAUAGUUAAUAUUGUCGUGAAAAUCAUUUCCAAGUAUAUCUUUAUCCAUUUCGUUCAGAAAGGAAUACACCCAAGCAUCUUUGUCUUCUUCAAUAUCCUCGAGGCCAUUUUCUUGUUUUAGUGCAUUUUUGGUUAUUUCCAGGACUUCAUGAAUAGUUGAGGCAGAAGCUGUUCUGUAACUGUUUAAUACAGAUUGCCAUUGAGCUAUACUUUUCCCACAUACGAGUAAACCCAUAGCUGUAAGAGCUAAUGGAUUCCCUCGAGCAUAGUCUAAGAAACUAGUUGCGAGUUUCCGGUAAUCAGGAUCAUCCGGCAGCCUACUUCUUGGGAAGGCAUUAGAACUGAAGACCUCCAAAGCUUCACCAAACUCUAAUUUCUUGACCUUGUAUGCUAGGUCUACUCGAUAAUUAACGAGUACAUGCUCAAACCUUGUUGUUAUGAUAAUUCUACUGCCAGAAGCAAACCAAUUAAAUUCUCCGACUAAUUUUUCUAAUUGGUUAUUUUGACUCACAUCAUCAAGCACUACGAGAACCCUCUUUCGGCGCAUCAUGUUCUUCAUCACUCGGAUUCUUCCAACAAUACUGUUCACCCCCAAUCUUACGUCUCCUAGAAUGCUUCUAAGAAGAUUAUGUUGUAGUUGGAGCAGGCCUUCCGAUGUCUUUGAAUUCUCUCUAACAUUUUCCAAAAAGCAGCAAGCUUCAAACUUAUGGGCCACUGAAUUAUAUACAGCUUUAGCAAUUGUUGUCUUACCCAUUCCACCAUCACCCGAUAUACCUACCAUGCGAACAUCAGGGUCUCCAAUGCCUAAAAGAUCGUGCAUAUCUUGUACGCGAGACUCUAUUUCAAUUGGAUAGUUGGCCUCAUAUUUCAAAUAAGUACGGUUUAAUAAUUGUGAAAUAUGUUCAUAGACGCGAUGAAUCAAUUGGGAUACAUGCCUGCCAAACAUAUUCAUAACACGUUAGUCAAAUCAAAGUUUGCCGCAUAUGUUUAAAUAAGGCAAAGAACAUAUAAACCGGCAAAAAAGAGAGUAGAGGAUUUGCUAGAUUAACAAGCCACUUUUACUUUGAGUAAUUAUUGUGUGGUACUGUGAAAACAGUAGCUUGAUAUAACUUUCACGUUAUAACGUCAGUUGAGAUUAAACAGAAAAAGAAGAUAACCCUUGCUCCCAAAAAAAAAAAGCAAGAUAACCCUCAAAUGACUAAAUGUGGUUAGAAAAAUACCCGAAGAGAUGGAACCCAGGCAAAACAACUGCUUCCCUAAGAGCUGCCCUCCAUCUCAAUACCUUCUCUGUAUCAUCAUUGAACUUGCGUUCAUGGUUAAAUAAUGCAUCACCAAAAUUGUCAGUUUGCUUUCUGACAUCUGAGGGGUCCACUUUGUAAAAAAUUGGCAAAACAAUUUGUUGCUGUGUUUUUUUACAUUCAAGGAUCUUAACGAGUUCAUCCAAGCACCACGGUGAAGAUGCAUAGUUCUCAGAGAAUAUAAUGAUAGAAAUCUUUGACUUUUCAAUUUCCUUGAGAAACGUUGGUGAUGUUCCAUCCCCUGUUCUAAGGUCAUCAUCCAUCAAGGUUUUAAUUCCCAUCUGUUGCAAAUUGCUGCACAAGCGGUUUGUAAAACUGUAGUAUGUAUCCGCAGGUCUAGAACUGAGAAAGACAUCAUACUUCCAAGUAUUAGUGGUAGCCUACAGAAGAAAUUGGUGAAAUAUUCAAUUAAAAUUUGAAGAUAUCCAGCAAGAAAUGUGCAAAAGAAUUCAAUCAAUCUAAAUGAAACUUGUACUAUAGCGUAGAUUCAAGUCCUGUAAGUCAUGUUUCCAAAUAAAACCCCAAAAAACUCUUACCGCACUCUCUCCUAGCUUCAAAGAAAAAACUCAAUAGGAGGCAUGAAGAAGAAGCAUCACUUUCCAUUUAGGCCAAAUGCGGUGAUGGUUUUGACAGUAACGCUUCUUCAAUUUGUAGCAGUAGUGUUCAUUUAGGCUCAUGAAAUUUGAGCUAUUUUGAGUUUUGUGGGCCUUAUUUGAGAUUAUGCUUAAACUCAACUAUGCUGACUACUAGUAGUUGGUAAGUCUUGUAAGUCAUGUUUCCAAUCUAUAGAUUUCAGAUUUUGUAAACUUUACGAGGCAAAAAUUGGGAAAAGAAAAGAAAGGAACAAAUGACAUACAAACUUGAAAGAAAUUUAUAAUAGAAUCCCACAAACAAAAGCUUUUCAAAUAACAAUGUACGAAAGUAAUAUAAAAAACUAUGACAUGUCAAAGUUAUGUCAAUGUGGGACUCUUCGUCAGUUUGAUUCUAAUCAGAUAUUAAUGUGUAUAAUGAGGGCCCUCUUUUGUUUGGCUCAAAUUGGUUUAAAGUAUCUGCCCUGCAUAGUGAGUUCAUGUGUUUGAAUUCCCGGCUUUCAAUAUUUUUUGUAUAAAAAUAAAUAAAUAAAUAAACAUGCCAUUCUGUGGAAAAUACAAGAUAGCAAACUAAAAUUAAUCCUAUGUUGUCAACUAAAAUCGAUGAAAAAUAUUGUCAUAUACAUAUUCAAGCCAAUCUAUCUACCAAUCUCAACUCGUUAGGAAGAUAAUAUCCCCAAAAUGAUUUGCAAUAAAUUUAUAAAAAGUUGAAGACUUUUCACCUUUGAGAAACUUGUAGCAUCUGGUUGACGUAUGAUGUCUUCAAUUUCCUCCGUCUCCUAGAAUGAAAAGUUGAUUACUCAACUAAGCAAGGUCUUUAUCAAAUAAAAAUAAAGGUAUUCCAGAUAAAUCUAUUUUAAUGCUGGAAUUAAUAUAUACAUAUAUAUAUAUAUAUAUAUUCGUCCCAUUUUAUGGAGGAAUUCUUCAAAUUAUUUUAUUUGAAAGGUACCUUACUAAUUUUUUAUAAACGAUCCAAACCGUCUAUUUUUUUUGAGUUUUCAUUCAUAAAUCAUCCUUGCAACCCAAAAAAAAAAAAAAAGAAAAAAAAAAAAAAAGACAAAUAGAAAAUCAUGGCAUCUAAUUGAGACUAACAAAAUCAAUGAACACGGUGCUUCAAGAAAGUACUUAAAUUUUAAUAAUUUAAUUGAAUGGUCAAAUGAUAUUAGAUUGAAGUGAUUUUUUUUUGUAGAGAUGAUCUUUGAAUGAGUAUUUACAAUAGACGGUUUGAAAUUUUAGUACUUUCUUGAAGCACAAUGUUCAUUGAUUUUGUAGGACACAAUUCGAUGUCGAAACGGUUUUCGAUUUGUCUAAUUUGUUGUAAGGAUGAUCUAUGAAUGAAGACCUAAAAAAUAGAUGGUUUGGAUCAUUGGAAAGAAAUUGUAGAGUACCCUAAAGGGUGUCCCUCAAUAGAAUAUAUAUAUAUAUAUAACUUACUCUGUUUUCUCUCAAAUAGGUACGGCUUAGUUGUACUGAAACCUCUUCAGCCAUCUUGUGCACAAAUUUAGGUUCAUCCCUGCCAGUUUAAAAGCAAAUGAUGAAACAUUUCAUAAAAUGGAAUUGAGUUGAUCUAAGAAACCUAUUUUGUAUAAAUUGUACUUGAUUGCCCGUUAAGACAGCAUAGUAUCAUGUAUGGGAGAUGAACUUAUGGUAUGAAAAAUAUACACGUAAUAUUUGUUAUGUAAAGCUUUUCUUUUCCUAAAUAAGUGACGAUUGUGGAAAAAUCUCUGAACCUUCAAUGGGCGUUAUGGAAGGCAUUGACCAAUGGCCACACCGCUUAAGAGGGCAAUAUUCUUUAUUUUUUAUUAGUUAAGUUAACUUCCGUUAGAUUUAGGGGUUGUUACUGAAAUAAAUCAAAUCUUUGUUACCUCAUUAGAUUUGCUAGAAAAUAAUGUGGAAACAUCACAAAUGGGCUAGAAAAUAUACCCGCGCAAGAAAGACCACCAACACAAAUUUGCUGCUUUCACAAGAGCUCUCCUCCAUCUCAACACCUUCUCCAUAUCAUCCUUGAAUUUGGUUUCAUGGCUAGCAAAUGCCUCACCAAAACUACCCUCUUGGUUUCUCACAUGGGAGGGCAUCACCUUGUAGAAAAUUGGUACAACAAUUUGUUGCUUUGAUUCUUUACAUUCAAGGAUCUUAACGAGUCCCUCCAAGCACCAUACGGAAGAUGCAUAGUUUUCGGAGAAAACAAUGAUAGAAAUCCUUGAUCGUUCAAUUGCUUGGAGAAAGUCUUGUGAUAUUUCUUCAUCUCCACUUCUAACCUCAUCAUCUAUGUAAGUUAUAAUUUCCUUCUGAAGCAACUCGCUGUACAAAUGCUCAGUAAAACCGUUGCGUGUAUCUUCAGCUCUAAAAUUGAGAAAGACUUCAUAUGUAAGUGGAUGGGUGAAAUAAGAAGAGGAAGAAGAGGCUCCUGAAUUUUUUCUGGUCAAAGAAGAGGCUCCUGAAUGAGAGGUGAUUGACUGCAUAUCCGCUAGCUGGAUAUGUAAAAGAGUUGGGGAGAAUGGUUAAUCUCUCUUGUUAUUAUAUAUAUGUUAGGCAACUUGCUCAAGUAUCGUCAUUUUUUUUUGAAGCAGUUUCCUGUCACCUUCGACGCCGGAAAGUCAAACCAACGCGAUUUGCUAAGAGCAUAAUUUCCUGGCACUUCAAAGGCGGGCAAAAUUUGGGGUUUACCCUGUGAAAGAGUUGAAAAAGACAUAAGACUGGGGGUCGUUUCUCUGUCUCUUUCUUUUUGGCUUGAUUGUUAUGGGUGGCACAAGCCAGUGCGUGUCACCAUUGAAUUGGUUCCUAAAUUCUAACAUAAUAAUUUGAAAUAAUUAGUGAAAUGAUGCCCUGCUCCCCAGUCUCCGAUAAUUUGAAAUAAUUAGUAAGGCAUUAUUCAUCAAGUUUUUUUUCUUCUGUGAUGUUAUCAGUCUACUCAUAUUAUAACGAUGUUCAUUACUACAAAAAACACUUUGCGCGACAAAAUAAGUUUGUUGCACAAAGUACAAUUUUGUCACGCAAAACUCGUGAAUAAAGGAUUUGCGCGACGAACCUUAUGGUCGCACAAAUCUACCUCGUCGCACAAAACUUUGCGCGACGAAAAGUAUUGGUCGCGCAAAGUUUUGCGUGACGAAAAAUAUUGGUCGCGCAAAGACAAAAAAAUUUUAUUAAAAAAAAAAUCCCGCAUCCCAUUUUUGGUACUUGCCCAAAUUUUUAAAGUUUUGCGCGAUCAAUAAUAACGUCACCCAAAUAUUUGCGCGACGAAAUAUUUUUUGUGUUUUAAAAUUUUUUAAUUAAAAUAAACUAAUUUAAUAGUUUGCUCGACGAAAUAUUUUGUCGUGUUAGGCUUUUGAUUUUUUUUAAAAUAUUAAUUUAAUUUAAUUAAUUUAUUCAAAUUUUGACUUUUUAAAUUUAAUUUAAUUGUAUAUUUUUUUAAUUACUUUAAUUUAAAUUGACAUAUUCAAAAUAAACUUACAUAUGAAAAAUGGUGAUUAAAUUAUCCAAUAAAUAAAUAAAUAUAUAAUAUUCAAAAUGUACACAUAAAUUAACAAAGUACAAUAAUAAAAUUCUAAUACAAAUCUAUUGUAGUGGUAGUGGCGGAGGAUAUGUUUUGAUAGCGUCCUAAUCCUCAACUUUAGCCGUCAAAGUCUCGACGGUUCCCUACCCAAAAAAAAAAAACAAAUAUGGUCAAAUAACAAAAAAGAAAAAAAAUUGGCAUAAUCUCCCCUAAAAUUGUUAUACCACAAAUCCAAUCCAAACUCCAAUCCUCACCCUAUACUCAACCUCAAACCCCACACUAACUCAACACUAACUCCAAAAACACAUAUUGAUGGAAAAAAUUUAAAAUUUAGAGAGAAUAUACCUUUUGGCAAGAUUGAGAGUGAGUGAGAAUGAGAGGGAUAAGUGAGUGUGAGAGAAUUAGAGAAGAUAGUGAGAGAGAGAUGAGAGAGUGAGUGAGAGUGAGAGAUAGUAAAAAGAGAGAUGAGAGAGUGAGUGAGAGUGAGAGAUAAUGAGAGAGUGAGUGAGAGUGAGAGAUAGUGAAAAGAGAUAUGAGAGUGAGUGAGAGUGAGAGAUAGUGAAGAGAGAGAUGAGAGAUUAAGUGAGAGGAGUGAGUGUGAGAGAAAGGGUGGGAUUUGGAGAGAGGGAAAGAGAGAGAGAGGAGAAGUAAGAGUAGAGAAAGACAUUGACAAAAUGGUGGAGGAGUUAUUUUGGUUUUAAAAACCGUAUCACUUUGCGCGACGAAAAAUAUAUAUUGGUCGCACAAAGUUUUGCGUGAUGAAAAACAUUGGAUUAUUGGUUGCGCAAAGUUUGCGUGACGAAAAAUACUGGUCGUACAACGUUUUGCCCGACGAAAAGUAUUGGUUGUGCAAAGUCUAAAAAAAAAAUUUAAAUUUUUUUUUCCCACAUCUCAUUUUUGGUACCCGCCAAAAUUUUAAAGUUUUGCACGGCAAAAAAUAUUGGUAGAGCAAAGUCUAAAAAAAAUUAAAAUUUUUUUUUUCCCACGUCUCACUUUUGGCACCCGCCCAAAUUUUUAAAGUUUUGCGCAACGAAAAAUAUUGGUUGCGCAAAGUCUAAAAAAAAUUUUAAAAUAAAAAUUUCCCACUUCUUAUUUUUGGUACCCGCCCCAAAUUUUAAAGUUUUGCGCAACAAAAAAUAUUCGAACAUUGGUCGCGCAAAGUUUUGCGUGACGAAAAAAAUUGUUAUGAAUAAUAAAAAUUAAAAAAUAUUUUAUUUUACAAUUUAAAAUAUAAAUAAGGUUAAAGCUACUUAAUAAAUAUGUAUACUAUUCAAUUUCUUAAGUUUUAUACGUACAAAAUAAAUAAAUUUAAAGCUACUUAAUAAGUAUAUAUAUUAUACACACACACACACACCAUUCAACAAUUCAACCGUCAAACUUGUUUCUAUGUAUUUCAAGAUCGUAUACCCCAAAAAAUCGCAAAAAAACAAACAUUCAAAUAUCUAGUAACGGGACAAAACUUUGCGAUUGUUAUAAAUAAAAAAUCACGAUUUAACGGUUAUUUUAACUCCGAUUUUGAUGAUUUUUUACAGCUACACUUAUUGACCCUAUAUGAAUACAAUGACUAAAUUUGAUCUUCAGUUUAAAAUAUUUACACUAGUAGAUACCACAAAAUCUUAUGUUAUAUUUAACAAAAGUAUAAAUAAACUCUUAAUUGUUAGUGAAUAUAUUAUUUUAAUGGCAUACGCAUUCAACAAAACUAGUUUCAACGAUCCAACCGUCAAACUUGUUUGUUUAUACUUUGAGAUCAUAUACGCCAAAAAUCGAAAAAGAUAAACAUUCAGAGAUCGAGUAAUGGGAUAAAACUUUUGACGGUUAUAAAUGAAAAAUCACGAUUUAACGGUUAUUUUAACUCUGAUUUUGAUGAUUUUUUACAGCUACACUCCUUGACCCUAUAUGAAUACAAUGACUGAAUUUGAUCUUCAAUUUAAAAUAUUUAUACUAAUGGAUACCACAAAAUCUUAUGUUAUAUUUAACGAAAGUAUAAAUAAACUUUUAGUUGUUAGUGAAUAUAUUAUUUUGAUGGCAUACGCAUUCUACGAAACUAGUUUCAACGAUCCAACCGUCAAACUUGUUUCAACGAUCCAACCGUCAAACUUGUUUAAACUUGUUUGUUUAUACUUCGAGAUCAUAUACGCCAAAAAUCGAAAAAAACAAACAUUCGGAGAUCAAGUAACGGGACAUAACUUUUCGACGGUUAUAAAUGAAAAAUCACGAUUUAACGGUUACUUUAACUCCGAUUUUGAUGAUUUUUUACAGCUACACUCCUUGACCCUAUAUGAAUACAAUGACUAAAUUUGAUCUUCAAUUUAAAAUAUUUACACUAGUGGAUACCACAAAAUUUUAUGUUAUAUUUAAUGAAAGUAUAAAUAAACUCUUAAUUGUUAGUGAAUAUAUUGUUUUGAUGGCAUACGCAUUCAACGAAACUAGUUUCAAUGAUCCAACCGUCAAACUUGUUUGUUUAUGCUUUAAGAUCAUAUACGCCAAAAAUUGGAAAAGAGAAAUAUUCAGAGAUCAAGUAAUGAGACAAAACUUUUGACGGUUAUAAAUGAAAAAUCACGAUUUAACGGUUAUUUUAACUCCAAUUUUGAUGAUUUUUUUUUUUACAGCUACACUCCUUGACCCUAUAUGAAUACAAUGAACUAAUUCGAUCAUAAUUUAAAAUAUAUAUUUUCUAACAAAAACCCAAUCUGAACUACAAUUUUUCUAACAAAAAUCCGAUCCGAACUAAAAUAAUAAAUUUAAAGCUACUUAAUAAAUAUAUAUAUAUACCGUUUAAGUGUUACGCAUACAAAAUAAAAAAUAAAAAAAAUGGUUUAGGCUAUGAAAUGUUUGGAUUACGUCAUGCAAAGAUUUAAAUUUUUAAAGUUUUUUUUUUUUUUUUUUGGUAAAGACUUUGCGCGACGAAACACACUUUGUACCUAAAGACUUUGUGCAACGACGUCUCGCAAAGUCAUUUUGCACUACAAAAAACAAUUCAUCGCGCAAAGUUUGGUCGCGCAAAACUUUGAGAGACGAAGUAUUGUCGUCGCGCAAAAGUUUGUUGCGCAAAGUCACUUUGUGAGAUGAAUUGUUUUUCAUCGUGCAAAAUUUGGUCGCGCAAGGGUGUUUUUUUACUAGUGGUUAUAGAUAAUUUUGGGUCACCACUGCCAGUAUAAAAGUAUUUCAAACAUGAAAGGAAAUGGAAUGCAACUGAGACAUAUAUGUUUGAAAGAAGCAAACAUAAAAAAAAAUAUAUAUAUAUAUAUAUAUAUAUAAAAUCAUUACAUCCUUUCAAACUAGUAUAUUAAGUUUUUUCGCACAAAAAAAUAAAUAUUCACCCUCACCCUGUUAGGGUUCUUACUGUGGUUGGGCAAAUUGGAAUGUAUUAUUAGCACCACAAUUUCAAGAAGGCAGAGGGGAGUAAACAUCCUCUCCUGAUUAAAUGGAAGCCGCCCCCUUGUGGUUGGUUCAAGUUAAACUUUGACAGUUCUGUUUGUAAUAAUAUAGAUGCUACGGGUUUUGUUAUUCGAGAUUUCGAUGGUCAUGUUUUAUAUAGGCUUGUGCUAAGAACAUUGGAGAUAAUUUCAUUAAUGUGGCUGAAAGUAUAGAUCAAUGGCCCAAGCUGCAAAGCGCAUCCUGGACCACGCCAGUGACGACACUUGCCCGCGACGCGUCAUCGGCUCGCUCCAAGUCGCGGCGCCUACCUGGCUCCAACACAGCGAGUUAAAAAAAUAAAGAAAAAAGUAGAAGAAGGUGCAGCGGAAAUAGCUGCCAGCAGCCACCGCCACCGCCACCGGCAACCGCAGCAACAGCCACCGCCAGAAGCUGUAGCGAUAGCAGCCGUUGUCAAACGCUGCUGCUCGUGAAUGGGAGAGCGUUGUGCAAAGACAGAAUUUCAAGUUCGGUGCUGCUGAUGGUCCUGAUAGUGCUCUAUGGUGCUUCAGAGCUCAGGGAUUUAUUUGGUUUGCUAUUCAUCGUUAAUUAGGUGGAGUAUAAUAUGAGGUUUCUAAUGGCAUAUUACUUAUAAGCAUAGUAUUGACUUACAUAUGUAUACAUGUGUGUGUUUAUAUAUAUAAUUAAGGCAUAAUACGUAUUGGCUUUGCUUUGCUUCUAAUAACUAUGAAUAAACUACACAUAUAUGCGUGUGAAAGGUUUUUCAUGUGGUUGUUGCAAAACAGAUUCGUCUAGGGUUAACAAUUUUAGAAUGAUUCCAACCCAACCAGAAAUGAAUAGAUUACUUGACUCAAACUUAACUGAAAGUUUAACUAGUAUUACACGAAGAUAAUGAUUUUCUUUCAAUUUUUAAAUGUGCAUUACAUAAUAUUUUUAUUAGAGUUUUUCUAUUUAAACCCCACACUUCUCUUUGUUCAUCCCAACUUCUAAUUCAAAUUUUCACAAUUUCUAAGAAAACCCCAUUAUCUUCCCAAACUACCCAUAAAUAAAUACCCAACGCAAAAAAUAAAAUAAAAACACUCAUCAACCUCACACCCCACACCCUGCUAUCUUGCCUCUCUCUCACCACUCUAAGUUCACCUCAACCUCACAUUAAAAAGAUAAAAACACUAUUGUCAAAUGUUUAGCAGUAUUAUUUUAUUAAUUAUUAUUAAGUUGGAUGACAUCUAUGAGAGCACCGCCAACAAAUACAUCCCAGCAAAUUUGUAGCUAGGUCAAGUGCUUAGAAGCAGUUACCCUACACUUAAGGUCCUAUAUUCGAAUCUCUCCUUCCUCAAUAUCGCUUGUUGAAAAAAAAAAAAGACAAAAAGCAAAUUAUUAUUAUUAUUUUUUUUUGGGGUGAGUUUAAAACCAUGUUAACCAGUAAUCACAAUGUUGUCAGCCAAUAAUACAGAUUAAAGUAUAACUUGAGUGCAAACUACAAUCAGCCAUCCCUUUGUCAUUUACCGGUAUUAUAAAAGAAGAGAAACACACACUAUUUGAAUAGAGCAUCCUCUCCUUUGGUAUGAGAGAAACUUUGCACUGCAAGACAUUGCCAAAAGAAGAUUACAAAGACACACAGGCCCUCAACUUCUCCACCUUUGCGUGCCCUGUUCUUUAGUUCCAACAAGGCCCAUGCCUUCCAACCCAAAACCUCCAAACCAAAAGGCGGGCAUUAGUCAACCCCUUACAACUACGCGAUUCAGUGGCUGAUCAUAAUGUGGUCUCUUACAAUGCAAUGAUUGAAGGUUACUAAAGACAGGAUAAGAUGUCUGAAGCGUUGGAUCUUUUCAAUGAGAUGAGGCGGAGCCCCGAGCACCCACUCCCUCUUGCGUAUGAAGACCCAUGGGAAGCACUCCAAUGGGCUGCGGCCCAUUCGAAUUGUAAUGGACCAUAAACCUGGCUCAACGAUCAUGUUGACUUUGACCGUGUUUUCGUGGCAGGGACAGCGCUGAGGCCAACCUCAUGCACCACGUGGUGCAUCGGGCCUGAGUCCAUGGGUAAAGAUAGUUGGGAUGAUUUUGUUUCACCCGUAGUUUGGGAACGAAAAGCCCAAUAAGCUGCUCAAGGUUAUUUUUCCAGUGUGUAGUGGGCUGAACGACCUGAGAGUGAACCCGGGCAAGGAUCUGAAAUUGGAGGACAUUGGGUGUGGGAAGGUGUUGGUUUUUGUGGCUGAGAAGGACGUUUUGAGGGACAGGGCUUGGGCUUACUAUGAGGCAUUGAAAAUAGUGUGUGGGUGGAGUGAGGUGGUUGAGAUUGUGGAGAGUGAAGGGCAGUGAAAGUUUUCCUCUGGGACUCCAUUAAAGAGCUCAAUCAAGCUUAGCAAUCACAGAAGAUAGAAGAGAGAGUUCGAGAGAGAGAUUUGAUACUGAAGGAAUGUUUUUCCUUAUUUCUCAAAGGAACAGUACCAGCUUAUAUAUCCAUACAUGUAGAUCAGUUUAGCUUAAUUAACACUAACCAGCUGAUUAACUUAACAGAUUGCUAACUAACCAGUAAUCGUAACUAACAUGCCAGCUCACAAUAUACAACUAACAGUACAUGGGCAAAAGAGCUUUAAUCAGGUGGUCUGAGGUGUAGGCUAACAUCCCCCCGCAAGCUAAUGCUAGGAGAACUAAGCAUUAGGUUGUCACGAAGAUAAGAGAAUUGAGAAGUGUGUAAGCCCUUAGUAAAGAUAUCCGCAAGUUGAUUGCUGCUUGGAAUAUGAGAAACCACCAUAUCACCACGAGUGACGCGUUCACGAAUAAAGUGAAAGUCAAUUUAAAUGUGCUUCGUGCGUGCAUGAAAGACAGGGUUACUAGCAAGAGCAAGAGCUGAAAUGUUAUCACACCAAAGAAUAGGGGGUCGAUCAAGAAACAAAUGGAGAUCACAGAGAAGUUGUCGAAGCCAUGACAUCUCAGCUGCAGUGAUUGCAAGAGCUCGAUAUUCUGCUUCUGUCGAAGAACGAGAGACGGUACUUUGUUUCUUGGCACACCAAGAGAUGGGAUUAUUGCCCAGAAAAACAACAUAUCCAGUCGUGGAGCGCCUAUCAUUCACAUCACCAGCCCAGUCAGCAUCAGAAUAGGCCUGAAGAUGAACAUCCCUAGAAGUGAAAUGAAUCCCAUGAGUGAGGGUACCAGCAAGAUAACGUAGAACACGUUUCACAGCAGCAAAAUGAGGCUCAAUAGGAGUGUGCAUAAACUGGCAGAGAGUGUUUACUGCAAAAGAAAUAUAAGGUCUGCUAAAAGUGAGAUAUUGAAGCCCUCCCACCAGACUCCGAUAAAGCGUAGGAUCUGAGAGAGGAACACCAUCAAACUUGAGUAAUUUUGUAGUAGGUAAGCAAGGAGUAGGACAGGGCUUGCAGUGUGUCAUGCCAGCUUUAGCUAGAAGAUCAGUAGCAUAUUUAGAUUGAUUCACAUGAAUACCAGCAGAAGUAUAUUGCACCUGAAGGCCCAAAAAAUAGGUUAAUUUCCCAAGGUCUUUCAUAUCAAACUCAUGACCAAGAGCUGUAAUAGUUUGCUGAAUCAGAAGCAAAUUGUUCCCAGUCAAGAGAAUAUCAUCUACGUAUAAAGGAAGGAUGAGAAGAUCACUGCCAGAUGCUCGAACAAACAAGGAUGUAUCUGCUAAGGACUGAACAAACCCCAGUGUGAGAAGAUGAGUGGUGAAUCUUUCAUUCCAAGCCCGUGGAGCCUGUUUGAGGCCAUAUAAAGAUUUCAACAAGCGACAAACAUGGUAUGGCUGUUUGGAAUCAGUAAAACCAGGUGGCUGUUGCAUGUAAACUUCUUCAUGAAGAAGGCCAUGAAGAAAAGCAUUCUUAACAUCCAGUUGCUUAAUAGUCCAAUGAAAUUGGGCAGCUAAAGCAAGUACCAAGCGAACAGUAGAAUGCUUGACAACAGGGCUGAAUGUUUCAUCAUAGUCUAAACCAGCCUCCUGAUGAAAUCCCUUAGCAACAAGUCGAGCCUUGUGGCGAGAAACGGAUCCAUCAGCAUUCUUUUUCAACUUAAAUACCCAUUUACAGCCAAUGACAUUCAUAGAAGGUUGAUAAGGAACUAGAGUCCAAGUCUUCUGUUUCUCAAGAGCCUGAAACUCUUCAACCAUGGCCUGAGUCCAUUCAGGAGUCUUUGCUGCCAGAGAAUAAGUAUGAGGCUCUAUCAAAUAAGAAGGAGCACAUGAUGUCUUGGCAGCUAAGAAACCCUUACGAGGUUUAAGUAUACCAGACUUGGAACGAGUCUGCAUAGGGUGAACAUUAGUAGAUGGCCCAGAGAGAUCAACACCAAGAUCCACUAAAGAUGAUGGUGAUGCAGUAGAUGAAGAUGUUGGAGACUGUGAAGAGUGUGCUUCAAUAGAACCAGAAGAUUGAGAAGAUUGGGCACCCUGAAGCUGAUCCUGUACAUGCUCAAUAGAACCAUUAGUAACAACUAUAAGAGAAGAGCCAAUAGCUUCCCUGGUAUGUGGUACUGGACUGUGUAGAGAAACAGAAAAAGCAGGGGACACUUGUGAGUCAUCAAGUCGAGACGGAGACUGAGAUACUACAGGUCUAGAUGAAAGAACAGACCGAGAUGAAGGUAAAGCAGUUGGUGGAGGAUGAAAAGAAGUGGUUCUGAAAGGAAAAGAAUCCUCAUCAAAAAUAACAUGUCUAGAUAUAUAAAUGCGAUCAGUAUGAGGUUGAAGACAUAGAUACCCCUUGUAAUCUAAAGCAUACCCCAAAAACACACACUGUUCAGACCUAGGUUGCACCUUAAAUUGGUUGUAAUGAUGUAAAAGAGGAUAACAGGCACACCCAAAGACCUUCAAGGGUGUAAGAUUUGGUUCCCUAUGAAAAAGCUUAGAGAAUGAAGAUUCCAUAUUGAGAGCUCUGCAAGGCAUUCUAUUAAUCAGAUAGUUGGAGGUAGCUAAAGCAUGAAACAAAUACUUAGAAGGAAGAGCAGCAGUAGUUAAGAGAGUAAUGGCAGUCUCCACUAAAUGUCGAUGCUUUCUCUCUGCCCUACCAUUUUGUUCAGGGGUAUAUGGACAUGAUUUGUGGUGGACAAUACCCUUGGAACUAAGAUAGGUCUGGAACUCCAUGGUCACAUAUUCACCCCCACCAUCACUCUGAAAAUUCUUAAUAGUUGCAGCAAAUUGAGUCUCAACAUAAGAAACAAAAUGAACAAAAGAAGAGAAGCAAUCUGACUUCUUUAUUAAUGGAAACAACCAACAAAAUUUGGUACACUCAUCAAGAAAUAUGACAUAGUAUUUAUGACCAUGAAGAGAUGGAUAAGGAGUAGGACCCCAAACAUCGGAGUGUAUCACCUCAAAAGGAAUUUGAGAUACAAUAUGAGUAGAAGAAAAAGGUUGUUUACACAUCUUGCCUUGCAAGCAGUAACUACAAACGUGAGAAGAAGUUGAGGAUAUAGGUAUAUGAAUCUUAGCUAACAUAGAGCUAGUUAUUUCAUUCGAUGGAUGUCCUAAUCGAUAAUGCCAAAGGGUAUGACUAACUUUCUGGCCGUGAAAAGCAGCCAUAGGUGGUAAGGUAGGAAGAGUCCUUGUGGGGAGAGGAUAAAGGCCAUUAAGACACUUUCCGUGAUACAGAAGUCUCCCCUUCAAAUCCUGUAUUUGGAACCAAAAGGCAUUAUAGAGAAGUUGGCAAUUAUUGUCAAGACAAAAACGAUGCACAGAUAAGAGAUUAGUAGCAAGAUGUGGAACAUGUAAAACCUCAGGCAAAGUAAAGACUUGAUGACCAGACACAAAGGAAGAACUACCAAUAUGAGCUAUGUCCAGUCCAGUACCAUUACCUAUGGUGACAUUAUCCUUGGUGGUUGACGGUGUAACAUUAGAAAGAAGUUGCAGAUCAGAUGUCAUGUGAUUGGUUGCCCCACUAUCUGUCAACCAAAUAUUAGGAUCAGUGAAUUGACCAGUAGAAGUUGUUGUAAGUGUAGUAAGAGCUGGUGAAGGAGGCGAGCCUUGAUAGGAAUAAUUGUGGCGAUGUGGAUAAUUUGGAGCAGUAUGCCCAAAUUGUAAGCACAGUUGACAAGUCUCAUGACAUGGUAAAGAAGAAACAGAGCUAGGUGGAGCGGUGGGUGAAGGAGAUAAGAUACCAGGACUAGGAUUUGGUGGAACAAAGUACUGAGUCGAAUUGGUACCAGAACCAUGACUCCAUGAACUAUUACCAUUAGGCCACUGACCACCAUUGUUCAUUGGACCAGAAUGACCAUUGUUCCACUGGCCAGAACUAUUGUUCCACUGACCACCAUUGUUCCACUGACCAGAAUUAGGUGGACCAUUCCAAGAACCAUUAUUACCACCAGCAUGCCAAGAACCUCCUCGACCACCAGUAUUCCAAGUGCGGCCACGGGACCAAGAACCACGACCACGAUGAUUCGGCCGACGAUUCCAGUGAGAUUGCCAAUUAGGAGAGCCAUUAACACCUUGCUAAUUAGGAUGACCACCUCCACGAUCUGUGGAAUAAGAAGCCGAGUUAUCACCGUGAGCAACAUGAGGUGAUGAUGGAGAAUUUCCCUUCUGAGCAACCAUUGCAGUCAUGAUUGAGGGAGGAAAUGACUUAGAAGCUGCAUCUAAAUCGCUUUCUUCUUCAAGAAGAAGAUCACGCAACUCUACUAGAGUAACACGCACUGGUCUGGCACGAAUAUGUGAUUUGAAAUGAUUAUACUCUACUGGAAGACCUUUGAGAAUAAUCAAAAUCAUAUCAGAAUCAGAUAUAGGAUGACCAGCUGCUGACAAUUGUUGACGAGCCGCACGAAUUUUCUUCCAGUAAACAUCAACAGAAUCAGGACCUUUCUGCAUUCCAUGUAGAGUGUUCUUAAGGUGCAUGACUUUGAGCUCAGAGAUCGAAGAGUAACAAUUUUUCAAUGUGCUCCAUGCCUCUGCAGCAGAUCGACAAUUGAUCAUUUCAGAAAAUGCAUCAUCAGACAAACUUGCAGCAAUCAAAUUCAAGACCGCAGUGUCCAUUGCUUCCCAUUCAAAAGAACUCUCCUCGUCAGACUCAACCGGAGCAAUAGCCGUACCAUCAAGAGCAUGGUAUCAAGAGCCAUGUGUUCCGGAGGAAGUCCCAGAGGAAAACUUUCAUGGUAUCAGAGCAUCCUCUCUGAUUAUCAUUGAUUGAUUUUCUUUUCUCUUUCUCUUUUCUUCCGCUGCUCAGUUCUUCGAUCCUUACUCUGCUUCGUUUCUCUCUGCGAUUUUCUAGUUUUCUUCUCGACUUCGAUCUGGUCUCUUCGCUUCGAUUUCGUCUUUGUUUCUUGCAAUUGCUUCCUCUGUACCUGCUUUCUCAAGUUCCAUUUCAAUUUCUGUGAACCCUAACUUUUGGGGACAAUGGUGAAAAGUUCUGUAACUCCGGUUGACUUACUUCGCAAUGCCUGCAAUUACAUCACGUUGAAACUUGAUGAGACUAAUUAUGUUCAAUGGAGUUAUCAGGUUGAGAAAUUUCUCAAGGUCCAUCGUCUCUCUGAUUUUCUUGAUGGUACGGCUAUUGCUCUGGUUGAGUCUGACGAGGAGAGUUCUUUUGAAUGGGAAGCAAUGGACACUGCGGUCUUGAAUUUGAUUGCUGCAAGUUUGUCUGAUGAUGCAUUUUCUGAAAUGAUCAAUUGUCGAUCUGCUGCAGAGGCAUGGAGCACAUUGAAAAAUUGUUACUCUUCGAUCUCUGAGCUCAAAGUCAUGCACCUUAAGAACACUCUACAUGGAAUGCAGAAAGGUCCUGAUUCUGUUGAUGUUUACUGGAAGAAAAUUCGUGCGGCUCGUCAACAAUUGUCAGCAGCUGGUCAUCCUAUAUCUGAUUCUGAUAUGAUUUUGAUUAUUCUCAAAGGUCUUCCAGUAGAGUAUAAUCAUUUCAAAUCACAUAUUCGUGCCAGACCAGUGCGUGUUACUCUAGUAGAGUUGCGUGAUCUUCUUCUUGAAGAAGAAAGCGAUUUAGAUGCAGCUUCUAAGUCAUUUCCUCCCUCAAUCAUGACUGCAAUGGUUGCUCAGAAGGGAAAUUCUCCAUCAUCACCUCAUGUUGCUCACGGUGAUAACUCGGCUUCUUAUUCCACAGAUCGUGGAGGUGGUCAUCCUAAUUGGCAAGGUGUUAAUGGCUCUCCUAAUUGGCAAUCUCACUGGAAUCGUCGGCCGAAUCAUCGUGGUCGUGGUUCUUGGUCCCGUGGCCGCACUUGGAAUACUGGUGGUCGAGGAGGUUCUUGGCAUGCUGGUGGUAAUAAUGGUUCUUGGAAUGGUCCACCUAAUUCUGGUCAGUGGAACAAUGGUGGUCAGUGGAACAAUAGUUCUGGCCAGUGGAACAAUGGUCAUUCUGGUCCAAUGAACAAUGGUGGUCAGUGGCCUAAUGGUAAUAGUUCAUAGAGUCAUGGUUCUGGUACCAAUUCGACUCAGUACUUUGUUCCACCAAAUCCAAGUCCUGGUAUCUUAUCUCCUUCACCCACCGCUCCACCUAGCUCUGUUUCUUCUUUACCAUGUCAUGAGACUUGUCAACUGUGCUUACAAUUUAGGCAUACUGCUCCAAAUUGUCCACAUUGCCACAAUUAUUCCUAUCAAGGCUCGCCUCCUUCACCAGCUCUUACUGCACUUACAACCACUUCUACAGGUCAAUUCACUGAUCCUAAUAUUUGGUUGACAGAUAGUGGGGCAACCAAUCACAUGACAUCUGAUCUGCAACUUCUUUCUAAUGUUACACCGUCAACCACCAAGGAUAAUGUCACCAUAGGUAAUGGUACUGGACUGGACAUAGCUCAUAUUGGUAGUUCUUCCUUUGUGUCUGGUCAUCAAGUCUUUACUUUGCCUGAGGUUUUACAUGUUCCACAUCUUGCUACUAAUCUCUUAUCUGUGCAUCGUUUUUGUCUUGACAAUAAUUGCCAACUUCUCUAUAAUGCCUUUUGGUUCCAAAUACAGGAUUUGAAGGGGAGACUUCUGUAUCACGGAAAGUGUCUUAAUGGCCUUUAUCCUCUCCCCACAAGGACUCUUCCUACCUUACCACCUAUGGCUGCUUUUCACGGCCAGAAAGUUAGUCAUACCCUUUGGCAUUAUCGAUUAGGACAUCCAUCGAAUGAAAUAACUAGCUCUAUGUUAGCUAAGAUUCAUAUACCUAUAUCCUCAACUUCUUCUCACGUUUGUAGUUACUGCUUGCAAGGCAAGAUGUGUAAACAACCUUUUUCUUCUACUCAUAUUGUAUCUCAAAUUCCUUUUGAGGUGAUACACUCCGAUGUUUGGGGUCCUACUCCUUAUCCAUCUCUUCAUGGUCAUAAAUACUAUGUCAUAUUUCUUGAUGAGUGUACCAAAUUUUGUUGGUUGUUUCCAUUAAUAAAGAAGUCAGAUUGCUUCUCUUCUUUUGUUCAUUUUGUUUCUUAUGUUGAGACUCAAUUUGCUGCAACUAUUAAGAAUUUUCAGAGUGAUGGUGGGGGUGAAUAUGUGACCAAGGAGUUCCAGACCUAUCUUAGUUCCAAGGGUAUUGUCCACCACAAAUCAUGUCCAUAUACCCCUGAACAAAAUGGUAGGGCAGAGAGAAAGCAUCGACAUUUAGUGGAGACUGCCAUUACUCUCUUAACUACUGCUGCUCUUCCUUCUAAGUAUUUGUUUCAUGCUUUAGCUACCUCCAACUAUCUGAUUAAUAGAAUGCCUUGCAGAGCUCUCAAUAUGGAAUCUUCAUUCUCUAAGCUUUUUCAUAGGGAACCAAAUCUUACACCCUUGAAGGUCUUUGGGUGUGCCUGUUAUCCUCUUUUACAUCAUUACAACCAAUUUAAGGUGCAACCUAGGUCUGAACAGUGUGUGUUUUUGGGGUAUGCUUUAGAUUACAAGGGGUAUCUAUGUCUUCAACCUCAUACUGAUCGCAUUUAUAUAUCUAGACAUGUUAUUUUUGAUGAGGAUUCUUUUCCUUUCAGAACCACUUCUUUUCAUCCUCCACCAACUGCUUUACCUUCAUCUCGGUCUGUUCUUUCAUCUAGACCUGUAGUAUCUCUGUCUCCGUCUCGACUUGAUGACUCACAAGUGUCCCCUGCUUUUUCUGUUUCUCUACACAGUCCAGUACCACAUACCAGGGAAGCUAUUGGCUAAUGGACCAUGUGUUCCAUUUGUUCAACCCAAGUUGUGACAAGGCUGUGGAGAUGGUCAAAAAGGUGGUUUCUUUCGUAAAUCAGGACUAGGUUGGGCUUAGGCUUGGGUGUGUUUUGAAAUUUCAAUUUCAUCUUAAGAUUUGUCAUUGUAAUAGAAUAUGAGCAUAUUUGCAGAGCUGAAUUAGUAGCGCCUUGAGUUUUAUUUGCUGGGAAAACAUCAAUUUCACAAUUUUGAGUCGUAUAUAUUUUAUUUUUUUGGCUAAACUGCAUGCAUGUCAAAAUUUUGCUGGGCAUGACAAACACAAUCUUCUAAGCUGCAAAGUUACAAAGACAUUACAAGUUCGUAGUCUAGCUCAAGAGCCAACAGCAAUGGAUUCCAAUUCCUUCUCACUGGUCUCCUCUCUUGUUCUGCCCCUUGCAUUCCGAAUUAAUUUUGAAACAACCAAACACAGAAGAAAAAGGACAGGCAAAAUGUUUACUUUGAAAGGAUUGUCCUUAUGCCGAAGCACGCACACAAACUGAACCAUGGAGUACGCCCACUGAGUGAUUGCAUAAAUUAAUCCACAAAUCUCAGGGAAAGUACCAAAAAGGGUGCCUGAACAUGGACAAUAAAACCACCACAGCAAUAUUCCGCACUUGCCAAAUUGAACAUUUCCUCUUCUGCCUUUGUGAAUGAAUUCCCAAAUGCAAGUGGCUAGAGCCAUAAUAGCCAGCCCCAUACCAAAGAGUGCAUAGAGGGGCUUUCUUGGGGAGGAAAGUUGAUCACAUAUAGCUGAAAAGAUCUCUAGCAUCAGGCUAACGAUUAAAAACAUCCACUCCGCUGAAAAUACCUACAAAAGAAAUUAGUAGUUCAAUUAAAGUUUAAGAGAUAUAUCUUGCAAGAAAAAAUUUUAAGCAACUGAUCGAGAGGUGCUUAGAAAGUUGUAGAGUUUGCACCUUACUUAAGAAGCUUUUAGCACUAGACCAUAUCCCAUCUGGUUGCUCAGGCAAACUUUCUUGGUGUUGAAUUCCAAUUGUUCCCUGGUAUGAAAAAGCUAGCAACUAAGCUAUUAACAAAUUCAAGUUCCUUAUCAAAUAAAAUGAUAGUGCUUUCAGGUAACUGCAAGGCAAACUCAUUUGUUUCUUGGCAACAUAUAUGCAUUUGUAUAUAUAUUCUACUUACAAUGUAAACAUCCUCACGAACAUCCUGUCGAGCAGUUUCUAUAUGCAUUUCUUCUUGCAAGUCAUGCAUUUGAACAUGUUCUUCUUCAUUCGGAUCAAUCCUCACGAGGGCAGUUUCCAUGGAUAUUUCCGGAUGUUCUAGAGCAUUUUUGGUUAUUUUGAGGAUUUCAUCAGUAUCCAGGGAAGGAGCUCUUCUGUAACAAUCCAAUGCAGCUCGCCACUCAUCUACACUUCUACCACAUAGAAGCGAACCAGUAACCGUGAGAGCUAAUGGGAUCCCCUUAGCAUAAUCUACUAGACUUACUGCAAGGUUCUUAUAAUCAUCUGGAAGUCCUUUUUCCGGGAAGGCGUUAUAGCUGAAGAGUUCAGAAGCUUCAUAAGUAUCUAGUUCCUUGACCUCAUACACUAAGUCAACUUGAUGAGACGUUAGCAAAUGCUUAUGUCUUGUUGUUAUGAUAAUUCUACUACCCAAACCAAGCCAAUCAGACCUUCCAGCUAAUUUGUUUAAUUGGUCCAAUUGAUCCACAUCAUCAAGCAUCAAGAGAACCCUUUUAUGACUCAACCUUUGCUUUAUUACAUUGAUACCUUUAUCAACGCUUGUCAACUCCAAUUCUUUUCCCCCUAGAAUCUCAUAAAGAAGAGUCUUCUGUAGUUGGAGCAGGCCUCUAGGUGCCGCUGAGUUUUCUCUAACAUUUUCCAGAAAACAACUACCUUCAAACUGAUGGACAAUUGAGUUAUAAACUGCUUUGGCAAUUGUUGUCUUACCUAUUCCCCUAAUCCCCCAUAUACCUACCAUGCGAACAUCAUUUACCCCAGCACCUAAAAGCUCACCCAUAUCUUGCAAACGAGACUCUAUACCAACUGGGUACUUUGCCACAUGCAAAUAUGUACGAUUUAAUACUUGCAAUGAAAUCUCUUCAACGAUGUCAUUGAUAAAUUUGGACUCGCUCCUGUCAGAAUAAAAUAUUUUAAAAAACAUGAAAAGAAAUGGAAUUUAAUUGAUAUGUAUAUUUAAAAGAGCCGAACAACAUGCAAUAUAUCUAUUAAUGUAGUAGUUUGAAGUAAGUGCUCCUCCAUGCAAGGUCCUGGUUUCGAGUUCUAGCGUCUAUAUAGUGUGUGUGAGUUUAGAAUAUUAUCCAAGGGUGGAAUCAGGAAUUUUUCAAUAGGUAAGCUAGCUAAAGUUAUUAGCUUAAAAUCUAAUGACAAUUUUUUUUUUUUGGCACUAACAAUUUCUAUAGUUUUUAUAUAAAUAAAAGUAUACAUUAAAUCAUAUAAAUCACGCUAGUUAUAAACACAAGAAAAAAAAAAGGAAUUAGAGCCAUAUUAUUCACGAAAUGGUGAAUUUUAUUUAGAAAAAUCCUUCUCUUUUGGAGAUACAUUAAUGGAAAAGGAUUAAAAUUGAUGUUUGGGACAAACUUUGAGACCAAAUACAAAUGUAGAUCUUUGACUAGCCCUAUUGGUGUGGUAGGAUAUGCAAUUAUAUAUGUAUUUUAUUUAUUUAUAGUUCAAAAUAUUAGGCUAUAUAUGUUUAAUUUUUUUUUCCCCCAAAACCUUCCCCAGGCUACAGCCCCUAAGCUAGUUCUGCCCCUUAUAUUAUCACCUCUCUCAACAGAAAAUGUCCUAAAAAAAAGUCAAACAACACAUAAACACACACAAAAAAGGCAAACAAUACAAUACGCAUUAAUUUUGAAGUUUGCUUUUUCUUACGGAAGUAUAGGUUAACCAUAUUAUUUUCUUUUUAUCAAAGAGAAACUUUAUUAGAUAAAUACAAUCAAAGACAUCAACAUGAUAUAAAAUUAAGGCUUAAUAGGGUUCAUAUAAGUUUGGUAUCCUAAAUUUGUACCCUUAAUGCAUGUCUAUCCCGCAUUCUCAAUUUUAACACUCACGUACGUACCUUUAGUUUGUAAAAUUUUUACAAUGUACCUCUGAAAUUAGCAUUAAUUGCUGUCAAAAUUGCCAUUAAAUGAUGAUGUGGCAUAUUUGGGACUCACUUUUUUUUUUUAUAAAAUGAUGUGGCAUUUAAUAUUAAUAAUAAAUAUUAAUAUCAAGUAUUUAAAAAGUUAAAAAUUAAAAAAAAAAAGAUAACCGGCCUCAAAUAUAGCUAUAGUAAUUAGGUGGUUAGAAAUAUACCCAUCCUUCAAAGUCCACCCGUGCAAAUUUGCUGCUUCCGUAAGAACUGCCCUCCAUCUCAUCACCUUCUCCAUGUCAUUAAUGAAUAUGCGUUCAUGGUCGACAAAUGCUUCACCAAAAGUGCCCAAUUGCUUUCUCACAUGCGAGGGUUUCACUUUGUAAAAAAUUGGCAUAACCAUCUGUUGUUUUGAACUUUUACAAUCAAGGAUCUUGACGAGUUCAUCCAAGCACCAGGACGAGGAUCCAAAGUUUUCGGAGAAUACGAUGAUAGAAAUCUUCGACCCUUCAAUUUCGUUCCAAAGUGCUGGUGACAUUUCUUCCCCUCUCUUAUAGUCAGUAUCCAUGAAGGUUUUAAUUCCCUUCUGUUGCAAAUUGCUGUACAAGUGGUCUGUAAAAUUGUAGCGUGUAUCUGCAGCUCUAUAACUGAUAAAGACAUCAUUUCUCCAAGAAUUGGUGGAAGAGGAAGAGGAAGAGGAUACUGAUUCACUGGUGAUUAAAGCCAUAAUGUUUGAUGGGGUGUCGGAUAAGGUAAAACAGGGGAAAAGAGUUGGGAAUCGUGGUCAGGUCAAAGAUUUUCUCAAGUUAUAUAUAUAGGCGGCCUCUUGCUGGGCACCAUAGAUACUUGAGUUGAGAAGCAGUUUCCUGCUACCUUCAACGUGCCUGAAUUUCAACCCAAGUAAUACGACAAAGUUUCCUACCUACUACCUUCUCGGUGAAAGUUUCCUACUACCUUCGGUCUACCUUUUAGCUGGACCGAAGCGUAAGAGUAUUUUAUCAAUUAAGUUUAGAAAAUAAAUUAUGGUAUCCACUAUAAAUUUUAUUUUAACAAUUUUGAGUUAUUUAUUUUUGAAGUUUUCAUUCACAGAUAAUUUUUGUAAAAAAUUAGACAAAUUGAAAAGUAUCAUGACAUCUAAUUAUAACUAAAAUAAAUGAAUAUGGUGAUCCAAAAUAACACUAAAAUGAAAACAUUUCAUUGAGAGGUCAAAAGUUCGAAGAAACACAAUACAAAGUGUAUCACAAAGGUAUCCUCAAACAAGCAUGUAUAUAUAUAGGUUUGAAAGCACAAAAAAAUGCAUACUAAGACAAAGCCUAGGUUUAAAUAUGUAUAUGAUAUACAUAUAGAUUGUUACGAAUCAUAUUUGCAAUGAAGGUUCCUGCUGCAUUCAACGCACAAGUCGCAUGAAUCUGAAAUCGACCUAAAUGAGAAAUAGUUUUCGUUUACUUUCGGUGUGAAAGGUUAUUGAAGGCUUUUUAUCGCAAAAUGUGAAGCUUCGAAACUAUCAAGUUAUGUUCUUUAUAAUUUUUUUUUUCUUCAUUCGUGGUCCUUCAAAUUAAAAUGGAUGCUCACAACUAGUUCACAUGCCAUCAACUUCCAUUAAAAAUUUUGUUAACUUGAUGACUGGGCCCAAAUGUGUGACUCACGAGUUUAGAUCUUAUGUCCCCAUUUUGUCUUUCCCUUCUUCGUUCCUUAUCUAAUUUUUUGACACAUGUCCUUUCACUUAACUCUAACAUAACAGUGUUAAAUUUUAAUAAAAUUAAAAAUAAUAAAAAUUAAGAGUGCUGCUAUUUCCAUCCACCUGUCAUAUUUUCCCACCCACCUUAUCUUUCAACUUUUAAAGACAAAUCUAACCCUAUUGUAAAAUGACUUAAAAGGACUUAAGAAAAAAGAAAGAGGAAAAAAAAAAGAAGGCAGACUUCUCAGUUCUCAAGUAACCCUAUCAUUUGACAGAGAGAAAAAAAAAAAAAACACAAGAAUACGACUCCUUGCUCAUGAGAAGGUGAAGAAGGCGAGUACUGUUGUUUUUCCCUUAUCUGUUUAGCUUUGUACUCUUUGGCAUUCUCAUGUCUUAAGAAUGGGCGUUUUAUAUUUUUUUUUAUUGCAAAGUUCAAUAGAUUUCUGGUCCUUGGAUAACUCUGGAGAAAAGUUUAUUUACAAUAGUAGAAAGCUAAGAGCAUAAAUGUGAUUAUAUUCACAGAAUCCAUAUUUACAAAAAUAAAAAUAAAAAUUACAGCAAAAAACUAUUUUAGUUCAGUAAACAUGAGAGACAGCGAUGGAGUGUGAGAGAUGGAAAAUAAGAUAGAGCAAAAAUGAGAGAGAGAUGUGUGGACUGUGAGAGAGAGAGAGAAGACACGAGUAGAAAGAAUAAAGGAGAGAGAAAAUGAGGUAAUAAUUAAAAAGGUAUUUUAAGAAUAUUUGUGGGUGUAAAAAUAAGAUUGUGUUUUUUAAAUUUUAUAUGGUGGGUGGGAAGAUAAUGUGAGUGGGAAAAUAGGACAGGUGGGUGGAAAUAGCAGCACUCAAAAUUAAUAAUUGAAGAAAACCAAAAGACCCAACAGCCACCAAAACUCCCAUUUUCAAAGAUGAGAAAGAGCGAGAGAUAGAAAAGGUGAGACAUAGAGAUAGAGAAGGGGCCAACCAAAUGGAAACCGCGAAGGCAGUGAAAAUUGCAAGAGUCAACUCAGUUCUCAAAGCAAACAAAAACCAUUUGUUAGUACGAAAAUCGUAUUGGCAUUUCCUAGACUGUAGUAUAGGAUGAAAAUUAGUUUGUGAGGAAUUGCUACUAGAAGUUUUGGCACUACUCUUUCAAUCCCAUACCUCCGAGGCAUACCCUGACCAUAUGAGAAACUUGACAACAGGUAAAUCAUGACAUAUCAUGCAUUCAUGAUAGGAGUUAUAGUUGAAGUUUUGUUUUGAGUCUUUGUAAUUGAAAUUAAAAUAUGAGUCGGUUGGUGACAUCAGUAAGAGUCCUUAAUGAAUUAGACUUUGUAUUUUUAGUGAAUCAGAAUUUAGUUCAAAGAGUUUUAGUUCAAUUGGUCUUAGAGUCAUAAUUGUUUUGGAAGUGUAGUCUCACAAGUUUCUCUCCUGUGAGAAACUUGCUGUGAAUAAAAGGAGGCUUUGCCCUCUUGUGAGGGCCAGCUUUUCCAAUGUCCAAAACCUUUGAUGCAUAUUGAAUAUAUUUUGGGAAAAGCUGCUACACUUAGUUCACUCGGAAAGUCAUCAAGUGCUUCGGUUGCUUGGUGAUUGAUCGAAUUCAUUCAUCAUUCAUAUUGCAUACAUAUGCAUGUCGGUGUCUCAUAUGGUUAAGGACACCAAGACACUCUGUGUGUUUAUCCUCCGGUGAGCUUGAAGCAAUCGUGACCAGUAUUGCAUUCAACAAAAGGAGUGUCAAAGAUCAUCCCGUGACAGAAGUUGAGUUACGAAGAAGUCGGUAAACAUUGUCUAGAUUGUGUCUAGGACAAGUGUGUGUGCGUAUUUCUUGUAAUCUCAAUUCUAUAGUGGAUUCGUUCUGGACUAAGGAGUCCCGUGGAUUUUUCCCAGAGGUGGGAUUUUACCACGUAAAAUAAAUAUCUGCGUGUUCUUUUAUUUUAAGCUUUGCACAUCUCAGGAUUGAUAACUCAUAUCAAUCCUGCUUCAAAGGUUGAUCAUUAUUUAUUGCAAAAAAAUCCGAAAUAGCUUGUUUAACCUUCUCCAAGCAUUUAUAGAUAUCCUACAGGUAUUUUCACCAUUUCAACAAUAUUUCAUAACGCACAGCAACAUUAAUGGUUCCUUAUACAACUCUUGCUGGUCUUCCAGAGCUCAGAGACCGUUUCGUGGUUGCCAAUAAUUUCGAGAAUGGGCCAGCCACGACAAUCCCCAAAAUCUCAUCCCAAUUAAUGCUAACCCCUUCAUUGAUCUCUUUUUGAAUGUCUUCGAACCGUCUGAAUAGACAGGAAGGACAUAUGUCAAAAAGUUAUAUAAGGAAACAGAUAUCUUUGCCACAUGAAACUAAUCUACUCUGUUAUGUGACAAAUUUGUGUUUAAUAUAUAAUUAACCAAACUUGAUAUUACAACACCUCAUUUAAUUUAUAUUCUUAAUUUCUUUUGGUUCAGUAGACAUGAAUUUAACAAGAAAGUAGUCAUCAUUAUGAUAAUUGUAUUUUAAUCAAUUGAAAGUUAUAGCUUUCCACCAUACUUUUAGGAAGAAUUGAAAGUUCAAUAUUGACAAGGGAUAAGAACUGAGGAGUAGCAGUAGAGUAUAACUGUGUGUUUUUCUAUGUUGUCACAUGCACUCUUACAUUCAUUUCUCAUUUUCUUUUUGUUUCAAUAAUUGUAAAAUUUCGUGUGGCAAGAUCCUAAACAUGCUUCACCAAUUUCAUAAUUGUUCAUUUUCCAACCUCACACCCAUGCCAAUCUUUUGUAGUUCAUAUAUAUGACUGUAUCUGCAGAUAUCUUAUAGGGAAAAGACCCACAAGAAUUUAUUCUGAGAGGCUGGAAUAUCAAAAUGUGCUCUAGUUCAAGAGCCCAACUUGUAUGAGCCACCAUUUAUAAAAAAAUAAAAAAAUAAAAAAUAUAUGUUAAGCAAUUAUACUUCAAUUCUUGUGCGAAUCUGCUGCCAUUUGGUAUUUAUAAAAAAUUCUGAAUUUUUUCCUUUUUAUUUUCUUCGCUGACGUCAGCGCCCUGAGGCAACAACUCCAGCUAUUCUUGUCUUCGAGUCUGCACAGUCUUGGUGGAGCCUACCAUUUGCCCGGGCUAUUAUCUACCACUGGAGUUGGUUUUCCUCACCAGGGGGGCCUUUUGCUAGGGCAGCCCACACCUGUGGAAGUGCUCUAAUGACAAUUGUAAUACGCUAAUUAUGAGACCCACAUGCUAAUAAAAAAUAAAAAAAAAAACAACAAUUAAUGCAUUAUGUUGUUAAGAGCAUCUACAUUAUGUUGUUAAGAGCAUCCGCAAUAGUUGUUCAAUAUACUUCACUCAUAUUUUGUGGUGGUUUUGUUUCACCCGUAUUUUGGGAACGAAAAAACCGAUAAGCUGCUGGAGGUUAUUUUUCCCGCGUGUAGCGGGCUCGAUGACCUGAGAGUGACCUCGGGGAAGGAUCCAAAUUUGGGGCAGGUUGGGUGUGGGAGGGUGUUGGUUUUUGUUGUGGCUGAGGAGGACUUUUUGAGGGACAGGGCCUGGGCUUACUAUGAGGCAUAUUGAAGAAGAGUAGGUGGGGUAGGGUGGUUGAGAUUGUGGACAGUGAAGGGGAGGACCAUGUGUUUCAUUUGUUCGACCCAAGUUGUUACAAGGCUGUGGACUUAGUCAAAAAGGUCGUUUCAAUGUCAUACCAUAAGAUUUCCCAUUCUAAUACGUCAAGUGCUCAAUAUAAAUAUUUUUUUUUCUCAAGGCAAACUCCGUUCAUUAAAUAUGCAAAACAUUACAAGAGUUUGUAUGCUCAACAACAUAAAUAGAAGCAUAAGACAUAGGCAUUACAAGAGUUUGGGCCCAAAAUCAAUCAUUGUGAAUUUAUAGUAUGUUCACUAAUCAGGAAUUAGAAUUCUCAUCAGGAAUUGAAUUCAACCUAUUGAAAAUUCUUACGUUUACUUCAUAUCAAAGAAUUGAAAAGUAAGUGACGCCCACAUGAAAUUAGGAAUUGAAUUCCUGAUUGCUAAACCUACAAUUCCUAAUUCCUGAUUGCCCACACAAAAUUAGUAAACAUGCCAUUAAGGUGAAACUCAGUUUGCUAAACCCACAAAAUCCAAAAGAAGUGAAUCAUUCAAAACUCGGAAUGUCUUCUAACUUCAAUUUAAAAUAAUUGAAAUUUCAAAAUUCAUUCCGGCAUGCAUCUGCAAGGAGUUUUCUUUUGAUUAAUCACUUACAUGCAAUUGAUGAAAUAUUUUCUUUUUAUCAGGUUUAACGCAAAAUCAUUACAGUUACUAGAACCUAACCAAUGAAACUCACAAACAAGAAGCUGAGACAUAACCUAAAUGCCCAUGUUCACUCAUUUUGUUCAUCUGUCUCGUCCAUUCUAAUCCAAUUCAAUCUUGAAGCACCCAAACAUAUAAGAAAGAUGGCAGGCCAAAGGGAGACUUUGAUAGGAUUUUGAUCAUGCCGGAUGAAGCACACAUACUGAACUGUCGAGCAAAUGCACUGAGAGAUGGCACCAACUAAUCCAUAAAUGUCAGGAAGACUACCAUAUAGCCUUCGCUGGGGACGUGGAUAAUAAAACCACCACAACGUCCUCCACCUCCUCAGUUCAACUCUUUCCUUUUUACCCUUGUAAAUGAGCUCCAAUAUGCAAAUCAGUACAGCAACAAUGGCCAACAUCAUACCAAAUAAUGCAUAGUGGGGAUUGCUUGGAGAGGAAGCCUGAUCAAAAGCAAGUGACAAAAUCUCUAGGCAGAGGGCAAUGAGUAAAAAGAUCCACUUUGCUGAAGUAGCCUACGUACAAAUAAGUCGGUAAUACGCUCAAUUAGAAUUUUAAUUCAAUUGCUGUCCAUCCAGCUUAACAAGUUUCUUUGAAUUAAAAUUGGCUGACAAUGAUAUUCAGACCAGACAGCAAGUGAACGCAGUUUAUAAAAAGUUCAAGAUAUUUCACCUUUAAGAAGCUUUUAGAGCUCAAGUGUUUCUCAUCUGCUACAUGCGACUUUACCACGAUGCCUUUAGUUUUACUUAUUCCCUAGUGCGAAAAAAAGAAUUACAUUAACAAAUAAAAGUGAAAGUGUUUCAAAUAAUAUUUCUACAAGUAUUUUUCUUUAAACUUACUUUAUUUUCCGAUAGAACAUGGAUAACAUUCUUGUAAAACCACAAUUUGCUACGUCUAUCACGCCCGGUUAAAGAAUCUUGGCGAAGUACUAUUUCUUUACCCAGUUCUUCUAUCAGGUCAUUCAUCCAAAUAUGAUCUUUCUUAAUAAUUAUGAAGGCCUUUUCUAUCAGUACUUCAAUACCAUACUCAGGGUUGAGGUGACAACUUUCCAGCAUUUUUAUCACAUACUUCUUAUUUUUACCGUUUAAGAAACAUGCAAUGUCAAGGAAAACUUCUUUCACCGAAUCUUCUAGUGCAUCGUAACUUAUUUUGAGAAUGUCUUGAAUCUCUAAGUUAGGAACUCUUCUGUAACCGUCUAAUGUAAUUCUCCAUUGAUCUAUGCUUCUACCACAUAGGAAGGAACCUAUAAUUGUGAGAGCUAAUGGAAUCCCUUUAGCAUAGUGCACUAUUGCAGCAGCCACUUUAGCAUAAUCAUCUGGAAGUUUAUUUAUUGGGAAGGCAUUCCAACUGAAGAGCUCAAAAGCUUCGUCAAAAUCUAAUUCCUCCACCUCGUAUAUUAGGUUAACUUGAUGACCGGUUAACAAAUGUUUAUCUCUCGAUGUUAUGAUGAUUCUACUGCCCAAACCAAACCAAUCUGACCCUCCAACUAAUUUUUUUAAUUGUUCCAUUUGAUUCACGCCAUCAAGAAUUAAGAGGACCCUUUUGCGGCUCAACCUUUUCUUUAUCACAUUUAUUCCUUCAUCAGCAUCGGUCAACUCCAAUUGCUCUUCCCCUAGAAUCUCAGAAAGAACAAUCUUUUGUAGCUGGACUAGGCCUCCACGUUCCAUUGAAUUUGGUCUAACAUUUUCCAAAAAACAGCUACCUUCAAACUCAUGGGCAAUCGAAUUAUAAACAGCUUUAGCAAUUGUUGUCUUACCUAUUCCAUGAAUCCCCCAUAUACCUACCAUGCGAACAUCAUUUACUCCAACUCCUAAAAGCUCAUUCAUAUCUUGUACACGAGACUCUAUUCCAACCGGAUACUUUGCCACGUUUAAAUAGGUGCGGUUUAAUACUUGUGCUGAAAUCUCUUCAACAAUGUUAUCAAUAAAUUUAGAAUUGUGCCUGCAAUUUCAAAUAAUAUAAACUCACAAAAAAUUCUUAAGGGGAAGUGAUGCAACCAAACAAGCUACUUUAGUUUAUUCAUAUAACUUGUUUCCUUAAGAAAAAGAAUAAUGCUAGCACACCAAAUAAGUAAAAUAUUUUCAUGUCAUAUCCCAUUAUUUAGUGACUAAAUUCUUUAUUUAAUUUUUAUUGUGAUGCUAGUAUUUAUGUUGGUGCCCACAAGUAUGACAUGUAGCGUGGAUCAGUGACGGACAUAAAGAGGCGCAAGGAGGUGAAAUGUAAUGGAAAUUGCUAACGAAAGUUAUUGCAAAGGACAAAAGUGAGGACUGUUAGAGAGGAUAAGUAUUAAUGAGUGGAAUUAAAAUUAAAAUUUUCUUUCAAUAUUAAAAAGUGAUUAUGCGUUGAGAGGCUAUUGUUUUAACUUAAAAGGCAUAUAAUUGUUAGUCUAUACAUUUUUGUUGACGAUGAUAGAGUUUUGUUAGAUGAUAUAAUUGUUAGUCUAUAUAUAAAAGGAAUCAAUUUUAUAAAAUUAAAGAAAUUAGAAAAAGAAAAUUCAAAACACUAGUAAGUGGUUCACAGAAAUAUACCCGUCCAAGAAAUACCACCCAGGCAAAUUUGUUGCUUCUGUAAGAGCUGCCCUCCAUCUCAGCACCUUCUCCAUGUCAUCUCUGAAUUUGUUUUCAUGGUUAGCAAGUGCCUCACCAAAACUGCCUUGUUGGUUGCGCACAUCCAUGGGAUCCACCUUGUAAUAAACUGGCCAAACUAUUUGCUGCUUUGAUUCUCUACAUUGAAGGAUCUCAACUAGUUCAUCCAAGCACCAGCCGGAGGAUGCAAAAUUUUCAGAGAAUAUGAUGAUAGAGAUCCUUGAGUCUUCAAUGAUUUUAUAAAGCGUUGGUAAUGUUAGUUCUUCUCCUCUUCUAAGAAGCACAUCAGCUAGGAAGGUUUUAAUUCCCUUUUGAAGCAAAUUGCUGUACAAGUGGUCUGUAAAAUUGUUGUGGGUAUCCGCGCCUCUAUAACAGAGAAAGACAUCAUAUGUCCAUGAAUGGUUGAAAGAGGAAGAAGAGACUCCUAAUUGAGUGGUCACGGAAUCCAUUUUGUUUCAUACUGAUAUGUCAAAUACUUGAAUUCUUUUGCUAUAUAGAGGUCACGUAGUAUAUGCCACUUGCAUUGUAUUAUUUGCCAAGCAGUUUCCUGCUACCUGCAAUUUGAUUGUGAAAGUCAACGUGAAUGAGAUGAGAGCUUGUUAUUUCCUGCCAACUUUCUGUGUUGAUGAUGAUGACGACUCACCAACCGAAACAAGAUUUUACCAAUCUUUCAAUUAAAGUUUGUUGGGCUUGUAACUCAAGUGGUUAAAAUCAUUUAUCCUUAUAUACGAUACGAGGUUCUAUGUUUGAUUUCCAUCUCUCCUAUGUUUUACCCUUCUAGACUAGUUGAUGCGUAAUCAGCAACUUCAUUGCAGUUUUUUUGGACUUUCACAACUUUAUUCCUGAUUGUGAAAGUCAACUGAAUGAGAGCUUGUUAUUUCCUGCUAACUUCCGCGCAACUUUGAAAAGUGUCUACUAAUCCAGUUGUGGACGUAACUUAUAUAGUUGAUGAUGAAGAUAACUGACCGACCGAAACUGGGCUUUACAGAUCAUCUUUCAAUUAAAUUUUGUUGGGUUGGAACUUGGGUAGAACUUUUUAUAUAUAUGCGCUAAGCUAUUUUUCUUAUUUAUAGAAUAUGUUGGGCCGUCAAAUUUGGAAAGAAGAACUUGGACCACGUCAGGAGUCUUUCUGUAAAAGAGGCCUUUCUUCGUAUGGAGGCCCAAAUCAGGAUCCUUUUUUGGCUUGGCUUCGUCUGGAGUUGGUUCGUUACUGGGGACAUGAACUAUGGAGAUCAGCUCAAUCCUGUUUUCUGUCUUGCACCUUUUAAUAUUGGCAAUUAGUUUGCGAGCAACCAAACACCCAAGAAAGAUGACGGGCAGAAGGUUUACUUUGAAAGGGUUCUCCAUGCCCUUAAGCGUGCACCCAAACCUAGCUAUGGUGGAUAGCCACUGAGAGAUUCCACAAAUUAAUCCAAAAAUUUCUGGAAACAUUUCUAAACGCGGGCGUGAGCUUUCUCCAAUUUUCCACUUGAGAAUGAGUUCGCAGAUGCAAACGAAUAGAGCCCCAGAAGCCAACCACAUGCCAGUGAGUGCAAACUGGGUAUUUCCUGGGGAGAAAAACUGAUCACAAACUGCUGCAAGGAUCUCCAGGAAGAAGCUAAUGAUUAAAAAUGUCCACUCUACUGUAUCGGCCUGCAAUCAAAAAAAUCUUCUCAGCUGAAAAAAGGAAAAAAAAAAUCUGACAAGAAAGAAAGUUGAAUAUCUUUUACCUUAAAUAAGGAGCUUUUAGCAGUACUCAACCAUGUCUCCACUGAUAAGGCCAACUCUGCCAUGCCCUCCGUUUGUUCCUAGUACGAAGAAACAAUUGCUUUAAAAUAUAAUACAAAAGAUUAAAAAGAUUUUGCUCUUGUCCCAUUGAAUCAGAGGACACAUAUGUCAUAUAUCCUCAAUCUUUGAAAUAAAUAUGCAGACGAAAUCUUAACUAUUGUUAAGAAUUUGACCAAUAAAUUGGUUAUGUACAUUCAACAAAGCUUAACCAAGGCAUCCAUCAAAAAGAUUAACCUCAACUAAAUAUAUAAAAGAGUAAACAAGGUUUUCAACUUCACUCGGUCCCUCAAGUAAACUUAAUAGAGAAAUCCUCAAAUAAACUCUUUAGAAUAAUAACUUAUUCUGCAUCGUAUUCAAUGUUUUCUUAUAAGAAUAAUUUUUAAAUAAAGACUUAGUGCACCCUACAGAUGUGUAACUAAUAUAUACUCACUGUAAUAUCUCCUCCUGGAGAGCUUUUAUUGGUUUUGGUUGCAUUUACUCCCUAUUGUAUGAAAAGCAAUUGCAUUAAAAAAUUAAUAUAAAAAUAGGUAAAAGAAUAAGACACACAUGAUACAUAUGUAUUGUACUUACAUCGACGUCGUCAGCUUCAGGCAUUUCAAGGCUUCCAACUUCGUUUAGUCCCUAUUUUAUGGAAAAACAAUUGUGAGAAAACUUAAUAUAAACAACUCACUGUCACAUCGUUAAUACUAGAGAAUUAAUAUAUACAAUUCACAUCUUCUUCAUCUUCAAGUACCUUUUCAGGGAUUUCAGCUUCAUUUAAUCCCUAUUGUUCGAAACGGAAAUUGCAUUAACAAACUAACAUAUAAAAGAGUAAAAAAGGUUUCUCCAGUCAAAUAUCGAAAAGACAAUACAUGUUGUGCGUACCGUUCUUUGCAAGUCAUGCUCCUUUUUAAUUAUUUUGAGGAUUUCUUUAAUAUUUGAGGCAGGAGCUCUUUCGUACCUUUCUAAUAUAGGGUGCCAUUCAUAUAUACUUUUCCCACAUAAAAAUGAACCCACAUCUAUGAGGGCUAACGGAUUCCCUUGAGCAUAGCCUACAAUUCUACUUGCGGGUUCUAGAUAAUCAUUCGGAAUUCUACUUGUUGGGAAGGCUUUAGAAUGGAAGAGCUCCAUAGCUUCAUCAGGUUCUAACUCCUUCAAUUGGUAUGUGAAGUCAACUUUAUGAGCAAGAAGCAAAUGCUCAUACCUUGUUGUUAUGAUAAUUCUACUGCCGGCACCAAACCAAUCAGAGCUUCCAGCUAAGCAUUUUAACUGGUCCAAGUCAUCCACAUCAUCAAUAAUUAGGAGAACCCUUUUGUCGCGCAACCUCCUCCUAAUGAUAUCAACUCCUGAAUCAGCAUUUGUGAGACUCGAUAUUUUCACCCCGGGAAUUUGAUGAAGAAGAGUCUUUUGUAGUUUGACUAAGCCUCCUGGUGCCUCUGAAUUUUCUCUAACAUUUCCCAAAAAGCACGAACCUUCAAACUUAUGGGCAACUGAAUUAUAAACAGCUUUAGCAAGUGUUGUCUUACCCAUUCCACCAAGCCCCCCUAUACCUACCAUGCGAACAUCAGCUACUCCAACACCUAAAAGAUCAUUCAUUUCUCGCAUGCGGGAGUCUAUUCCAACUAGAUAGUUCGUCUCAUGUGUCAAAUAGAGACGGUUUAAUUGUCGUGAAAUCUCUUCAAUGAUUUCAUGAAUAAAUUUGGAUUCGUACCUGCCAGUGUAAAAACAUGUUAAUCAAUACAUGAAAUGGAAAUUUGCUAUAUAAAUGUUUAAAUAAGGCAAAGAACAUAUAAUCCCACAAAAAAUGGAGGAUUUGCUCGAUUAAAAAGAUGACCUACCUAUAUCUAGAAGGUUACGUUUUCCUCUAAAAAUAAAUUCUUAUUAGUUUGUUCAUAUGGCAUUCGUUGAUUUUUGCCAACUUUUGAAACAUUGGAAAAAUAGACAGCCACUGCAUAGAAGGUCUGCAUGAAAGCCUCAUAACCAUACAUUUUUUCACUUUGGUCUGCAUAAAAUAAAAUCAAAUUCACGUAGGCAUUUAACAGUUCGAUUAAUGGAGGGGAUGAUUUACAGAGUUUAUAACAGUCCGGAUUAGGAGAGAAGUAUUUUCAUUUAAAUUUAUCAAUAGACAAUGUUAAAAACAACAUAAAAAGUAGAAAAUCCUCAAAUAUAUAUAAUGCCAAUAAGUGGUUAGAAAAAUACCCCUCUCUGUUUAAAACCAUCCCAGCCAAAUUUGCUGCUUCCGUAAGAGCCGACCUCCAUCGCAUCACCUUAUUCAAAUCAUCCUUGAAUCUGUAUCCAUGUGCAAGAAAUGCCUCAAGAAAAGGGCCCGUUUGCUUUCUUACAUUUGAGGCAUCCACGUCAUAACAAAUCGGCAGAACAAUUUGCCGCUGUGAUUUUUUGCAUUCAAGGAUCUUAGCAAGCUCGUCCAAGCACCAAGUUGAGGAGGCAUAGUUUUUAGAGAAUAUGACUACAGAAAUCCUUGACUUUUCAAUUGCUUCAAAAAUCUCUCUUUGUAUAUCUCCUCCUUUUCGGAGUUCAUCAUCAUCCCGGAAGGUGUUAAUUCCCCAUUGUACCAAACUGCUGUACAGAUGGUCUACAAAGUUGAAGCGUGUAUCCGCACCUCUAAAACUAAGAAAGACAUCAUAUUUCCAUUGAUUGGUGGAAGGAGAAGAGGAAGAGGCUGCUAUUCAGUGGUGAGAUUGUACUUCAUAUUGUUUGAUAAUUGGAUGCGCCUCUUGCUUAACCUCACAGUUGCUCUCAACUGAUAAAAUCGAAGCAAAUGUCAAAAACUCGGUUAAGAGUUGGGAACUCUAUAUAAAGGGUACUAAUCAACUUUCUCAUGGCGGCCUCUUGCUCAGCACUUUCCUGCUACCUUCAGCACGCAGCGCAGUCGUAGUUUCCUUCUACCUGCAGUGAACCUUCAGUGGAGAGUGUAAACCGGUACCGUCACCAUGUUGUGCAGGGACGGACCCAGGAAUAUGAACUCGUAGGGUCAUAGUGUAAAAGUUCAAUUUUUUUUUUUAAAGAUUAAAUCUUGGUGGGGAGAGGGUUAAAGGUUCGUGGGUGGGUGGAGAUUGGGGAUUUAGGUUUAGGAAAUUGGGGUUUUGGAGUUUUGAGAAGGGUCUGUUCUGUUUGGUCGAAGAGAAGGGUCUGUUUCAACUACAAUCUGUUCUUUUUUCUUUUUUUUUCCGAAUACCUGGACCAAAACGACGUCGUUUUGGCCAGGUCUUUUUUUUAAAAAAAGAAUUCGUCGCUGCUGGUCCAAAACGACGCCGUUUUGGUGCUGCGCAUUUAAAAAAAAAAUUGCUGUGUUCAAAAUGACGCCGUUUUGGAUCUAGCAUGUUUUAAAAAAAAUUCGCUCGGCUGGUCCAAACCGACGCCGUUUUGGCCAGCCGAGUUUUAAAAAAAAAAAAUUAGAAGCUGACCCAAAACAACGCCGUUUUGGGCCCAAGCUACAUCUGAUACAUCCCACACUUUAAACCUCUUCUCUUGUCCUUUUCAGUCCCGUGACUCUCCCCUACACCUCCACCGACCACGUUGACUCACAAUUAAUUAGUCUCUAUGCAUUAAACUGUAGAGAAAACAUUAGACAUUGACUUGGUCAAGUUAGCUAGAUCAUAUAUGUUCUCACUCUGCACCUAAGUUCUAAUCUUCUUCGCCGUAGUUUAAAUUAUAUUAAAAUAGAAUAUCACUUGUAUAUAAAAAAUAAACUCAUCCAUAAAUAUUUGAGAGGAAUAUCAAAAUGUGGUCUAAUUCAAGAUCCAAACUUGUAUGAGCCACCAUUUAUUUUAUUUUAAAAAAAAAUUUUAAUUAUAUAUUGAGCAAUUAUACUUCAAUUCUUGUACAAAUCUGCUGCCAUUUGGUGAUUCACUGUAUAACAGAGCUACAAGAAGAUAAUGAAAAGUAUAAGACUCUAGCACACUCAUAUUAUAGACUCUAAUCCACCGUAUAAUGCAUGAAUAAGAUUACAAAUAAUCAUGACCAUUGAAAAGGCAUAUUCAAGGCAAACCAAUACCGUUCAAACCAUCGAUAGAGUAAACAACAUAAACUAGGGGUGGGCACUCAAACCGGCGAACCGGAAAUCCGAGCCGAACCGUACCGAACCAAACCGGAAAAAAACCGAGUUGACUAAAAUGUCAAAAAUCGGUCAAAAACCGAACUGGACCGGUUUGGACCGGUUCCGGAUCCGGUUCCAUGUCUUCAAAAACCGAACCAAGCCGAACCGAACCGGUGAAACUAAAAAAAUAUAUAAUUUCAAUAUAUAUUUAUAUUUAAUGCUAUAUUUUUAAUUUUACUAAAAAAAACCUAAUAUUUAUCCAAGUUCAAUGUCAAAAUAUCUCUCUUUUCUCACUUUAAUAUUUAUUUUUUAUAUGAAAUUUAAUAAUUUGUUAAUUUUCAAGUAAAAUAAUAAUAUUUUAGUUGAGAAUUUUAUUUAAAAAAAAUUAAUUUUUUUUAUAAUCCGGUUCAAAACCGAACUGGAACCGAAACCGGACCGAAACCGGUUCAAACCGAACCGGACAGUUUUUGAAAUUUUUUUUAUUAAAACCGAACCGAACCAAACCGGAUGAAUAGUACCGGAUCGGUUCUAAUUUGAGGCAAAAACCGGUCCAAACCGAACCGUGCCCACCCCUAACAUAAACGCGAUUAGCUUAGUUUAAUUUUUAUAAUUCAAACAUUAGAGUGCAAAAGAUUUCAAAUUUCAUGUUAAAUUAUCGAAUCUUAAGAAUAAAAAAGAAAACAUAAAUUAAGAAAUGCAAAGGAAACUAAAUGUGUGGGUCCCAAACACUGGUGAUCCAUAAUUAGAUUGAACACUCGCAAAGAUUGACAAUGGACAUGAACAAACUAGAUCAAAGAACUGAAGUUAAUGUUGUAAAUAAUUGUGGAGCCCACAAGUUAGAAUAGGUUUUGCCUAUAAAAGGAGUGAUCCCUCUCCAUUGUAACACAGACAGAAACAUUCAAUAAGAUAACAAAACAUUCUCUUCAUUCUCUCUCUCAAUUUCGCUCUACAUUUAUAACACGUUAUCAGCACGAAUUCGCUAAAACAAUACCAGCUGAAUUCUCUGAUGAAAACCAAAGUUUCUCCCUUGAAUUUCCUUUCUGGGUUCUCUGUUUUCUAUAUGCAAAAGCAGCAACACCUAAAACCAGAAAAAGAAAGACGAAAACCUCUCUCUCUGCCACCCCUUGAAAUUCACAGAUAUCUGUUUUAUCAAACAUCAAAGACCUUUUGGUCCCAAGUCAAUAUCAUCAACCUCAGAUCCAAUUGAAUCAAAAAAAAAAAAAAAAAAAAAAAAAAAAACCAACCUUUUCUGUGUUCCUGUGGACUGUUUUUCUCUGCUCUGGAUUGCUUGGUCUGCCCAGUUUGGGUAUUGUUAGAACAACAAGAUCAGUGGCAAACCCAUGUCCGGAAAUUCAGUUCAACUCAUGCUUCAGCUGUUCUCAGAUAUGGAACAUCUCUUAGAACAGCGACGUCGUCAACCCAGCGCAGCGCAGGCCCGCAUCGCCGAGAGGCCGGCGCAUGCGCCGUCAUGGCCCGUGAGAGCGUCCCCGCCGACAUCCAGGUGCUGCCCCACUUGCACGUCCACGCCCACGCACACCUCGUCCACGUCCUGCUGGUUCACCAAUCCAGCGAAAAGGUUUGGAAGAGAGGCCAACUUCUUGGUGGUAAACACUUUGGUGCCACCAGUCGCUCAACAAAAGGAUCAGCUCACCGUCGUAGGACCUCAUCAGUCUCCCACAAGCCCACGGCUCGAACCAGGAAAGCCGACCCAACCAACAACAGCGGCGGCUGCAGACAACAACGGCGGCGCUGUCCACAUCAUCAGCAACUGCAGGCAUGGUGAUGGUGGUGGUGGCUACAGUGACAACACUGUCUCCUCAGAUUUCUUUUAUUUGUUACAAGUAAGCUCUGAAGCCUAAGCCCAAGGAAGAGAGGGAGCUGACGCACCUGUACGAGCGUCGACAGUUCCCCUACAAGGGCGACGAAGAAGCCAUGGAAAGAAGUCAGUGUUCUUGCGCUGCUAUGCUCUUUACCUGGCCGGAGAAAAGCGGAAAGAGGAAGAAAUGAUAGAACUUGAGGGGCCCCUAGGUAAGAGCGACGUUGUGAAUGGUGAACUGGUUUCUCUAGAGAGGGAGUUAUCAACCCUUCGCAAGAAUGGGACCGUUGACCCUUUUGGACUAGGAGAAAUGGUGAUGGUGACGAUGCAGAGGUCGGAUCCGUGGGUGACGGCGUAGUUGACGUCGGCGAUGAUCUUGGUGAGGGGGAGGAAGGCUAUGGAAGACAAGGUUAUGGUUCAUGAGGCUAAGGAUGCUCGGUUGCUUGAGUUGUAUUGAGUGGUCAAUGGCUGUGGUGGAGAGAAUAUGCUGUCGGUACGCAUGAUCACAGCCCCCACCCACGAUAUACUGUCGGGCACGCAUGAUCACAGUUGCUCAGCAACACAGGCACCGAAUAUGCUGUCGGCUAUCAUGGGUUGUGCUAUCCUGCUGCACAUGUAAAACCACCCACCGAAAAUAAAGGGAUAAGUACUCUGACUCACUCUAUCUCCUUCAAUUAAAUACAUUAUUAAAAUACCUACAGAAUUUAAUACUCAUGAUCAGUGUAGAUUGCAGGUGGAAAGAAGAGAAGCCAACGUGAUAUAUCUAGCUUUCACUAAUAUAUCAGUAUAAUAAUAUUAUACUAUUUGAUCGUGGUGUUGAUAAGAACCCACCAAUAAUUGCCUUUACUUUAUCGCAAAUUUACUUUUACUUAAAGUAUGAUGAGGAAUUAACCCUCAUACUUUAUGAAUUUAAUUUACCGCACAUUUACAUUUAUUUAAAGUGUGGUGCGGGUUUAUCGUCCAUACCAGUAAUUUAUUUACCAGCAAUUUAUUUUAUGGACUAAAUGUGCUGUAUGAUGAGUUUUUACAAUAUGCAGAUCAGGACCAGAAGUUCCUUGAUCCUCAUCAUACAAUUAUAUCAGGACUUGAAGAUCCUUGAUGAUGAUGUUAAUAUGAGAGCUGGCAGUCUCUCCGGUACUAUAUUUGUAAACAUGUGAUUGGACUUGAGGGUCCUUGAUCCCUGACAUGUAAAUAAGGACCUGAGGUUCCUUAAUGAUGUAACAGUACCGUAUUGGCUCAUAAUGCCGUACACAUGGAUGAUAACUGUACUGGCAAAUGUACUGUACAUAUGAAUAGUGCCGUAUACAUGAAUAGUGAUGUAUACAUAAAUAUUUACCAUUUUGGGUAAACUAUCACCAUUCAAAAGGGAACCUGCAGUUCCUUAAACUCAUGGAUGAGCAAUUAAAUGAGAUGCCAGAAGUUCCUCAAAAUAUGGACAAUUAUGUAAGGGCUUGAAGUCCAGAAAUAUGUACAGAAAAUUGUAAAAAUGUCCAUACCAUGAGAAUAUGUGAUUUUGGCCCGAAGUUCAAAAUCUAAGGGGAUUGAAUGUUCAUACCAUGAGAAUAUGUGAUUUUGGCCAGAAGUUCAAAAUCUAAUAGUGUUGAGAACCUGAAGUUCCAACAAUUAAAUGGACAAUCCUUGAGGUAUUAUUGCAAAUUGUGGUACGCCACAUAUUUCUUUGGCAUAAGAGAAUGAUGAAUUGAGGCUCUCCACAUAUUUUGUUAUAUCUGGGCCGGAAGCUCAUGAACCCAAAUAUAUGAGAUAUUAGCGUGGCUUUUACUCAAUUCAUAUUUCAUGUCCAUUUUGAAAAGGGCAAAUAAAUUCUGAGUUUGUGUUUAGCCCAGGCAAAAAGUUCCGGGCUCCCAUACGUUGAAAUAUGAAAUUUGGAGAGUCGAUGUGAUUAUUUGAACCUAUAAGGCACAAGGUUCCAAAUCGUCAUUUUGAAAAGACGUAAAAAUCACAGGUGCAAAUUUUAAGAAUGUGCGCAAUUAUUAUAACAGGAAAGGAGCAAGUUGAAACGCAGUUGCUCCAAUCAAGUUUUGCAAAGGCAAUAUCUAUAGGAGGAAAUAUGGCUACAGUUUCCAGGAUCCCAAUAUUAUCUCAGAUCCCCAUAUUAUCUUUUUCUUUCCCAGAGUCCAAAACUUCACGUGGCCUCCAUUAAAUGUUUGUCGGCACUUUCGGCGUUUUCAAAGUAUUAUUUUCGUCAAAAGCCGAUCUUGCUUUGCGGAUUUCAUGGAGUUACUUUUCAAAAGUAUCCCGAGAAUCUCGUAAUUUUCCUAUGGUUAAUUUAAAAUUCACCGGUUCUACCUAUUCAUUGUAUUUGUGUAUAAAUGUGUCACUAACGAAAUUUUCUUUGCAGAAGACAUCCAGUUUUCUCCAUACCUAGUGAUGCGAUAUCUACUUGUUUUUCUUAUCAGUGAGCACUUAAUAUGCCUGAGAAGCAAGACUAUCUCUGAUCAUCCAUUCAGGAAGCGAGACUAUCCCUGAUCACGUUUCCGCUACAUCAGGGAACUGUGAAGGCAACCUUAUGCUCUAAUCUCCGGAAGUCCUUCUAGACUAGAAGAAAUGAGAGCUGGUUGUUUGCUCCCACCAGCUUCCUUCCUUGAUUGCUGAGCUUGUUGUCUGCUCCCACCUGCUUCCUUCCCUGAUUGCUUACCUUCUCUUGCAAUCCAUAUCACAAUUUUUUGCAUUUUUUCUUUUUUUUGUAACUCUGAGGGAUAUUUAUUUUUUGACAGAGAAAAGAGUUGUGAUUUUGCUCUGGCAGGAUAUAACUAGAUCAUCAAGCGCUACAUUAUAUUUAUUGGGCCGAUACAAGCUUGAAUGAUACUUGAGAAAAGUUUCUCCCACCUAAGGAUGUAAGCAAUACUUGUGUUAUUUUUUGCUUAUAUACUUAUUUGAUAUUUUAUCUUGAAAGGUAACCAAAUGGGAAGAUAAGUCCGUUCCAAAAGAAUGGCUUGUAUGUAUCCAUGAAUUAUUAAAUGCAAAUUUUACAGAUUGCAAGUUGGAUACAUUGAUAAUACACUGCACAGAUUAAUGUACCAUAAGAACUGAAUAUGGGUAUAGCAGUGAUCAAUAUGAUGCACGCCUGUUGCGUAGCAAAUGAUAUGGAUUGAAGUCCCGAAAGGACAAUCCUUUGACAUGUCAAUAUUGAUAUUAUGCACGCCUAAUGCGUAGCAAAUUAUAUGGGUUAAAGUCCCAUAAUAUGGGUUAAAGUCCCAGAAAUUAAUUGACAUGUAUGUAUUAAUCUGUGGCAUGCCUGCAGCAUGACAGAUAUAUGGGUUCUAAAUGUUCCAACUCCCUAAAUGGAGAUUUUCCACGCCCUAUGUAAAAUAACGCUCCAUUGGAGGUUAUAAUCCACAUUCUCACAUAAUAAAAGCCCCCUGAAGUGGCUUGGGUACCCAAAAGCAAAGAAAUGCUUAUAAUUGAUGCAUGCGCAUGCAAAUGAGAAUGGUGGGAUCAUGAAUUGAUGAAUGACAAUUUUUGAUUAUGAAUUGAUGAAUGACAAUUUUUGGUUUUGGAGUAGCUACUCAAAUCAUCAAUGGGCUGUGUUGAUUGGAACCACGUUCAAUUAUUAAAUGUCGACAAUAUCAUUGGCCAAAAUGGAACGAGGUAAUUCCAUUAUAAAUGAGAAUGAACAUGAAAGAACAAACCCACAGUACGAACCCCAAAAGAUGUUAAUACUGAAACUUAUACUUGAGUGUUCGGAAUAAAAGGGAAUAUACCUACUUUGUAUGACACACUGUUUCUGGCAGAAACAAGGAAUGUUGGGUUUUCUCCAUAUUUACAGAUUCAAUUGUGCCCUCUCCCCUUAUUACACAAUUACGGAGACCAACAUAUUAUCUUUAAGGGUUAUUAAAUGCACGGAGCAUAUCGCCAGAAGCGAUUCCCUAAAGAUGUAUAAAAUAGCUGGGUUAAAGCUAUAUAAUGUGUCAUAAAGUUUAAUCCCUUUUAAACAAAAUUCGUUGAGAGGAUUGACAUUGCAUAAAGCAAGUCCCUAAAGGACAUGUGCUUGAAGCACAAAAUUUGUACUCAAUAUUAAUAUGCAUAAAUUACCUCAGUGAGUACAUUGAUUAUAAUGUGAUUGCAACACAUUAAAGCUUCUGCAGAAUUCAAGAAAUAUUUGUCUCGAUCGAGCAUUAUGCCAACGAGAUUCUUGCUUAUACUAAGAAAGUAUUGAAGCAUUUUUAUGAGUCUUAUUCGUUGGUGCUUAAAUGUUUUUCCGGAAGUAUACUAGACCAGAUAGAGCUCAGCUCCACACUGUACUCUUUUUCCUUCAUCCAGGUUUUUAUCCCACUGGGUUUUUCCUGGUAAGGUUUUAACGAGGCAGUGUCGCUCAUGGGUUUAGGGUAUACUAUGAAAAUUUUUAUGGUCGCUUACUGGACAAAAGCUAGUCCUAAAUUUUUCAGGGGGAGAUAUCCACAAAGGGGAGCAUGGUUUUAAUAAAGACCUUCAUACACUGUACUCUUUUUCCUUCAUCCAGGUUUUUAUCCCACUGGGUUUUUCCUGAUAAGGUUUUAACGAGGCAGUGUCGCUCAAGACUGACUCACAGAAGCAGUGUCAACUACGAUAUUCAGAAAGCUGAUCAACAGUAUGACUUAAAGAUAUUUUGCCAAGCAUCAGGGGGAGCGCGCUAUCAAUAAAGAUCUUCACACUGUACUCUUUUUCCUUCGUCCAGGUUUUUAUCCCACUGGGUUUUUCCUGGCAAGAUUUUAACGAGGCAGUGUCGCACGCGCGUCAAUAUACACAGAGUUUUAUGUUACACAUGAUUAUGUACUCUUUUUCCCUUUGACCAGUUUUUUUGUCCCACUGGGUUUUUACUGGCAAGAUUUUUAACGAGACAUAUUCCGUAUCAUUUGUGGUCUCCAAGGAGGAGUGUUGUAAAUAAUUGUAGAGCCCACAAGUUAGAAUAGGUUUUUCCUAUAAAAGGAGUGAUCCCUCUCCAUUGUAACACAGACAGAAACAUUCAAUAAGAGAACAAAACAUUCUCUGUUAUAAAACUGGAGAAUUUGGAGAGGAAAUUGAGAGAGAGAGAGAGAAAGUAGAGAAACUGAGUUUCUUAUUCUCAUUUCUAUGUGUAUUGAACAAUGAAGGGAUGAACCCUUUUAUCGGCAAAGCCUAGGGAACAUGUGGGCUCCACAACUAAUUAUUUACAACACUCCCCCUUGGAGACCACAAAUGAUAUGGAAUAUGCCUCGUUAAAAACCUUGCCAGUAAAAACCCAGUGGGACAAAAACUGGUCAAAGGUAAAAAAGUACAUAAUCAUGUGUAACAUAAAAUUCUGUGUAUAUGACGCGCGUGCGACACNNNNNNNNNNNNNNNNNNNNNNNNNNNNNNNNNNNNNNNNNNNNNNNNNNNNNNNNNNNNNNNNNNNNNNNNNNNNNNNNNNNNNNNNNNNNNNNNNNNNNNNNNNNNNNNNNNNNNNNNNNNNNNNNNNNNNNNNNNNNNNNNNNNNNNNNNNNNNNNNNNNNNNNNNNNNNNNNNNNNNNNNNNNNNNNNNNNNNNNNNNNNNNNNNNNNNNNNNNNNNNNNNNNNNNNNNNNNNNNNNNNNNNNNNNNNNNNNNNNNNNNNNNNNNNNNNNNNNNNNNNNNNNNNNNNNNNNNNNNNNNNNNNNNNNNNNNNNNNNNNNNNNNNNNNNNNNNNNNNNNNNNNNNNNNNNNNNNNNNNNNNNNNNNNNNNNNNNNNNNNNNNNNNNNNNNNNNNNNNNNNNNNNNNNNNNNNNNNNNNNNNNNNNNNNNNNNNNNNNNNNNNNNNNNNNNNNNNNNNNNNNNNNNNNNNNNNNNNNNNNNNNNNNNNNNNNNNNNNNNNNNNNNNNNNNNNNNNNNNNNNNNNNNNNNNNNNNNNNNNNNNNNNNNNNNNNNNNNNNNNNNNNNNNNNNNNNNNNNNNNNNNNNNNNNNNNNNNNNNNNNNNNNNNNNNNNNNNNNNNNNNNNNNNNNNNNNNNNNNNNNNNNNNNNNNNNNNNNNNNNNNNNNNNNNNNNNNNNNNNNNNNNNNNNNNNNNNNNNNNNNNNNNNNNNNNNNNNNNNNNNNNNNNNNNNNNNNNNNNNNNNNNNNNNNNNNNNNNNNNNNNNNNNNNNNNNNNNNNNNNNNNNNNNNNNNNNNNNNNNNNNNNNNNNNNNNNNNNNNNNNNNNNNNNNNNNNNNNNNNNNNNNNNNNNNNNNNNNNNNNNNNNNNNNNNNNNNNNNNNNNNNNNNNNNNNNNNNNNNNNNNNNNNNNNNNNNNNNNNNNNNNNNNNNNNNNNNNNNNNNNNNNNNNNNNNNNNNNNNNNNNNNNNNNNNNNNNNNNNNNNNNNNNNNNNNNNNNNNNNNNNNNNNNNNNNNNNNNNNNNNNNNNNNNNNNNNNNNNNNNNNNNNNNNNNNNNNNNNNNNNNNNNNNNNNNNNNNNNNNNNNNNNNNNNNNNNNNNNNNNNNNNNNNNNNNNNNNNNNNNNNNNNNNNNNNNNNNNNNNNNNNNNNNNNNNNNNNNNNNNNNNNNNNNNNNNNNNNNNNNNNNNNNNNNNNNNNNNNNNNNNNNNNNNNNNNNNNNNNNNNNNNNNNNNNNNNNNNNNNNNNNNNNNNNNNNNNNNNNNNNNNNNNNNNNNNNNNNNNNNNNNNNNNNNNNNNNNNNNNNNNNNNNNNNNNNNNNNNNNNNNNNNNNNNNNNNNNNNNNNNNNNNNNNNNNNNNNNNNNNNNNNNNNNNNNNNNNNNNNNNNNNNNNNNNNNNNNNNNNNNNNNNNNNNNNNNNNNNNNNNNNNNNNNNNNNNNNNNNNNNNNNNNNNNNNNNNNNNNNNNNNNNNNNNNNNNNNNNNNNNNNNNNNNNNNNNNNNNNNNNNNNNNNNNNNNNNNNNNNNNNNNNNNNNNNNNNNNNNNNNNNNNNNNNNNNNNNNNNNNNNNNNNNNNNNNNNNNNNNNNNNNNNNNNNNNNNNNNNNNNNNNNNNNNNNNNNNNNNNNNNNNNNNNNNNNNNNNNNNNNNNNNNNNNNNNNNNNNNNNNNNNNNNNNNNNNNNNNNNNNNNNNNNNNNNNNNNNNNNNNNNNNNNNNNNNNNNNNNNNNNNNNNNNNNNNNNNNNNNNNNNNNNNNNNNNNNNNNNNNNNNNNNNNNNNNNNNNNNNNNNNNNNNNNNNNNNNNNNNNNNNNNNNNNNNNNNNNNNNNNNNNNNNNNNNNNNNNNNNNNNNNNNNNNNNNNNNNNNNNNNNNNNNNNNNNNNNNNNNNNNNNNNNNNNNNNNNNNNNNNNNNNNNNNNNNNNNNNNNNNNNNNNNNNNNNNNNNNNNNNNNNNNNNNNNNNNNNNNNNNNNNNNNNNNNNNNNNNNNNNNNNNNNCCAAUGAUAUUUCGACCUUAAUAAUUGAACGUGGUUCCAAUCAAUCACAGCCCAUUGAUGAUUUGAGUAGCUACUCUAAAACCAAAAAUUGUCAUUCAUCAAUUCAUGAUCCCACCAUUCUCGUUUGCAUGCGCAUGCAUCAUUUAUAAGCAUUUCUUUGCUUUUGGGUACCCAAGCCACUUCAUGGGGCUUUUAUUAUGUGAGAAUGUGGAUUAUAACCUCCAUAGGAGCGUUAUUUAGUAGUAGGGCGUGGAUAAUCUCCAUUUAGGGAGUUGGAACAUUUAGAACCCAUAUAUCUGUCAUGCUGCAGGCAUGCCACAGAUUAAUACAUACAUGUCAAUUAAUUUCUGGGACUUUAACCCAUAUUACGGGACUUUAACCCAUAUAAUUUGCUACCCAUUAGGCGUGCAUAAUAUCAAUAUUGACAUGUCAAAGGAUUGUCCUUUCGGGACUUCAAUCCACAUCAUUUGCUACGCAACAGGCGUGCAUCAUAUUGAUCACUGCUAUACCCAUAUUCUGUUCUUAUGGGACUUUAAUCUGUGCAGUGUAUUAUCAAUGUAUCCAACUUACAAUCUGUAAAAUUUGCGUUAAUAAUUCAUGGAUACAUACAAGCCAUUCUUUUGGAACGGACUUAUCUCCCUAUUUGGUUACCUUUCAAGAUAAAAUAUCAAAUAAGUAUAUAAGCAUAAAACAACACAAGUAUUGCUUACAUCUUAGGUGGGAGAAACUUUUCUCAAGUAUCAUUCAAGCUCGUAUCGGCCCAGUAAAUGUAGUACUUGAUGAUCUUGUUAUAUCCUGCAAAAGCAAAAGUCACAAUUCUUUUCUCUAUCAAAAACAAAUAACCCUCAGAGUUAGGAUCACUUCAUGGAUUCUUUCUUCAGAUGUUCAUUCUAAAGAAAUAAGAUCUCUUAUGAACAGAGAGUUAUAAAAAGAGAAAAAAAAUGCAAAAAGAUUGUGAUAUUGAUUGCAAGGUAAGGUAAGCAAUCAGGGAAGGACGCUGGUGGGAGCAAACUACAAGCUCUCAUUUCUUCUAGUUUAGAAGAACUUCCGGGGAUUAGAGCAUAAGGUUGCCUUCACAGUUCCCUGAUGUGGGGGAAACGUGAUCAGAGAUAGUCUCGCUUCCUGAAUGGAUGAUCAGAGAUAGUCUUGCUUCUCGGGCACAUUAAGUGCUCACUGAUAAGAAAAACAAGUAGAUAUCGCAUUUACUAGAUAUGGAGAAAACUGGAUAUCUUCUGCAAAGAAAAUUUCGUUAGUAACACAUUUAUACACAAAUAAAAGGAAUAGGUAGAACUGGUGAAUUUCAAAUUAACCAUAGGAAAAUUGCGAGAGUCUCGGGUUACUUUUGAAAAAGUAGCUCCGUGAAAUCCGUAAAGCAAGAUCGGCUUUGAAAAUAAUACUUGAAAACGCCGAAAGUGCCGACAAACAUUAAUGGAGGCCGCGUGAAGUUUCGGAAUUUCCUUCAGAGGCUUCCAGAACAUAAUGUAUUUUUAUAGAUUUUUACAGGACCUGCACCUUCAUUGCAGGUGGAAAAAUCUAUCAGUUGUAUGUUCCUGUAAUAAUAAUUGCGCACAUUCUUAAACUUGCACCUGUGGUUUUUACGUCUUUUCAAAAUGACGGUUUGGAACCUUGUGCCUUAUAGGUUCAAAUAACCACAUCGACUCUCCCAAAUUUCAUAUUUCAACGUAUGGGAACCCGGAACUUUUGGCCUGGGCUAAACACAAACUCAGAAUUUUUUUCGCCCCUGUUCAAAUGGUAUGGACAUAUUUACAAUUUUCUGUACAUAUUUCUGGACUUCAAGCCCUGACAUAAUUGUCCAUAUCAUGAGGAACUUCUGGCAUCUCAUUUAAUUGCUCAUCCAUGAGUUUAAGGAACUGCAGGUUCCCUUUUUGAAUAGUGAUAGUUUACCCAAAAUGGUAAAUAUUUAUGCAUACAUCACUAUUCAUGUAUACGGCACUAUUCAUGUGUACAGUACAUUUGCCAGUAUAGUUAUCAUCCAUGUGUACGGCACUAUGAACCAAUACGGUACUGUUACAUCAUUAAGGAACUCUAGGUCCUUAUUUACAUGUCAGGGAUCAAGGACCCUUAAGUCCGAUCACAUGUUUACAAAUAUAGUACCGGAGAGACUGCCAUCUCUCAUUUUAAUAUCAUCAUCAAGGAUUUUCAAGUCCUGAUAUAAUUGUAUGAUGAGGAUCAAGGAACUUCUGGUCCUGAUCUGCAUACUGUAAAAACUCAUCAUACAGUACAUUUAAUCUAUAAAAUAAAUUGCUGGUAAAUAAAUUAUUGGAUGGACGAUAAACCCACACCAUACUUUAAAUAAAAGGAAAUAUAAAGUAUGAGGGUUAAUUCCGCAUCAUGCUUUAAGUGAAAGUAAAUUUACGAUAAAGUAAAGGCAAUUAUUUGUGGGUUCAUAUCAACACCACAAUCAAAUAGUAUGAUAUUAUAUUAAAUCAAUUUAUAAAGUAGAAGUCAUAUUUACCCCGACCGAAGUUCACGUUAAGAUUCCAAAACCAAGAGACCAAGUGGGUGGCUGUCAAUCAGUAAAGCCUGGCAAUCAUUUAGUGUGCAUGUGUAAUUUCGAUAGCGGCACAAUCAAUGGGGCUUUAAAGAAAACUUCAAAACUUAUGCCUGAAGCAAGUUGGCCAGCACCAAUAAUGCCGCCCACAAUGCAAAAAUCAAGUUGCCCAGCACCAAUAAUGCCGCCCACAAUGCAAAAAUCAAGUUGGCCACUUUUGCCUGUUGCUUUCUCUUUCACCCUCUCCUUGUCUUUUCUUCUUUCCACCCGACAGCAUCUCGUGUGCCUGAGCUGCUGUGCUUUUAUGGAGCUCCGCGUGAGAUUUGUUAACAAUAUUUUCCUCAAAAGCCAGCCAAUCUGUGCUUAUCCAUGGGACGCAAAUAGUCCCACCACGUUUGUACUACAACCUCACCCACUCACUCAAUUUCUUUAACCCAGUCAGACGGCACCAAAUUUCUUCUUCCACUACUUCUCAUCUUCUGCCUCUCUCUUGCUUUUUUUUUUAUUUUUUUUAUUUUUUUUAUUUUUUUAUUUAUUCGAUUUUCUGGCAAGCCUCCAAAGACAGCAACGACCAAGUUGCCUUGUCAUGGCUGGCGGCCAUUGCAAAAACCUUUUCCAUGAAGAAAAUGACUUGGACAUGAGGCUGGUUGAUUAUGUAGAUGGAGAAUCCGGCGGGGCCCCAGGUGAAGCCGAUGGUCUGCCUCACUCCCCACGCUCACUCCACUCUCCUAUUGUUAGGAGAGAGAGACGACGAGUUUCAGAGUCAGUGGGAGGGGCUAGCCGCCAUCUCCUCAUACCAAUUUGCUGCUUCUUGCUUCAGCUGCUAUCUCUCUGCUUCAACAUCUCAUCACCUCAGAAUGCAAACCCACUGCACGUCCACACCACAAAGCACAGCUAGUGGUGGAAGGCCAGACUCUCCGUCAGCCCUCAGCCUCCGUCUGCUGUUGCUGCUGCCGCAACUGCGAAGCCUUCGUACUUACUGCUACCAACAGUAACAAAAGCAAACCCGGUGAGGGAGAACACACCGGUGCCGCUCCACUACGUCCGCAACCACGGCGUGUUCCUGGUGGGGAUUCUGGCCGGAAAACACCCCAGCGGCAGAGGCAAGAGAUGAGGCCAUUAGAAGCUCUGCUGCUUCUUCACUAUGUUGCUAAGCCCGAAAGCUUGUCUCUCCAUUGUUGCUUGCAUGUUCAGGUUCAGGGCAUGGUCUCCAGCUGCAGGCACAGCUGCUGGAGUUGGUGGGACUGGGACUGGAUUUCUCUGAGCCAGCUCCUUCAAGUUCUGGUCAAACGAGCCACCCGAGGUCGUUCAGAUCAAUCAUGGUCAGUCCCUGCAGAGGCUUACCAGUCAGGCUCUGAAACAUGACCCUCGGCGGAGGCGGCGGCAGAGCUCGAGCUGUUGCUCUGGUGCUGGCUAUGGGGUCCGAACCCAUGGUCGUGGUCUCGAGCUGUUGCUGUUGCUCUGGUGAUGGUUGUGGUGGUUGUGUUCGGAGGAGUAGGUGGAGGAAGAAGAAGAAGAGUGUUUCUGCUCAGGCCGAAGUCUCGGGGCAGCUCCCCUGAGAUUUUGUUGUUUCGGAGGUCGAGGUACAUGAGGCUGGAGAGGUUGGUCGGCGAAGUUGAGGACUGUGAGCUGGUGUAGCCGGCCGAUACCUGCCGGAAACUGGUCUGAUAUUUUGUUUCCAUGGCCAGACAUCUUCGAAGCUUAGGUUCACUUCUUCAACCUGCCGCUAGCCUUCUAUUAUGAUUAUAUAAUAUUAUAGAUAUAAUAAUGUGAUAAACAAUUAGGAUAAAGAAAAGUAUGAGAACUUAUCUGCCGUAGCCCUUUUCUCUGCUUUGGAUUGAUAAUUCUGAUCUGAAAUGAGAGCUCUUUUAUUUUUCUUAUGUUAAGGCUCAGGCCAGUUGGUGGGGAAGAUGAUCGGUGUGAGAGAGAAGCUGUUGGGUAGGUAAUUUGUUACCGCUUUUAUGUAUCCAGUGAAGAGUGAUUGGUUUUACAAAUCUGGAUCUGUGAUUUACAAACCCAUGGUUGCUUGCUUGCUUGUUUUAUUGUGAUCUACAUGCUGGGAAACAAAGCAGAGGUCGGUUGUUAAGGUUUGAGGCUUGGCAGAGAAAGAGAGAGAGAGCGUUGAGGCUCUGAAUUUUGGAGGUAGAGAAAUCGUGCUGAUAACGUGUUAUAAAACUGGAGAAUUUGGAGAGGAAAUUGAGAGAGAGAGAGAGAAAGUAGAGAAACUGAGUUUCUUAUUCUCAUUUCUAUGUGUAUUGAACAAUGAAGGGAUGAACCCUUUUAUCGGCAAAGCCUAGGGAACAUGUGGGCUCCACAACUAAUUAUUUACAACAUUCUCUUCAUUCUCUCUCUCAAUUUCGCUCUACAUUUAUAACAGUUAAUGAAUUAUUUGAAUUAAACGACAGGUGUUUCUAUUUGGGCCCUACACUUUUCCUCUCCCCCCAAACCCAAGUAGUUUUAAAAUCCCUAUUUUACCCCUAAAAUAAAAAGUCUCAAGCUCAACCCGUUGGAUUGGCGGACGUGUUUGAGACGAAAGAAGAUAAUUUUCGCUUUCAGCUGCUCAACCACCCCAUCACCGACGUAAGCCUCUGGCCUUAGCUGUCAAGAAAUGGUUGGUUAAUUUCAUAAAAUAUCGAAGUAUUAAUACGCAAUAAUUCUCUUUUAUAAAACCCAAAACAAAAAUCGCAAGUCUUUCAGUUUCACAACAAUUCUCAUCUCUUAUCUCCGAUGGACCCAAAAUCCUCCUCAACCGAAAUAUCAGUCGAGUUCCCGACGAUCUUCAGAAUCUACAAGGAUGGUCGCGUCGAAAGACUUAAAGGCACCGAAACCGUCCCGCCUUCCACCGACCCCAAAACCGGAGUCCGAUCCAAAGACAUCGUCCUGUCGCACGAAUCCGGACUCUCCGCACGCAUCUUCCUACCCAAACUCACAGACCCGACCCGGAAGCUCCCCCUCCUUGUUUUCAUCCACGGCGGCGCUUUCGUCAUCGAGUCCCCCUACUCUCCUCUCUACCACAACCACGCCGCUUUGCUAACAUCCGAAGCAAACGUCGUUGUCUUGUCUGUGAACUAUAGGCGUGCCCCCGAGCACCCACUCCCUGUUGCGUAUGAAGACUCAUGGGAAGCACUCCAAUGGGCCGCGGCCCAUUCGAAUCGUAAUGGGCCCGAGGCCUGGCUCAACGAUUAUGUUAACUUUGACCGUGUUUUCGUGGGCGGGGACAGCGCCGGGGCAACCCUUACGCACCACGUGGUACAUCGGGCCGGAGUCGAUGGCCUGAGCGGGGCAAAGAUAGUUGGCAUGAUUUUGUUUCACCCGUUUUUUGGGAACGGAAAGCUCGAUAAGCUGCUCGAGGUUAUUUUUCCAGAGUGUAAUGGGCUGGACGACCCGAGAGUGAACCCGGGGAAGGAUCCGAAAUUGGGGAAGAUUGGGUGUCGGAGGGUGUUGGUUUUUGUGGCUGAGAAGGACUUUUUGAGGGACAGGGCCUGGGCUUACUAUGAGUCAUUGAAGAAGAGUGGGUGGGGUGGGGUGGUUGAGAUUUUGGAGAGUGAAGGGGAGGACCAUGUGUUCCAUUUGUUCAACCCAAGCUGUGACAAAGCUGUGGCUUUGGUCCAAAAGGUGGUUUCUUUCAUAAAUCAGGACUAGGUUGGGCUUGUGUUACGUGAGUUUGUAAUUUCAAUGUCAUAAUAAGAUUUGUGUAAUAGAAUAUGAGCAUAUUAUAUUUGCCAAAUAUAUAUUACAUUACCGUAAGUAUUCUAUAAUCACUCAUUAGAUAGAGAUGCCCUUUGGGCCUUCACUCUUUUGGCAAUUUGGCAAACAAAAGCUCAGGAUCUCUAGUUGCCGAAAGUGGAUUACUUUGUUUACAAAUAAAACCUGCCAAAAAAAAAAAACACAACCACCUUAUCUAAACCUUCAAGAUGCCCCCCACUUUGCAAGUUGCAUUGCUACAUUUUCCUUUUAAGUCAUCCAUCGUCUGAGCCUAUACCAUAAUCUUCAACCCCCCAUCUAAUUGAAUUCUACCACACCUUUUUGUUUUCUCUGAAAAUGGAGCCAAUCAACAACGAAGUCCUUCACGAAUUUCGCUUCUUUCGGGUGUACAAAGACGGUCGCAUUCAAAAAUUCUACGACACCCAAAAAACCCCACCGUCCAAUGACCUGAUCACGGGUGUCCAAUCCAAGGACGUUAUAAUUCAACCCGAACCCGCCGUUUCCGCCCGUAUUUUUCUACCCAAGAUCCACGACCCCACCCAAAAACUCCCAGUCCUCUUCUUCCUCCACGGUGGCGCGUUUUGCAUCGAGUCUGCCUUCUCUCCAAUUUAUCACAACCACGUCUCCCGUUUGGCCGCUGAAGCUCACGCAAUUGCGGUGUCCGUUGAAUAUGGGUUGUUCCCGGAGCGACCCGUACCCGCUUGUUAUGAAGACUCAUGGGCUGCGCUCCAGUGGGUUGCGGCCCAUGCUACCGUGGAUGGACCCGAGUCGUGGUUAAACGAGUAUGCUGACUUUGACCGAAUUUUUAUAGGCGGGGACAGUGGUGGAGCGAACUUAUCACACAAUUUGGCAGUUCGGGUCGGGUCGUCCCGGUUACCGGGCGUGAAGAUUGCCGGGGUGGUUCUGGUGCACCCGUUCUUUGGGGGCUUGGAGGAGGAUGAUCAAAUGUUUCUCUACACGUACCCAGAGAACGGUGGGUUGCAGGAUCCUAAGCUGAGACCGCCCGCAGAGGAUUUCACAAGGCUACCGUGCGGGAGGGUGUUGAUUUUUUUUGCUGCGGACGACCAUCUGAGAAAGGCGGGGCAAAUGUAUUAUGAUGACCUGAAAAAGAGUGAGUGGGGCGGGAGUGUUGAGGUGGUGGAGCAUGAGGGUGAGUGCCACGUGUUUCACUUGUUCAAACCAGAAUGUGAGAAGACUGGAGAGAUGGUCAAAAAAUUUGGAUCCUUCAUCAACCAAAAUAAAAAAUAAAGUACCCUUCCCCUCAUAAGAACAAGUUGGAACAUCUUUAAGUUCAUCCAUUUUCUUUGGUGUGUAUGAUCUCAUUCUCAUACAUGCUACAGAAAGUUAAUAUGUUUUCAUGUAAUAAUGAUCAAUAUGCGGUCCAAUAAUUUCAAGUGUCAGUAUAUCAAUCGACUAAAUUAUUUGCCCAAUAGUGUUUUUUUUUCCGAAUAUCCCUCUUGAAAUAAUAAAAUAAGAAAUGUCAUAUGACCUUGAUCUAACUUCAAUUGUAAUAAGUAAUUUUAUUAAUAGUUGAAGAUUCUGCUCUUUUUUCCUAUCGUCACGAUUAGUUUGUAGAUUAAUUAAUUUGAUUAUCCAUUGUACACAUCUUAUAAUAUUUGUUCAAUACAAUAUAUGUUUUAACAAAAAGAAAAAAAAAAUCAUGAUCAAGCUUGAACAACACAUUCAUCAUAUCAUUACUUAUGGCUUUUGAACUUCAUAUGGUAUCAUCCAAUUACAUGAAAUUAUGAACAAUGAAGAAUUCAUACACAAAAUACACAAAUGAAAUAGACCAAACCCCACGAGCAACAUAACAUUUGAGAAAGAAAAGAAGAAGAAAAAAAACCAUUAAUUUGUUUUAUUAAAAACUGAUUGCCUUUAUUAAAGUUUAAAACAAUCAAUUACGCACGACCCCGACAAAUAUAAAAAAUGACCAAAAGAAAAGUUCGGUCCACUCACUUUGUUUUCUUUUCAAGUUUCUGCUUUUUCUUCCUUUGAUCAAAACCCACUCCAAAAUGUCUUGGUCUCUGCUCCACCAUCUUCUCCCUCUCACUCUAUCAAAUUCCUCUCAUUUAUGAAAAUGGAGCCAACCAGCAAUGAAAUCGAUCGUGAAUUUCGAUUCUUCAGGACAUACAAAAAUGGUCAAGUCGAAAAGUUCUACAGUACCCAUAAAAUCCCACCUUCUAACAACCCCGUCACCGGGGUCCAAUCCAAAGACAUCAUAAUCUCACCCGAACCCGCUAUUUCCGCCCGUAUCUUCCUACCCAAGAUCCAUGAUCCGACCCGGAAACUCCCCGUCCUCUUCUACAUCCACGGCGGCGGGUUUUGCUUCGAGUCCGCCUUUUCCCCGCUCUACCACAACCACGUUGCCUCACUGGUCACUGAAGCCCGAGUUAUUGCGGUGUCUGUCGAAUACGGGUUGUAUCCGGAUCGACCCAUACCCGCUUGCUACGAAGAUUCAUGGGCCGCUCUCAAAUGGGUCGUGUCCCAUUCGGCCAGGAACGGACCUGAGCCAUGGUUGAACGAGUACGCUGACUUUGACCGGGUUUUUAUAAGUGGGGACAGCGCUGGAGCGAACAUAUCGCACAAUUUGGCGGUUCGGGUCGGGCCUGAUGGGUUUUCGGGUGUGAAAGUUAACGGGAUUGUUCUGGUGCAUCCGUUCUUUGGGGGUCUGGAGGAGGAUGAUGAAAUGUGGCUUUACAUGUGUCCGGAGAACGGUGGGUUGCAGGAUCGUAGGCUGAAACCGCCCGCAGAGGAUCUGGCAAGGAUUGGGUGUGGGAGGGUGUUGAUAUUUUUUGCUGCUGAAGACCAUCUGAGGGAGGUGGGCCAGCGGUACUAUGAUGAGCUGGCGAAGAGUGAGUGGGGUGGGAGCGUUGAGGUGGUGGAGCAUGAAGGUGAGAGCCACGUGUUUCAUCUGAUGAAGCCUGAUUCUGAGAAGGCUACAAAUUUGAUCAAGAAAUUUGGUUCCUUCAUUAACCAAAAUUAGGCAGGUAUUUACCAACUUACCCCCUUAAAAGAAACAAGUUGAAAUUUUCACCGUGCAUUGUAAUCACAUCCAUUUACUUUACCUUGCUUGCUAUAAUGCUGUCUCUGAUUCUCAUACAUGCUUUGUUCACUAACCGGGAACAACUAUAAUGUGAACUUUGGAGAUAAAUUUUAAAAAAAUAAGACUUCACUCGAGUAUUAUUCAAUUUUGUUUGAUUAGUAUGUCCAGAUUCUGAACACGACACGAUUAUUAAAUAGAUUCGAUUAACACAAUUGAGUAACGAAAUUCGAUUACUAACAUGAGUUUUUAAUGACAAUCCAUUUAUAAUUUUUGUACAUGACUUAUUUUCAGUGAUACCAUGUGCAAACUAAAGUAAUAAUUCAGGACAUUGAAGUGGUCCUUGGGACCAUGCAAAGUAUAUGGUCCCCUUUGGUUUUUUGUCUGUUUCUCCCCUUGUUGUCUGUCUUUCGUGUUUGAAUGAAAGUUUCUAUUGACCAACAAAAAAAAAAAAAAAAAAAAAAGUAUAUGGUCCCCUUGAUUAUUUCCGUAAAUUUUGUCAGAAAUUUUGGCUUUCUUCUAAGAUGAUUUUCAUAGGACCAGUUAUCUCAAGAUUUGGCUCUUGUAUCAGUCAAUCAAUUGCAGGCUUUGUUUGUAGUGUUCUCUGUACUUUUGGGGGAUUCCAAUGAAUUCGAAUUUUGACCAAAAAAAUAAAAUAAAUUUGCAAUAACCAAAAAUUAUGGAAAGCGGAUGUCAGGGACAACCAUAUAAUUCUGAGAUUUUUAUCCAUGUGAAGACAAUGUGGGUUCUUUUUGAGAAAUUUUUUGAUGUAUCAGUACACUUGUAACAUCUUGUGACAUGUUAAUGUGAUAGUACACCCGUAACAUCCCGUGACAUACUAAUGUGGUGUUAAACAUACGGCGGAUGUUAAAAUGCGAGACAAUUCACUAUAAACUUAGGAUGAUGGACUGAAGUCGGCUUAUCUCAUGUUAUUCUGGAUAAUUACUUAGUUUAUUUGUAACAAGUCCAGUCAUUUUUCAGACCAUAAAAAACAUGGGUUCAACCAACCAAUUGUCAAAUCCAAUCUGUAGUAGAAGUCCAAUAUAAGCCAAAAUUUUUACAUUCCCAAACUAUAAGGGAACCUCUGAUGUAGAUUUCCAUAGCCACAGAAGACAUUUUCAGUGGCUAGCAAAAAAAUAUAGAUGUUGGAGAUAUUGUUGUGACCUUUUAUCAUUUGCUGGUUGGUUGGAAAGGAGAGAUCGAUGGCAACAUGUUGUGUCCUAACCAUGUCUUUAUGGCCAAAACCAAAAAAUCCCACAUGCACUGGUAACCUCAAAUUGAAUCUGCCCUCUUCAUUAUUCACACAUCUCUCUCUUCCACACAGAAAGUCCUGCAAUAUCCGCUUGUACUCAUCCUCCUCUACCUCCAUGGAUGCAAGCGUGAGCAAUGAAGUAGCCAAAGACUUCUCUCCCUUCCUCAAAAUAUACAAAGAUGGUAGAGUGGAGAGACUUUCAGGCACUGAUAUUGUUCCCACCUCGCUAGAUGCACAAACUGGUGUUGCAUCCAAAGACGCCGUGAUCUCACCUGACACCGGGGUAUCAGUCAGGCUCUACAUCCCCAAAACCAAAAUCACCACAAACCCAACAAAGCUUCCUCUCCUUGUGUACUUUCAUGGAGGUGGCUUUUGCAUGGGGUCACCUUUUUGUGCCUAUUACCAUAGCUAUGUGACAUCGUUAGUUGCUGAGACAAAUGCUGUUGCUGUGUCUGUUGAUUAUAGGAAGGCCCCAGAGAACCCUCUGCCUCU